CUUGGUUGAGAGACAAGCACUAAAUGAGGCCAUGGAGGGAGAAAAGAAUGUAAGGGCUAAUGCAUUGAAGUGAUCAUUUUUCAUAGCAACAGGUACUUUCUUGUCUUUUAUUUUAAGCUUCCAUCAAGUUUGAAUGUUCUCUUUAUUUUAUGGGCAGGGACAUCAUCACUUGCCUGAGACUAGAGGACUCUGCCUGUCCGAAGAACAGACUGUUAGCACUGUAAGGAUUUCGUUCUCAGAAAUCUAACGUCAAAUUUUGUUGUGUGAUAUACUUAGAGGAACGAAUUUGUUAGUGGAUUACAAAUGUAUGCUUAUGUCACUGUAAUGACCAGAUUUCGGGGAGGCCUAGGAUUGGCACAGGCUAUCGGAUUAUAGACAUGAUGACAGAACCUUAUAGGCUAAUCCGUCGAUGUGAAGUGACAGCAAUUCUCAUUUUGUAUGGGCUCCCAAGGUACAUCUCUUAUACCCUCUAUAGCAAAUUGUUUACUUGCUUUAGUAGUUUUGAUGCAUGUGGCAAAAACAACCUUCCUUGAAUACAGGUUGCUGACUGGGUCGAUCCUGGCUCACGAGAUGAUGCAUGCAUGGCUCCGACUGAAAGGUACUUUAUCUGUUCAGUGACAAAUGUUGCAUUGACAAUAGUUUCUAUUUAAGUUCUCUGAAAUAUGAUUAAUCCAUGUUCUUCAAAUAUUGCACUUCCUGUGUUUCCAUUCAUAAUGAGAAGCUAGAAAUUAAUAACCAAGUGUUUGGCAGGAUAUCCAAAUCUGAGUCAGGAUGUUGAAGAAGGCAUCUGCCAGGUGUUGGCUUAUAUGUGGUUGGAUUCAGAGAUAUAUUCAAGUGCUGGUAGUGAUGUUGCUUCGGCUUCUUCUUCUUCUUCAUCAUCAUCAUCAUCAUCAUCCUCAUCCACAACAUCAAAGAAGGGUGCACGGUCUCAGUUUGAGAAGAAACUUGGUGAGUUUUUCAAACACCAGAUAGAGACGGAUAGUUCACCAGCUUAUGGGGACGGAUUUAGAGCAGGUAACCAAGCAGUGCAGAAGUACGGCCUCAAGAGUACCCUUGACCAUAUUCGGCUGACAGGAAGCUUUCCUUACUGAGAGCUGACCAAUAACUCAGCCCUAUCAUCUUUUAGUUUUACAGGACCUAGACCCAACAUGAAUUAUGAACAUCACAAGAAUAAGUAAGCAGCUAAAUGCCGCUUCUCAUGCGCAAUUGCUGUAAUUCCCCAAUAGUGGGCGCCACAUAUUUUACUAUUUUGCCUAAUAAUUAAUAACAUAUAGGGAAAAAAAAGAAGUUAGAAUUGCUUAUGACAUUUCCUCUGUUCAACUAUUAGAAGCUUUGAUCCAUUGUGCAGAAGUACAUCUCACUGCUUGGGUAAGCCUCUAGAGAGGAAACAGCCCAGCCAUAAGUGAUGUAAUUAAGCAGCAAGUUUUCUACUGGUUUCAAUGUUUCAUCAUUUUAUACAGCAUACAACUCCAGUUAUUUCCAGCAACCAUUGGAAGCAUAAUGGAGAUAAUUUCAUUUAGUAGUAGAGGAACAUAUUUAUUUUCCCAGUUAUGAAGCCAACUCCGGUGCUCCUCUCUCUCUCUCUCUCUCUCUCUCUCUCCAGCUGAUCAUCCUCUUUGAGAAUAUUGAUGAGCUCUCUCCUCUUGAGAAAUUUCACCAAGUUGGGAGGAUUCUAAUAUUUCAUAUUUAUUAAUAGCACUUCAGUUUUCUGAAAUUAUUAUGACAUUGUCGGCUAAUGGGGUUAUGAUAUUGGUGAAAUGAAUUUAUUGCCCUUCAUUAAUUAAAUAUGUUCAUCAAAAUAUCAUAUUUUAGUGCAUUGGAAUAACUAGAAAAUACAGUGCUACAUAAUUGAAAAUUGAAAGGCCUCAAUCCUAAUCGCCUAGACAUGCCCACUAGUUAGCCUACCCCUUUAGGGAAAUACUCUCAGACCCGAUCUUUAGGAAUGAAUUUGGGAUUUUGAGAAUCUACCUUUGUGACCGACUAUGCCGCGUGUGGGCCUAAUCCCCUAUCCCUCUCAUCCACAUGGUGUUGCCAUUUGAAUAAUCCAAGAAAAAGGGGUUCGAUUUACGAGACACUUUCCCCCGUAGACAAUGAUAAUGAAAUUCAUACAAGUGUGAUUUGUGACGUGCGCAUGCGAAAUCCACGCAAUUUAAUUGCAAAAAGAAGGCAACUUUUCCGUGAGGGAGCAAUGCCACAACUUUUCUAAUUGUCUUUUGAGUGGGCUUGGCUGAGCCCCUGAACACGAUCAAAAUUGAAACAGUGCGCACAAGACCGUCCAUAUCUAUCACAAGGAAAGAUGGGGGCUCCAGGGAAAAGACAAAAUGGGUGGGCAAAACAGCCAUAUCAUGGGGAGGCGGCUUUCUAUGGUACAAAUUAUUUUGUAAGAGACUAGCAGUCAAAUUUAGAUGAUGGUAAAAGACACAAGCCUUGGGUGCUUGUUUCAGCGGAAGGGAGGUUCAGGCUAGAAUGGGGUGGGUGCGGUGGGCCAUAUGAAAAUGCUUUGUUAUAAGGAACUGCUUUCACCGUACUGGCUUCACCAAUGUUCAAAACAAGGAAAGAAUAAUAAAUAAAUACAAGUAUCGCCUGAACUGGAACAUCAAGGAGUCCAGCAAACAACGUCUGAACGUCAGACUCAUCAUGGGGUACUUAAUAGAAAAAACCCCAUUGAUCAAUGAAAAGGCGAGAGCAUGAUGAAUUAAGACACGGGGCAGGGAUCAUUGCAGUGCAUGGAAGUUCCUAUUUUCUUCUUCAAAAUAAGUUGAUUGAAAGAUAUGCAGUUAACUAGCCAAUUCAUUUUAAUUUUCAGAAAAUAAACAAGAGAUCAGUAGUUUGUCAAUUGUCACUAAGAGGUACGGACGCGAGGAAGAGGGAGAGAGUGGCAAAGCAGUGAAGACUUUUUGUCUCCACGAAGACGAAGACUUUGGGUUUUUUGACGCCUGGUGAAUUGGUAGUGGAGAAAUGGAAAGAAAAUGGACCCACAUGCAAAAAACGAAAAAGAAAAGAGAGAAAGUGUUACAGUUGUUGAUGCCCCUUUCCUCGGUCCUUCUGGUGGUUUUUAGGAAGGUAAGAUGAAGAAGCCACAAAUAAAACUUCAACUCUUGCAUUUUUCUUUCCUGCCCUUUUAGCGUGGAUGUGCGAAGGAUCCAAGUACUCUUCAUUUCAUUUCCUGCUUUUCCUUCUUUUUUUCCCUCUUCUUUUACUGGGAUAUUCAUCUGACUUCAUUUGUAAAACUUCUUCUCUGGAUUCAUGGCAGUUAAGGGUAUCAGGGAGACUAUCUACUCAGCUCUUUAAUCUUUCCUUGCUUACUUUGCCUUCAAGCCAUUUCUGGGAUCGACCGGAUUCCAUUUUGUCUGCAGAUUCUUACAGGUGACUUACUGACACAUGAUUUUGUGUGUGUGUCUUUCUUUCUCUCUCCAUUUUAGUGACUACUUUUGCAUACCAUGUCAAGAAUCUAGCAGGCAUAUCAAGCUGGUGAAAUCAAUUUCUUUCCUUUUUUCAAUCAUUUGAUUAUUAUUUGAUGGUGGUGGAGGGUGUUCUUAUAUGAAUAUGAAUAUCAGUGUUUGUGUUCUUGCCUCCUGUGCAUUGAUUUUCGCCUUGAUCAUGAAUAUUGCUUUUGUUUGGAUUAGAUUUAGGCACCCUUUUGUUGGAAUUCAGGUUUGGAAUGUAGGAAUUUGAAAUUCACAAGGUUUUAUUAAUCAUUCCACUAUCUUCUGACUCACUUAGGAGGCUUGAGUUCAGUUUCUUUGCUAGACUCUGCUAGAAUGGAUAAUUUUCAUUUGGAAUUUUCCCUCUUUCUUUUCCCUUUCCCCUUCUUUCUUUCCUCUCAAAAUAUAAUGAUUGAGGUUUGAGACUUGAUAUUGAUAUUUGUUUUCCAAUUUAAGUGCUUGUCAGGAUGCUUCUUUUGUGAUUGCAAUAUAAUCUUAAAUGUUCUUGCAAUCUUAUGUCUUUUUCACCUUCUUCAAAUCGGCGGGAAAGCCGUUGUUUCCCUAUGUUUGUAAUACCAGUCAUUCAUGUUCUUGAUGAACUUAUAAAAGAAUUAGAUCUAAAUAGAGGGUCAAAGUAAUCACUUUCAGUAUUCACGCAUAUAGCUAGCCAUGACAUUUUUUAUGGUGUUUCUUUUACCUAUGUAAAUGACUUGGGUGCAGGCAAGAUUUUGCUAGCCCACAAGGGAAUAACAUUUGUCCUUAUGGAUUGGAUCAAGAUCCUAGAAGGUUCUGGCCAUAAAAUCUCAGAAGUGCAAUAUCACGGGACAGAUGGGGAUGGCAUAAUUUGGGGAGAGCCUUCAAUUUCAGAGGUAAUUAAGGUUCCUGCUGUUUAAUGAUUACUUUUUUUAUAUCUUGUUCAUCAUUCAUAAGGUUGAUCUAGUUUGUUCUGUGAGAGUAGCAGCAUGGUAGGAUGAAAUUCACACUUCAGGUUAGUUAUGAAGCAGAGGAGCCUCUCUAAAAUUCCCUUUGUUACUUUACUACCUAGAUUUAUCCUAUGGAGUCCCUCCUGUGUUAACUUUAUGUUGUUGGGAAACUUGAAUGCAGGGUGCACCCACAGAUUUUGAUGAUCAAGAUAUCGCAGUUGCUAUUGUUCGUUCCAUUGAAGAUUAUGAAGCAGAGGAAGAUAAAAAACUGAAAAAGUUGGUUGGUAAGUCACACGGCUAUAGGGGGUGACAAUAAACAUUCAUGCCAGUAAUGCUGUUGGAAACUGCUAAUUACUCUUAUCCAACACGAUACAAUAUUACAGGUGCUUAGAAUUGUAGAAUAAAACAAAGUGUAACUAGGUACCUUUAGUAUUACUUUCUAUAUGUGCACUGGUGGUGCUUUUUCACCUUUCUGGGGAUCUUAAUUGAUACCUCAGGAUACUGUUCACUUCAUUCUCACUAAAUGAUCCUGUGUUUUGCAGAUAGAGUACAAAUAUUUCAGCUGUGUUUCUGUUUGUUUUGAUAAUUUUCAUUUUUAAUGCCAAUUAUAGUUAGAAUCUAUGCUUUGCUAGACAUCAUUCAACUGUUUUGGUAUAUAUUUCUCAUCUUGUACUCUUCAACCUGCAUUGAUGGGAUCUAGCAAACUAUUUCUGGCAGGCAGUAAUUGUACCCUGAUUCUUGUUGUGUUAGAUUAAUUUAAGGCACAUGUUCAAGACUCAUGUUGGUUGGUGCUUGACUUAUGAUCAUGUUCAAAUUGUUUUGCAUCAUGAAUAUGCUUCUAAAGGUCUGUCCUGGAUUGAAGUUUUAAUUGGCAAAAGAGAUGGUUUAACAUCGGUGUUUUUUUUUUUCUCUAUGCACUUUUCUGAGACUUGUAAGUUAAAAAUGAAGGUAUUUGCCUUAGGAACUUCGUGCAAACUUUUCUAACACUGUUAAAUGGAUAAGGUCCUUUACAAGGGAAUAUUCAAUAAUUAUUUCAUCACUGAAUGCAUCGUAUUUGUUUUUUUAUUUAUUUUAUUUUUUGGUCUAAUAGAGUAAAUAUUUCUAGUCUCUUAGUUUUUUUUUUUCUAUUUAUCUGUAAGAUAAUGAAUCUCAAUUAAAGGAAGAUGAACAACUUGCCAAAGCUCUUCAAGAGAGUUUGAAUAUGGAGUCUCCUCCUCGACGGGAUGCUCGAAAUAUAUUUCAACCUUUGACAUUCUCCUCACUUGGUUUUAGGUAUGUGCUGUUGCUUGUGAACCCUAUUCUAAAAGUUUAAUUUCUCACUUGCUGAUUGUUCUAAUUUUAAGUGCUGAAGAAAUUUCAAGAGGAAAAACAAAACUUCAUUUCAUUUUGAUUCAUUUUUGAGCCUUUCAAAAUAAGUAGUGAUUGUAUCUCUGGUAGGGGAGUUAGGUCAUGGGUGGGCACUCCUGUUUGAAUGUGCAUUUCUGAUUUGGAAACAUUGCUUAACUUGAUUGCUGAGGCAACUUACAAAAACAAAUGAAUGCCCCCCAACCUAUCAGAGGAUUGAGCAAAACUUGAGAAAUGUUGUAGCUGAAACAACUUUUGACUUCUAAAAAUGUCUUAGGUGGUGUUUGUUUUUUUGGCUUUUUGCUGAAAACCAUUUAGUUUUAGAAUUUAGGUUGUUUGUUUUUUUACUUUUUCAUGACUUAUUAUAAACUUUUUACUAAAUAGAAAAAGCCAAAAUAUGUGGCUUUUUCUAAAUAGAAAAAAUAACACAAUGAUUUUUUUUACUUUUUAAUACUUAAUAGAAAUAAAAUACUACAAAAACAAACAACCUAAUAAUUAAUACUAUUAAGUAUUAAGGUUCUAUUUAGAAUUAAGUAAAAAAACAAACACCACCUUAGUCUUCUUCAUGCUAACAUAUCUGCAUACAUUUGUGAAACAAGGCAAAUUUUGAUGGUGGUGCAAUUAUGGCUUCUAUGUUUAUGGUAAUUCCUUGAGUUUGAAAACAGGAUUGGCCUUCGACUUACAUGGUUAAAAUUCAAACAGUUGUACACACACACACACACACACACACACACACUUAUAUAUAUGUAUAUAUACAAUGGGAGGUAUUUGAGAGUUGAGAAACAGGGUUAACUAGUCAAGCCAUUGCAUCCUAAGACUUUACCAAGUUCCAGAUCAGAAUAGGAUGCUUAAAGGGAUGCAAUAUGUAAGGGUUAGGAAUCUACUAUUGUUCAAAAAUUGGGGCCAUAGGGGUUUCCUUGGGUGUCUUUCAUAGACUAAACAAACACUAGAGAUGUUAAAACAAUGAAGCAUCCAAUAGGUAGAAUAAUAAAAAAGUGUAAUGUAAAAUGUGAUAGCAAGUUAUAAAGGUGGGAAAUAUGUUUAUCUGUCACUAUCUGAGCCUGCUGCACUAUGAUAACAACAGAUGAAAUGCAAAACAUGUUGAGGCUGUUUCACUUUGAUGUCAGCAAAAUUGGACGACAAAACAACCUUUUCCAACAUGGUGGAAUUUUGUAUGGGACUUGUACAUUUAACAUUACCAGUUUCAUAAAUGGUGCUUCUCAUAUUUUUUGUCAUUUUCCUGCAUCAGUUUCAUAGACAUCAUAUGAAACCUCACAUGGAUGAUUACACAAUACCAUUUGUAGGAUCUGUGCUCGGUGCAACCUUGAAAUUGGUCAUGAAAGACAUUUGAGGCGCAUGGGUGCUGUUUGGCAUCCAGAAUGUUUUCGUUGUCAUGCUUGUGGUCUUCGCAUUUUUGAUCUUGAGGUCCAAAUCCAGUUCAGAUUUAUUCUAGUUUUGGUCUGACAUUGGCUAAUGAAAUGCUUGGAUACUAAGCUGAUUUUCAACUAAUUUUGGUGGUUCUAUGGAAUGCACUUGCUUAUUUUCAUUUUUUUCCCCCUUUGUUUGGUAGUUUUCUGUGUCUGGAAAUCGCCCAUAUCAUGAAUCAUGCUACAAGGAUCAAAAUCAUCCAAGAUGUAACGUUUGCAAGAACUUUGUAAGUGUCAAUCCAAAGGCGGGACAAUAUAACUUUAUAUUCUGCAAAAGCUAGUUCUAUUUAUUUGAUCUAUAUCCAGUAUGAAUAUGUGAAGUAUUCUUUGGUUACCAGCUUUCAACAUCAUAUCAUCCCUCCAAAAAUAAACUGUUCAGUAUCAAUUUCAGUGGUUGGUCUUUUCUCCAUUCUUUUCCCUUAACUAAUAAUCUGAUUAUCAUAUUCUUGCAUAGUGAUCAGAAACUUCAUUAGCAGACACUCUAGACUGAGGAAAUGUGAAAUCUAAUACUCUCACCAUAUUGUUACCUGCAUUAAUAAGUACCAAAGAGCUAUUUGAAACACCAUAAAAUUGCCAGCCAAUUUUUACAUAGCUGAUAUCUAUUGGUCAUUUCUUUGCUGAUGGCACUGUAAGUGGACUGGCCUAAAAGAAAGUUUGACGAUUCUUUCUCUUGAAGUGAAAAGUGUAAAUCAAGUAGGAUCAUUUUCUUGCUAUUCUGUUUCCUUUAGUUUAAAUAAGAUGGACCAUUCUUGGAAUUUCUAAAACUGGAUAUAAGGUAGGUUGUGAAAGCAAUUACAUAGGAGAAUGAAUGAAUCCUAAUGGUCCAAGGAAUGAUUUCAAUUACCUAUUUAUAGCAGACAACCUCCAAAGUUAUGAUUUUGUUUAGAAUUGUUUCCCCUGUUAAAAUAUCACUUCCUCUCCUUGUUUAGGUUUGUUUCUAAUAGAAAUGCCAGAGUAGGGAUCUCUGGAUGGAGGAGGAUGGGCAUGGUUUGUGGAAUCCUUGCUUUCUUAAGGGGUUUCAUGAUUGGGAGUUGGAAGCAGUGGGCAGAUUUUGUUAUUUCCGUCAAGUACUGAUACAGUGACAUUACAUUUUCUUUUCCUAUCAAAUACAAGUUGUUUGUAAAAAUAUAUUUGGGGCCCUAACUUCCUGUUGCAUUUCUCUUUUUAGUUUGGUACCAAGUGCAUCCAAAGGGUGACCUAAACUCAAAACUGAACUCAAGUAAACAGAAUAAAUAUCCCCUACUAUACUAGUCUUGUUGUACUUGUUUUUGGGGGUCAUUGAUCUUGGAUGGCUAUAGGAUUUCAUAAGUUGUAUGCUUAGAGCUUCACAUGCAAACCAGAUAGGAAGAUUUGGAUUUAGGUAAAAGAUACGCUUAUCCAGGCAUUUACUGCCUUCUUGGAUGAUCCUGUCAACGGCUCAUUCUUCACCACCAUAGCUAUCUUUUGACCGGAUUGGCUACUUAGUUCUGGUGCUUAUAGAAUAUAUUUUGCUUUCAUAUAUUUACAUAAUUCAGGGGUUCUGAGUUAUGAAUGUUAUCUUCAAGUUUACCAUGAUGUUCUACAUUAUGAAACCAUUUUGAAGAAACUAGAUGUGCAAUGUAUAUUUGUUUCUUUUGUAUGUUUUUCACAAAUGAUACUGUAGCAUUAAUGUAAUUCUUUCCCUUUUGUACAGAUUCCAUCAAAUGCAGCUGGAGAAACAGAGUAUAGAGCACAUCCUUUCUGGAUGCAAGAGUACUGUCCCUCACAUGAGCAUGAUGGAACUCCUCGGUGUUGUAGUUGUGAACGAACAGAGGUUAGUUGGAAGAAAAUACAACCUCCCAUCCCACAUACUCACUGAAGAAAUCUUCUCGUAGCUUGACAGAUUAACAACUACAGAUUUCUAUUUUUCGUUUUGUAUUUCUUUAUAGAAAAUCUGCCAACCCAUGCAGGUAAGGGACAUUAGGUAUCUAUCACUUGAUGAUGGUAGGAAACUAUGUCUGGAGUGCCUGGACUCUGCUAUCAUGGAUACACUAGAGUGCCAGCCUCUUUACCUUCAAAUACAAGAAUUUUAUGAGGGUUUGAAUAUGAAAGUGGAGCAGCAAAUCCCUCUUCUCUUGGUUGAGAGACAAGCACUAAAUGAGGCCAUGGAGGGAGAAAAGAGUGUAAGGACUAAUGCAUUGAAGUGAUCAUAUUUCAUACCAACAGGAAUUUUCUCGUCUUGUAUUUUAAGUUUCCAUGAAGUUUGAAUGUUCUCUUUAUUGUAUGGGCAGGGACAUCACCUCUUGCCCGAGACUAGAGGACUCUGCCUCUCCGAAGAACAGACUGUUAGCACUGUAGGAUUUUCUUUCUCAGAAAUCUUACUUCAAAUUUGUGGUGUGAUAUACUUUUAGUAACGUAUCUAUUAGUGGAUUAUGAAUCUAUGCUUAUUUGGCUGUAAUGACCAGAUUUCGAGGAGGCCUAGGAUUAGUACAGGCUAUCGGAUUAUCAACAUGAUGACAGAACCUUGUAGGCUAGUCCGUCGAUGUGAAGUGACAGCAAUUCUUAUUUUGUAUGGGCUCCCGAGGUAUUAUAUCUCUUAUGCUCUCUAUCCCAAAAUGUUUACUUGCUUGAUUAGUUUUGAUGUAUGUGUCGCAACCAAAAAAUCCCUCCUAAAAUACAGAUUGCUGACCGGGACGAUCCUGGCUCACGAGAUGAUGCAUGCAUGGCUCAAACUGAAAGGUACUUAUCCGUUCAGUGACAAAUAUUGCGUUGACAAUUGUUUCUAUUCAAGCCCUCUGAAAUGUGAUUAAUCUAUGUUCUUCAAAUGUUGCACUUCCUGUUUUCCAUUCAUAAUGAGAAGCUAGAAAUUAAUAACCAAGUGUUUGGCAGGCUAUCGAAAUCUGAGACAGGAUGUUGAAGAAGGCAUCUGCCAGGUGUUGGCUUAUAUGUGGUUGGAAUCAGAGAUACAUUCAAGCUCUGGUAACAAUGUUUCUUCAGCUUCAACGCCAUCAUCAUCAUCCACAUCAGAGAAGGGUGCACGGUCUCAGUUUGAAAAGAAACUCGGUGAGUUUUUUAAAGAUCAGAUAGAGACAGAUAGUUCACCAGCUUAUGGGGACGGAUUUAGGGCUGGUAACCAAGCAGUGCAGCAGUACGGCCUCAAGAGUACCCUCGACCAUAUUCGGCUGACAGGAAGCUUUCCUUACUGAAAGUCGAUCAAUAACUCCCGCCCCAUUAUCUUCUAGUUUUACAGGACCUAGACCCACAUGAAUUAUAAACAUCACAUGAAGAAAUAAGCAGCUAAAUGUUGCUUCUCGUGACCAAUUGCUGAAUUUUCCGUACUGUGGGCACCACUAUUUUACUAUUUUGCCUAAUAAUUAUUAACAUGUAGUAAAAAAAAUUGGAAUCUAUGAUCAUAUGUGUUUUCCCUUUUUUGUUUGUGACAUGUCCUGUGUUCAAUUGUAAGAAGCUGAGGUGCUUGUAGCCUAGGAUUGCAUGCCAACUAGCUUUCUAAAUCUCUUUUCAAGAAACAGAGCUAGCUUUUUUGUUCUUCUUUUUUCAAUUAAAAUCAACGGUAUUGGAAGCAUAAUGGCGAUAAUUUCAUUCAGUAGUAAGAGGAACAUAUUUAUUUUUCCGGCUAUGAAGCCAACACCAGUGCUUGUCUCUCUCUCCAGCUAUUCUGAAUCAUCUUACCUUUAAUUUGCACCAGCAAGAGUGUCUCCUCUUUGAGAAUAUUGAUGAGCUCUCCUCUUGAGAAAUUUCACUUGGGAGGGUUCUAAUAUUUCAUAUUUUAAUAGCAAAAUGUCUUACAAUUAGAGGAAAAUGAGAUGGACACCCUACAAUGUUUUUGACAAUUACAUUGAUACCACUCCAAUUUUUUUAAAUUAUGAUGGCUAGUGGACAAUUCAUCAUCUAAUUAUGUUUUUUUAGGACCAGCACUCCUAUUGAGGUGGUCACAAUACAAUCUUAGCAAGUUGAAUUAUCACAUAUCAUAGAAUUUAGGCCUAAUCCUUGUAGAUUUGAAGUUGAGCCUAUGUGAGGGCAAACAAUAAUGGGUUGUGACUUCAGUGAGGCCCACUAGACAUGACAAAAACCCUUUUUACUCAUGUAGGCCUAUGUGCCAUGGGACGGAGGCUUGGCGUAGAAGAUGGUGAUGACAUAGGGUUUUAGUGAGGUGGAAAGAAGGGCAACCAUUGAGUUGUAGAAGAUAUAAGGUUUAAGGGUGAGAGUGAAGAUGUGAAUGGAGAGGAUGAGGAUGACAAUGAAGAUGAUGGUGAGAAAGCAUAAUGUGACAUUAGUGAUGAUGUUGAUGACAUUGAGUAAUGGCCACCAAGUCAUGUAUGUGAAACCAAGGUUUGGUUAAUGUCGGUUUUGAUGAUAAUAAAACAAGGUUUAAAAUUAAUGAUUAUAUUUCAAGUGUAAUUAGGUAAGGCGAUUUCCAAAGUGACAAUUACAAAGACAAAUUAAGCCAAGGAGAAAUCAUGAGGAAGAAGACCACCUCAAUGAAAAGUGUUUUUCAAGACUCAAGCUUCAUAAGAUCUCUUUGUAAGGUUGUUGGUGCACUAGAAUUUUCAUGCAUUAGAUUCUUUACUUAUGCACCAAAAUCAUCUAAGAGUUAUUUUGUUUUAAAUAUUUUAAAAAUUGGAUGAUUUCAUGUUUUUAACUAAAACCUCGUGUCAAAUGUUUUUCAAACUUGUUUUAAAAUGUUUUAAGUUGAAAAAGUUGGUUGUUGAGCAAAAAACAGCUCAAUCGGUCGACCCCCAACUCAACCGGUCGAGGUCCGAGUCAACCCCUAGCUCAACCGGUUGAGGGUGUAAAAAACUUUCUCUUUCUUCCAGAACGGUUGUUCAACUGGUCAAGGUUGAACCUCAAUCGAUUGAGGUUUGGUCAAGGUCCAACAGUCACCUACCAAACAUUAAUUGCUAAUGGCUAGUCAACUGGUCGACCCCUAGCUCAACCGGUCAAAUUUCUAACGGCUAGUUUGGUUUUUUUCCUCUAUAAAAAAAGCUCCAAAUCUUCAUUGUUUAUCAGCUCAACCUUCCCAAACCUUUCUUAAAUAUAUUUGAGCCUUGGAAUAGUGUUUUGAGUGCAUCAUUGUUUUAAAACUUGCAUAUCUUUAGUGCACCAUUCAAUCCUAGUUUUCUUGUAUCAUUUGAGCUUAAAGUUUUUGUACUAGGAUUUUAUGAGAUCAAUUAUUUAUACAUCUUUAAGAUGAAGAUUCUCCAGUGUGGGGUAUCACUUGAGAGGUUGUUCAAGAGUGGGGUUUCUCUUAAGGAUUGUAAAGGUUGCUUGGAGCUAAAAGUCCAAGAGGGUGGAUUAGAAUCAUAAUCCAAUUGUAUUGCUUGAAGGCUUGGUUUGGAAACCUUGAAUUAGUGGAACCUCAAGCUUGGGAUUGAAGCUAGAGGAGAGUGGAUGUAGGUUGGGUUGUGCCGAACCACUAUAAAAUCUUGUGUUUGUAUUCUCUCUUCCCUACUCUUUUACUUUAUAUGCAAUUGUCUUUAUAUUGUUUUAUUAUAUACUUGCAUAUAUUUGUCUCUUACAUUCACAUGAUAUAAAUUUGCAAAAAGAGACCAUCACCCUAUUCACCCCCCUCUAGGGUGAUUAUUAUAGGUUGUAUUAGCCUAAUUUUUUUAACAAUUCUUGUAGGAUCUCAAGCGCUACCAACUAACCUAAAAGCAAUUGCUUAUAGGAAAGAUGCAUACCCUAGUCUUAUAGUGCAUUCACCCAAGUGCCCAUGGCGAACACAAGGAGAGUUGAUGGACAUGACCAACCCUCCGAUUUGCCAACAAUUUCCCCCCCAACGACACCCUUGGGGUUCGAACUCGUGACCUCGGCUCUGAUACAACUUGUAGGACUUUAGACGCUACCAACUCUCCUAAAAGCAAUUGCUUAUAGGAAAUGCGCAUACCCUAACUUUAUAGUGCAUUCACCCAAGUGCCCACAACGAACACAAGAAGAGUUAAUGGACGCGGCCAACCCUCCGAUCUGCAAACAAUGUAGAUGAGAGUGGUGACUUGACAGAAAUAGUGCAUCAAAUAGGUUUCAUAUUAAUGAUGAGCUUCAAGGUACAAAUCCAAUGAUGGUGAUGGGAGGGGGGUUCAAUGCAGUUUUGUCUUAGGAAGUGAAGAGGCUUGUCAUUACAUAAACAUCGAUAUUAAAGGGGAGACAUACAAUGUUGAUUAAGGGAAUGACAUAAGAUUGAGGAAAGGUUUGUUGUUUGGUAAUGUGCAUUUCUUUAAAGCCAUAUCGAGGGCUUUUAUGAUCCCAAAGGGCUUUGAAAUAAAAAAGAUAAAGAAUCAGGGAACUAGGGUGAUUGCUAGGUGUGUAACCAAGGAAUAUCCUUGCAGAAUUGAUGGCUCUCUAACAAUGAUGGGGUGACUUACAUGAUCAAGAUAAUGUCAAAUGCAAAUAAUUGUCGUAAAAUUUCAAUAAUCAAAUGUGAGAAGAAGAGGCCUCUAUAACCCUCGGUUGUUUCUUAUAUGGGAAGCUUGGUCAUAAUAAAAAAGAUAUGUCUAAUGCCUCCUAAAACAAUAAGGAAUGGUAAAAAAAUCAUUUCAAGUGAUAAGGGAGAAUCAAAUUCUCCAUGAUACGUGUUUCCUUCCUUUUCUGUUAACAUAAUAUCCGCUUGUAUAGCUGUAGGGAUAUGCUCAAUAUUUGUAUUUGAUUCUUUCCUAUUAUGUAAGAGUUUACAACUGUAAUUAUCGUGUAUAUAUAAUGAAGAGUUAUCUCCUCAUCUGGUAAGGAGGAUUUCAGUCAUUUACCGUGUUUAUCAAACACCUUUAUGUUAUCAGUUUCAAGUUUUCUUUUUUUCGAUUCUGACCAUGGCUGUUUUGUCUUCUUCACCUCCUACUCUUCCACUCAAUAUAAUGGUGCAUAUGCUCACCAUUAAACUGACCUCCUCUAAUUAUCUAUUGUGGAGAAAUCAGUUCGUUCCUCUGUUAGCUAGUCAAGAGCUUUUUGGUUAUUUGGACGGUAGCAUCACGACUCCUUCUCCCAUGAUUACUGCCUCUGAUGGCACCCCAAAAUCCAAUCCUGCAUAUACCUCUUGGCUGCAUACUGAUCAUACACUGCUCAGUUUACUCUAUUCUUCUCUCACAGAGGAAUCUAUGAGUGAGGUACUAGGUUUCCGUCACUCCCACGAGGCCUGGCAUGCGCUUGAAGUCUCAUUUUCGCACCGAUCAAAGACUCGUGAACUGCAACUCAAGGAUGAACUCCAGCUGACGCACCGUGGCUCUCAGUCCAUUGCUGAGUUUUCUUGCACCUUCAAAGGCCUUUACGAUCAACUGGCUGCUAUUGGACGUCCCAUUGAUGACACGGAUAAAGUCCACUGGUACCUACGCGCAUUGGGACCCGACUACAAGAUCUUUUCUACCACCAUGAUGUCACAACUUCCUCUACCAUCCUUUGCUGAAAUUGUUCCGAAAGCUUUGAGCCAUGAAAUCUUUGAACGGUCAGUUUCCCAUUCAUCUUCCAACUCUGCUUAUUUUGUGCAGCAAACUUCCAAAGUGGCUGGUCAUAAGCAAGUGAAGCAUUGGUCUUCAGCUUCUCCUACACCGUUUGCCAACUCAAAGUCAUCAUCCAACUCCUCCGUCCACUGUCAGUUGUGUGACAAAGAGGGCCACUCGGCUAAACGUUGCUGGAGUUUCCUGAAACUCAAGAAGAAGCAAUCGGCUAACCUUGCUAAGGCUUUUUCUGCUUGCUCGAUUCAGGAUUUUAAUGACUCUGAAUGGUUCCCUGACUCUGGUGCAACGUCCCACAUGACUAGUGACACUGAAGGUGUGGAUCAACCAGUUGUCUAUUCUGGUAAUGAACGUGUCAUGGUUGGCAAUGGUCAGUUCUUAGCAAUCUCUCACACUGGUUCCAUUUCAUCUCUUGUUCCGUCUAGUCCUCUUCUUUUAUCUAAUGUCUUAGUUGUUCCUGGAAUUAAGAAAAAUCUUAUUUCUAUUAGUCAACUUACUAAAGACAAUAAUUGUUGUGUUACAUUUUCUUCCUCUGGUUUUACCAUACAGGAUCGGGUCACAAGAGUGGUACUAGGAGUCGGAAGAUGUGAAAAUGGUCUCUACGUGCUGGAUUGUCGUCAUCAUGCCUUAGUGUCCACUACUUCUUCACCGCGAGCAUCUGUUCGUUUAUGGCAUACUCGCCUUGGUCAUCCACAUUAUCGUACUGUUGCUUCUCUUUCUAAAUUAGGAUCUAUUUCUUGUAGUAAUAAAUUGGUGAACAAUGAUUUUGAAAUUUGUGUUGGUUGUAGACUCGGCAAAAGCCACCGUUUACCUUUUUCUCUAAAUAAUGAACGUUGUGCUAUGCCUUUUGAUCGUUUACACUGUGACCUAUGGGGUCCAUCACCAGUUUCUUCCUUUAAUGGAUAUCGAUACUAUGCGGUUUUCAUUGAUGAUUGUACUAGAUUUAGUUGGAUAUUUCCUUUAAAACACAAAUCUGAUUUCUUUGAUAAUUUCAUCAAUUUACAACGUUUUAUUGAGACACAGUUUUCCGCCAAAAUCAAAUCAUUUCAGUGUGAUGGUGGAACUGAGUUUACUAAUAAUAAGUUUCGCUCUCAUUUGCAUUUGUGUGGCAUUGAUCUUCGUCUGGCAUGUCCUUACACUCCUAGUCAAAAUGGAAUUGCUGAACGUAAGCAUCGUCAUGUCACAGAAACAGGUCUUACUCUUAUGUUUCAUGCUUGUGUGUCGUUCUCCUUAUGGGUUGAGGCCUUCUCUACUGCCGUCUUUCUCAUUAACCGACUCCCGUCACCAUCUCUUGCUGGCAAAACACCUUAUGAGCUCCUGUUUGGUAAGCAACCUGAUUAUUCUAUGCUUCGUACUUUUGGGUGUCUUUGCUUCCCUUAUUUGAGAGAUUACUCACCUAAUAAAUUGUCUCCAAAAUCUACUCCUUGUGUCUUUUUAGGUUACAAUACCCUUCAUAAAGGAUUUCGGUGCUUAGAUCGUAAGACACAUCGUGCCUAUGUUUCUCGACAUGUGCAGUUUUAUGAACAUACAUUUCCCUAUAAUGGUGAUUCUGUGCAAAAUCUGCCAUCUAACAUUGACUAUAUUCAUUUUUCUGAGUCUCAGGAAUGUGUUUCUAGUUCUUCUAACGUUAGUACUUUAAAUUCUUUGCCUUCACCAUCUUUCUCGAAUUCUCUGUGUCUGCUUUGCAAUGAUAUUCCACACUUGUCUUCGACUUCUUCUCCUGGUCCGCAAGUUCCUCUUGAUGAGGACUCUCUCUUGGAUUCUGUUGUUACAGAUUCGACCACUCCUUCACCAGUUUCGUCCUCUCCUCGUGUGACCACUUCCAGCCAUCCGAUGAUUACUAGAGGGAAAGCUGGUAUAUUCAAACCAUAGUUGUAUCAUGCUAUGAAUAUCUCAUCUUCUUCUCAGUUGUUUCAGGCUCUUUUUGCUCUCAAAGAGCCACGAGGCUUCAAGUCUACUGCAAAACACCCUGAAUGGCUCUCGGCUAUGGAUGAUGAAAUUCACGCACUGAAGAAAAAUGAUACGUGGGUUUUUGUACCUCGUCCUCAGCAUCAUAAUGUGGUUGGCUGUCGCUGGAUUUUCAAAACAAAGAUUCACUCUGAUGGGUCUAUUGAGCAUCACAAGGCACGUCUUGUGGCUCAAGGAUUUUCUCAAGUUCAUGGUCUUGAUUUUGGUGACACCUUUAGCCCUGUGGUGCGUCCUGCUACAGUUAGAAUCAUUCUAUCCUUGGUUGUUACUUCUGGAUGGCGUUUACAUCAGCUAGAUGUUAAAAAUGCCUUUCUUCAUGGCUUUCUCAACGAAGAGGUGUACAUGGAACAACCGCCUGGCUACACUGAUCCACAAUUUCCUCAGCAUGUUUGUCAUCUAAAACGUGCUCUUUAUGGCUUGAAACAAGCUCCUCGAGCUUGGUUUCAUCGAUUUAGCUCAUUUUUGCUCAAACUUGGUUUUCACUCUAGUCAGGCUGAUUCUUCGUUGUUUGUCUAUCACUCCUCGCUUGGUACUGUUUACUUGCUUCUUUAUGUUGAUGACAUGAUCAUCACUGGAAGUACUCCUUCUCUGGUUCACACCUUUAUUACUCGGCUUUCCAACGAAUUCUCCAUGAAGGAUUUGGGUGAUCUUCUAUAUUUUCUUGGAGUUGAAGUCCAAGCUAAUGAGAAGGGUCUAUUUCUCAGUCAAACGAAGUAUGCUCUUGAUCUCUUGCAACGUGCUUCAAUGAUUGAUGCCAAGCCUAUUUCUACACCUUUUGUUAUUGGACAGCAUCUAUUCGCCGAAGGGACUCUAUUCUCCGACCCUACUCUGUUUCGUUCUCUUGCCGGUGCUCUUCAAUACCUCACGAUCACCAGGCCUGAUUUGUCCUUCAGUGUCAACUCCAUUUGCCAGUUCAUGCAUGCUCCCACCGAGGAUCAUUUUCGUGCUUUCAAGCGUAUCUUGCGCUAUGUUAAAGGCACUGCUCAUCAUGGUCUUCAACUUCACAAACAGUCCACUCGUGAUCUUCUUGGCUACUCUGAUGCGGACUGGGCUGGAUGUCCUGAUACACGUCGUUCUACUAGCGGCUAUGCUAUCUUUUUUGGAGCUAAUUUAAUCUCUUGGUCUUCUAAGAAACAAAGCACUGUCUCUCGUUCAAGUGCAGAAGCCGAAUAUCGCUCCUUAGCUGUUGCUACUGCUGAUAUUGCAUGGAUUAUUCAGUUGCUUCGGGACCUUCAUGUUACACUCUCAGUACCACCUAAAAUUCUUUGUGACAAUCAAAGUGCAAUUUUUAUGGCAGUCAAUUCGGUUACUCGUCCUCGAUCCAAACAUAUUACAAUCGACUACCAUUUUGUUCGUGAACUUGUUGAUAAAGGCACUUUGAAAAUUGAUUUUGUUCCUUCACAUCUACAGCUUGCUGAUUCACUGACCAAAGGAGUUACCAAGCCACAGUUCUAUCUCUUUCGAAGCAAGCUCAGCGUUCUCCCUUCUACCACGCUCACCUUGCAGGGGGGUGAUAAGGGAGAAUUUGAUUCUCCAUGAUACGUGCUUCCUUCCUUUUCUGUUAACAUAAUAUCCGCUUGUAUAGCUGUAGGGAUAUGCUCAAUAUUUGUAUUUGAUUCUUUCCUAUUAUGUAAGAGUUUACAACUGUAAUUAUCGUGUAUAUAUAAUGAAGAGUUAUCUCCUCAUCUGGUAAGGAGGAUUUCAGUCAUUUACCGUGUUUAUCAAACACCUUUAUCAAGCAAACAAGAAAGAGAAUAUAGCUAAGAAGGAGGAUGCAAACAAGACAAACAAGAUAAAGAACAUGAUAUAGGAGUUAGAGCACCCAAUAAAGGCAAAAUACCAUUUCAAAGAAGUGGAGCCACUAGUGGGAGAGGGAGAUUUGCAUUGUCAGAAUUGGUCAUCAAUAUUAGAUUAAUCAUCAAUAACAACAAGGACAUUAUUAGUAGUAGGGCAUCAACAAUAGGAAGAAUAAUAGAAAAGGUAGUUGAAUAAGUAUUAGCAUCAGAACAGGGAGGACUAAAGACAUCCAUAAACCUUUAUAGUGACCUUUUUUCUUAUCAAUCGCAAAGGUAAAUCCAAUCAACAUAUGAGUUUGAUUAAUCAGGAAUAUCUAAAACUAGAGCUUGUCAUGAGGAGAAGAAAAAAAAAAGAUUUUAGGCUAGGAUGAUACGUCUCACAUAGAGCCACUAGUAUAAAGAAAAUAAAAAAUUAAAAGAAAUUCAUCCAUCAAUCACACAUUAAUGGAAGCAAUCAAGUAGGAACUAAUUAAUAUACAUGAAACAUCCAUACAAUCAUUUAUAUGAAUUCAUUCAUUAUCCUUAUUCAAUCAUACAUAACAAUUAUUAGUAACAACAUCAUAUUGGCAAACAUAAAAAAUAAUACAAAUAUUUCUAGGCCUGUGGGAUUAGUCGAGGUGCGCGUAAACUGGUCCGGACAUCCACGGUUAUAAAAAUAUAGGGAGAAUUGUGUUUUGGGCCCAGCUGAGCCCAAAAAUUAACAUUUGGUCCAUAUAACUUCCAUAAUUGAUGGAAAGGAUAUGAGAUGUUAAAAGACCAAUAUAUCCUUCAAAUUUCUAUACAUUACCUUUUAAAGACAUAAAAUAGUGAUGGACUAAAAUACCCAAUGACCUUUCACAUAAACUUUUUUUUUGUCUUUAUUGCACCAUUAUUCAUGCAAUCAUAAUAAUUUUAUUUUAACAAUUUGGAUUUUUCAUUAUUUUAAUUUUUUUUUAUAAAUAAUUGAAAAUCAACAUUAUUUUCUAUUUUAAAUUAUAAAUAAAGAAAAAUUAUGUUCCAAAGCUAUUUUAAAAAAUACUUUCUAAAAAAUAGUAAUAUGAUUUAUAUUUUUUAUAUUUUCUUUUUGAAAAAACAUUUAAUUAAAAAAUGAAAACUAUUUUAAAAAAUAAAAAUUGAAAACCUUGUUUAGUACUAUUUUUUAUAUGAAAAUAAUAAAAAGAACUAAAUUUCAUUCAUUGAUUAUCCAUUUUUAUUUUUUUUCAUUAGUUAUUUUAAUAAUAAAAAAAAAAAAUAGUAUGUUUACGAUUAAACAAAGAAAUUGAUCAAUUAUGUGUUUUUUGUGGGACUAUCUUUUACAUGAAAAAUAAUUAAAUAACUAAAUUAUAUAUAUUUAUUACUCUUUUUAAUUUUAUUUUCUUUAUUUAUUUUUUAUCGAAAAUUUUAAUAUAUCCAUAAUUAACAAAGUAAUAAAUCAAUUGUGCACAUUUUAAUCUAUUAAAAUAAAUUAAUUUCUAAUUUAAUAAAUAAAAUGAAAUAAGUAAAUAAAUUUGGGGUUAUUUCUAUUUUUUAAUAUAUCUUAUAUCAAUAUUUUUUAUGAUUAAAUAAAUUUUUUAUUUUUUAUUUCUUUAAUUCCAAAAAUAAAAUGAAAUAAAUAAAUAAAUUUAGAAUUUUCCAACUGAUCUUAUAUUCAUAUUUCUUAUGGUUAAAUAAAUUUUUUAUUUUUUUUCUUUAUUUCCAAAAAUAAAAGGAAAUAAAUAAAUAAAUUUGGCUUAAAUAAUAGUUUUUAAGUAAUUUCUUUGUCUUGUUUUUAAUUACAUUUUGCAUUGAAAAUAAAAUAAAAUAACGUUUUUUUUAGUCACUGUACAAGGCAUUUACACUAAGUGUACAUGACAAAUAUACUAACUAUACAAUGGUGUACAAAACUAUUAUUUGUGAAGGAUUUUAAGUGAUUCUAAAAAAUUUGUUUGUUUAUUUCCCUUAACCGAUGAUAAAUGACAUUCCUUACACACAUUGGUUAAACAUACAUUUAUCUCAUGUAUUUUAUCUAACUUGUAUAUGGUCAUUUUAAUAGGUACCUCACUUAUGAUGAUUGUAAAACAAAAUUAUACAACAAUUUUUUUUCCUUUUUAAAACCAAACUGAUGCAAACAUGGUUAACCGACCUAUUGUUAGAUAUUCAUAAAAUGAUGUAUGAAAUUUGAGUUAUUGUAAAGGGUAUUACACUAACUGUAUAAGACAAAUUUACUAAUUGUACAAGGGUGUACAAGACUACUUUUUGUUAAGGAUUUAAAGUGAUUUCGAAAAACUUUCCCAUUUUUUUCCACUCAAAUAUUUUUUCCCCACUCAAAUUCUCUCACUCAAGAAUUGUUUCGAAUUUUAUUUUUAAAUUUCAUCAUCAAAUUUUUGUAAUUGCAUAUUUUGUUUUUGUAGUUUUAGCAAUGUUCUUUCUUUCCACUAUUUUUUUUUUUUUGUGAAAUUUUAUCCAAAUGAAUCUAUAUUUAAAAUUAUAAUUAUAUUUAUCAAAUUUUUUACUAAGAUUAUCUUUAAUUUUUUUAAUAUAUUUAUACUCAUUUAUUUAAAAAAUGAAAAACUAAUUCUUUUUGUAAACAUGUUCUAUUACCUUUCAAGUAAAAAAUUAGAUAAGUUUCAAAGUCAAUAAAUAAAAAAAUUAAAUACCACUUUCAAUAAUUUUUAGAUAAAAUUUUGUAUAAUAUAUUUUAUUUGAAACUUAAUUUUUAAAGUUUAACUAAAAAAUUGUAUUGACAAUUUUCUUGUUGUGGGUCAAAAUACUUUGCAUUAGUUUAUUUAGAUAAGAAAAAUUAUUAAUAUAAUAUUAGAACUUCAUAUCUUAGUUAUUUUUUUUCAACAAAUUUAUCUUUUUAAAAAUUUUAAAAUAAAAACAUUAAAAAUUAAAAAGCUAAAAAGAUAUAUAUAUAUAUAUAAUAAAGUGAAGUGAUAGUUAAUUUUAAAAUUUUUUAAAAUAUGGUUAAUGUAGAAAGUAUAAAAAAUAAGAGAAAAAUAUAGAUGAAAGGGUAAUAUAAAUUUAAAAUAAAAAAUGAAAAUUAAACUAAAAGAUAAAUAUAAAAAGAUAAAAAAUAUUUGGAUGAAAAAUCCCAAAAUUUUUAUCAUUGCUUUUAAUAAGAGCAAAAAGAUUCAAUAUCUUUAAAAUAGAAAUAUAUAUUGGAAUAAAAAGGAAAAAAAAAGUUAGAAAUGAGUAAUAUUUAAUAGGGAAUAGAAAAGGAAAAAAAACACAAAAAAAAAUUAAAAUUCACACUCACUUGUAGGCAUAUAAGGGAUAAGGGUAUUUUAGGAAUUAAUGAAAGACAAUAUCCUUCAUCUUAAUUUUCAUACUUUGUUUGGGUCUUGGGCUUAAAUAUGAGUGGUUGGAGGACCAAAUGUUAAUUUUUGGGCCCAGCUGGGCCCAAAACACAAUUCUCCCAAAUAAAAAUAAUAAUAAUAAUAAUGCAAAUGUGAUAUAAGAUGAUUUCAAUGUUUUCUAGAUCCCCCUUGUCUCCUUUAGGUUGAUCUUCUCUUUCAACUUAAGAGAAGAAUUGUCAUCCUCCAUUAUCUGGUACAAUUUUAAUUUUUUCACGAUUUUAUUUUAUUAUUUAUUUAUUUUUUCAUUUUUGACCUUAUUCUAGUUCUACUUCUACCCCAUCAUAGUCUUAUUUUACACAUUUCCAUGUCAGAUUAAACUUAAUAAGCGGUAGGCUUUUUCUCUUUCCCGCGGUGUUGCAGAAAUAUAGAGGGAAAGGGGUGAGAAGGGAAGUUAAGCGGUGAGCGAGAUGCAGAAGGAAGCCACCGAAGCGCUGAAGAAAGGCCAACCCCAUCGACAAACCCUUCUCUCUUAGUCUUUGUAGUUGGAGAAAACUCAGAACACUCAUCUGACAAAACUACGUUCCGUGGUAUUAACUCUCUUUCGGUGCACACCAGGUGCUUGAUGUUUUAAUUUUUGUGGGAAGGCUAAAAAUUGAUGAGAUCCAACAUAUUCUAUACGUCCCAGAUGAGAAUAACCACAUUUUGGACGUCCAUACUCCCAUAGGAUUGUGGAAUUGGUUCUAACCAGUUCUGCACAACCCAGUGCAGCCUGGAUUCUUCCAUUAAGAGAUCUCAAUUACAGUUUUCUCUGUUUAUUUAAUCCCUUUUGUAAAACUAGUCACGGUUUGGCUACGUACUUUACUCACCAAUAACUCUAAGUCAGUGGGGUUUUUCUACAAUUUGCACAUUAUGCAUUAACAUUCAUCAUAAUCUCCAAUUAUGUCUUCUUCAUAGUUUCCAUUGAAAAGUUAGCGUGUUAUGCAUCAUUCUCUAUUACAUAGUGGUGGUUAACUUGAGAAGCAUCAAACUUUUGCUCAACUGAUUUGUUAUGUUUCUGAACUAACUUACAAUAUAAUUUAUAGAGUGAUCACUAUUAUGGUCUUCAAGAAGUCUCAAUGUACGUCAAGCAGCUCUUCCGAAAAUUAUGUCUAUUUAACAAUCCAAUGCAGCAAACUCGAUACUUUACCCAUAACCCUUUCUCUGGUAAAAUCUCUCUUUACCUCCAUCGAGCCAGACUCAUUGAUUCAAUUCGACUCAUUCUCCGCUCCAACGCUCCAAGAUCGCUCAUCCCUCUCUUAAAUGAUCCCACUGUUGACUCUUUUGUGGUUGCUAAUGCCCUUCAGUCUGCUCCCUCACCAGACUCUGCCCUUUCCCUGCUUGAAAUCCUAAAAACAAUUCCACAUUUCUGUCACACCCAAGCCACCAUACGUGCACUGGCCAAAAUCCUUGCCAAGUCCCAACGAAGUGCUGAACUCAAAAGCUUGGUUGAUGACAUCAACGCAGGCAAAUUUUGGAAUGUUCGUAUCAGCUUUAUGGAGCUCAUGAAGUGGCAUGCUGCAGCUGGAGACCUGGAGUCAGUUCUCCAUGCAUGGAACAGAUAUAGAGUUUCAGGCAAGCAGGUGUCUAUAGAGGCUUACAACAUUGUCAUGCGCCUUUAUGUACAGAUGGGUAAGGACUCUGAGGCUAUGCAGAUUUUCCAUAAGAUUAUUUCUGAAGGGGCAAUUCCUAAUUCUAGGACAUACACAGUUGUGCUUGAGCACCUUGCCAACUCGGGAAAAUUAGAUUCAGCAAUUAAAGUUUUUAAUAUAUUGCCAUUGAUGAGGAUCAGACGCACUUUAAGGCAGUAUUCAAUUUUGGUAGAAGAAUUCACCAGUAUCAAUCGGUUUGAUGUGGUUAAGGCCUUACUUGAUGAGAUGCAGAUUGAUGGAAUAUUGCCCGGUAGAGCAAUGCAACUGUCAUUGCAACGUAUGCAGGAGGCAGGUUUCGUCCACGAGACAGAUGAAUUUCUUAGGGGAAUGUUACCAGAUGAGAGAAUCAAGAAUGUAGGCUUUUGUGUGGAUAGUAGUGAUGACGAUGACGAUGAGAAUAAUCAUUCUAGUGAUGAUGCUGGUGUGGAUGGGGUUCAGUUGAAACCAUGGUUGGAUCCUAGAGCUUUGGCCAAUGCCUUAAAUAAUUGGGACCCUAAUGAGGUAUUAGCCCUGGAGGAAGCAAAAUUCAUCUGGACAACUCGGUUGGUUUGCAAGAUCCUUAGGAAUUUCAAUUCCCCUGAGACAGCUUGGAAAUUCUUCUGUUGGGUUGCUUAUCAGCCAGGAGGAUUCAAUCAUAACAUUUAUACUGUGCAAAGAAUGAUGACCCUUUUAGCACGCCAUGGACAUGUUGAAUUGGUUGAAAAGCUCCUGCUCAAAAUAAGAAGGGAGGAAAUUAGAUUGCCAGUCAGCACCAUCAGAUUGAUCAUAGACUUUUAUGGAAUUUCAAGGAAUGCCGAUGCUGCUCUAAAGGUCUUCCAUGAUGCUGAAUCACUGUGCGGUCCCAUGUCAAAAUUAUAUUUGAUGCUGUUGUAUUCAUCUCUUUUACGAACAUUGACCAAAUGUGGGAGGAGUGCUGAUGCCUUGGAUGUACUUGAGCAGAUGUUUUUGGGUGGGAUUUGCCCGGAUGUCCCAACAUUUUCUGGGUUGAUGUACCAUUUUGCCCUUGAAGGCGAUUUUAAAACAGUGCAAAAACUCUUUAUGAUGGUUAGGCAGAGUGGUGUAGAGCCAGAUGCCUACAUGUUUAAGGUUCUGAUCCAUGGAUAUUGUAAGUGUGAGAGAUCUGCUCUUGCAUUGAGGGUUUUUGAAGACAUGAGGAGCUUGAAUUUGAUGCCCGAUGCUGCCACCAAAAAUUUGCUUGUGAAGUGUCUUUGGAAGGAAGGCAGGCGGAGGGAGGCUGCUUCUGUGGAGGAGAGAUGUGAAGAGAUAAAUUACGGCCUUCCAUUUGCAUUACGUGGUCAUAUGUGGACAAUGAGCUCAGCAGACCUCAAAAGAGUGUAUGAUAUUUAUUCCAAUAGCUUUGCUGCAGCCAAAGGGCCAAAUUUACAAAUGGAGUUGGGAAGUAAGCACUGAUCUACCUUAACGUUGAACAUACUGCAACUUCAUGAGUCCCAAAAAUUUUUACCCUCUUUGAAAGUUUAAUUUUUGAUUGCUCUGUUGUCUUGGCAUUUUUCAUAGUGUUGGCUGGUAAUGGAUUUAAGUCUGUUAUCUUUUGGUGAGGAGCAGAUUAUUUUUCACUAUACAAGAGGUUUACAUUCAUAGAUGAGUUUCUGGUUGCAGAAGUCAAUACACUGAAGUGAACUGCUAUACAUAGUUCUGGUUUUUUAUAUCUGCAUGUUAAUGACGGAAUUAUGAGAGGAACUGAAAAGCAAAGAUCCUCAAGUUAACUUAUCAAUCAUUUUCAGAGAAGCUUCAAAUCGGUUUUAGGCUUUACUGUCUAGGACAUCACUCUGCUGUGUGUCUGUGUUUUAAGGAAGGUAUUUAUCUAGCUGAUUUUCAGCCUAAGGGUAUGUUGAUGAACUCCUUGUGGCUUUUCUUUCUUUUUCCUCUUCUUUUUGUACAAGGCUACAAGCAUAAUGUUAUUGUUGUAGGUUUUUUACUUUUUCCUUCUUCAAAUACAGUCAGUUUCUUGCAUUGGAAAUGCAGUGUGAGCUCCUGCUUCUCUACUAUAUAAUUUCCUCAGAAUUCUGUGGACUUGGCGAAAUCCUCUACCCCCGUCUGAGUGGAUACCUUAUGGUAGUGAGCCAUAUAUGCCAUCAUCUGAUUGGGUGUGGUUCUUCUCCUUUUCAAACCUCUCCACCUAACAGUUUAUCAUGGUCAUUUAAUAAAAUGUUGGUCUUUGUCAACAUAAAGGUAUUAACUCAAGUGUAAUCCCAUCUUUCAAUCAUAUAAACCUAUAUCAUUUGAUGCCAAUAUAUGAGAGCAAUGAGAUUCUCUUGCUCCAUGAAUGCAUAUACCUUUGUGUAACCGUCAAAUUAGUAGGUCCUGGCUCAGUUGGCUUGUUGUCUUUGUACAUGAUAGAAUUAGAGAUGGGACAACUUCUUGCCGUCCUAACUUGGGUUUGUAUAUUAAACCAAUCUGAUGCUUAUCAAUGACUAAGACAACAGGAAUUAAUAAAAAUGUGAAAGCUUGACAACAGGAAUUAUUCUUGUCGGCUUAUGUAAGGCAUUACAUGUAACCACACGAGUAUAAACUUCAAACACGAGAUAUCAUAUGAUAUGAUGUCUACAGUAGGGAGAUGCAAACUAGGAGAAUCAUUCAAAUCAAAGCUUGAGAUGGUGACCUCUGGAUUUUACUAAAUACAAGGAUUUAUUUUAUUGAGAUUGAAAGCUACAACCUUACAAUGCUCCUCAGCCUUUUUAUCAGAAGUGUACUCCUAGCUAUCUUUCAUAUAUUGUUGGGCUUUGUGGAGCCUAGUUUUAUUUGAUCCGGUUUGACGACCCGACCCGAAUAAUAUUACGUGGUUUUUUAAUGGGAGAUUGACAUCAAAGCUUUCGCUGGCAUAACAUAUAUGCCAUAGUUGCUUCAGAGGCUUAUUAUCCAGAGCUUAUAGCAAUGACUGUCUCUCUCCUCUCCUUUGUCUUGCUUCUCUUCAUUUCUUCAACCAACCAUAUCACAGCUCAAUCACCAGCCACCCCAGUUACAAACUUCUCGUGCACCACAGACUCACCUGCCUCAUGCCAAACAUAUGUCAUCUACCGUGCUCAGGCACCUGGAUUUUUGGACGUGGGAAAUAUAUCUGAUCUGUUUGGGAUCAGUCGCUUAUCAAUUGCAGAAGCAAGCAAUCUGGCUUCUGAGGAAGCUCGGUUGAGUCCAGACCAGCUUUUACUGGUACCUAUCUUGUGUAGCUGCACUGGAAACCAUUAUUUUGCAAACAUUACUUAUAAGAUCAAGACAGAUGAUAGCUUCUACUUCGUUUCAGUCACUGUGUUUGAAAAUCUCACCAAUUAUAAUGCAGUGGAAGCUUUGAACCCUGGUCUGGAACCGACCACCUUGCAGGUUGGUGUUGAAGUAGUCUUCCCUUUGUUCUGUAAGUGUCCAUCGAAGUCACAUUCGGAUAAAGGCAUCAACUAUCUUAUUACUUAUGUGUGGCAACCUGGUGAUGAUGUAUUGCUUGUGGGUACUAACUUGAAAGCAUCCCCAGUUGAUAUCAGAGAUGAAAAUAACAAUCUGAACUUUAGUGCUUCGGUGGACCAGCCAGUGUUGAUCCCUGUUUCACAACCUCCACUUCUCACUCAGCCUGAAAGAAGGGCAUCCAAAGGCAGGUGGAUCCUUGCUUUGGUUUUGAGCACAGGAGCUCUUUUAAUUUUCCUUUUGGUGAGCCUGCUGGUCUACACUGGUUUGAUCAGGAAAAAGAAGACUCUGGAUCAUUCAGAGUCCUCUUUGGAGACCACUGAUCUCAUUAAAGUGAAGAAAGCUCCAGAGGAUGAAAAUUUUGAGCUUAAGAUCAUACAGGAUAAGCUACUUCCUGGGGUUUCAGGCUACCUUGGCAAGCCAAUCAUGUACGAGACUAAAGUCAUUAUGGAGGCAACAAUGAACCUCAAUGAACACUACAGGAUUGGAGGAUCAGUAUACAGGGCCACAAUCAAUGGUCAGGUUGUUGCUGUAAAGAAAACCAAAGAAGAUAUCACAGAGGAAUUAAGGAUACUGCAGAAAGUAAAUCAUGGGAAUCUGGUCAAAUUGAUGGGCGUCUCAUCCGAUGCUGAUGGGAAUCGCUUCUUGGUUUAUGAAUUUGCUGAAAAUGGUUCACUGGAUAAGUGGUUGCACCCAAAGCCUUCUUCCCCUUCAAGCUCUGUAGCUUUCCUCACAUGGAGCCAGAGGAUACAGGUAGCCCUAGAUGUGGCCAAUGGCCUGCAAUAUAUGCAUGAGCAUACUCAACCAAGCGUUGUUCACAGGGAUAUCAGAGCAAAUAAUAUACUUCUAGACUCCAGGUUUAAGGCCAAGAUCGCAAACUUCUCUAUGGCUACACCUGCUAUGAACUCUAUGAUGCCAAAAGUUGACGUUUUUGCUUUUGGGGUUGUUCUAUUGGAGUUGCUUUCAGGGAAGAAAGCCAUGCAAAUGAGAGCCAAUGGUGAGAUUGUUAUGCUGUGGAAGGAUAUAAGGGAGAUCUUAGAAGUCGAAGACAAGAGAGAAGACAGGAUAAGGAGGUGGAUGGAUCCAACAUUGGAGAACUUUUAUCCCUUUGAUGGUGCUCUCAACUUGGCAGGGUUGGCAAGGUCAUGCACACAGGAGAAGUCUUCAGCAAGGCCAAGCAUGGCAGAAAUCGCCUUUAAUCUCUCUGUCCUCAGUCAGACAUCUUCUGAAACCUUGGAAAGGUCCUGGACUCAGGGGUUUGAACCAGAAGAAACAAUACAAAUAAUCAAUCCGGUCAUAGCUCGUUGAUUUGGCUAAUGAAUGAUGGGUUAUAUAUGUCCAAAUAGAUUGAUUUCCUUGUAUCUUAUAUUUCCUGAGUAGUGAAAUCCAUGUAUAUUUUGUUCUGCAAACCAAGGUAACAGAAACCACAGACUGAAUUAUAUGUAUACACAUUUGCAGGAAAUUAUUGCAUUUGAAAUACGCAUUAUUGCAAGUUGAAACUACUUGCUAAAAUUUAGUUUUCGCUUUUAAUCAUCUUUGCAGACGAGGUGCAUAUUGAAUUGAUUCGUCAACAUACUGUUGAAAUUAUCUCAACCAUGCCUGAUUUGCUGGUCAGCUCCAAUGCCAUACAGGACCCACUAAAUUUAUGUAGGCACAGUGAUUGUUGGAUUGGUGCUUUCCUAGAAGACUAGGAUCUGUAUGAUAACUGAGCUCUGUUUCUGUAUUUCCUCCAUCCAUGCUUGAGAUUUCUGAAGGAGUACUUAUUUGUCUUGAUUGAAAAUAGCUGCUUGUUUAAUAACCAAGUCCAAAAGCACCACAAAAGCAUAAUUAUCAAACUCAGAUGUAUCCUUUUGUUCCCAGAGACAACUUGUAGUUUGCUCCCCUGAUAUGGAAAAUUAAAUCUCGCAACUUGUAGUUAGCCCUUAAAUCUCUAUCUACUGCUACUGUCCUUGUGCAUUAGUGCAGGAAUGAAGUUAUGAAGAUAGUGAAGACCAUUAACAACAUCCAAAGCAAAAUGAAUCCUGUAAUUCCAAUUCUCAACCUAAGAGACAUUUUGUGGUGCCAAUCCUGAAAGAACCUUCUUCAUAUACUCAUUAGCAAGGUAGAAGAUACCCAUGAUGGUUACAUACUCCACAAAGGCUGAUCAGACUGAAGUGGUUGACCUUUUUAAGUAUAUUCACCUCCUCACUUGCAUCUUUACUCCAACCAUUUUAAUGGAUACUUCCUCCCCACCAAGAUCCCCCAGAUGGAGAGAACAAAUUACCCUGCUCUUGGGUUAAUUUUCAAUACACCUUUAGUCCUUUGAAUUUAUAAAUUUCAAAAUCAGAUUGGCACCGGGAGAUUAGUGAAGAUUUUUUUUUAUUCUCUCUCUCCUAACAACCAUAAUAAUUUCUCUUGUUCCUCUUCAUACUCAAUAUCUAUUCUAAUCUCAAUGUGAAGUCCUUCCUUCGACCUUCUAUUUCUUUGGUUAGGGGUAAAUGGAGGACAAAUAACUGGUGGAUAGACAAGCAUGGUUGGUGAGCUUGAAUUUCAGUUUCCAGUGGAAUUAGGAUAGUUGUACAAGGACAGAGAAUUGGAUUUCUCCAGCGAUUUCACCGGACACACCCUCUAAAUGCUUGUUGUACUUGUACAAACAUAUCUAAGUUGUACACUACUUGGAAAGAUGCAAUGUGUGCAAGCCUGAUAAUACUAAUCUGAGCAGAAACAGUUUACAGGACGGUCACUCUUUUCCUAAUGCGUAUCCAUUUAUAUACUUACUUAUUCUGAAACAUAGGAAUAUCUGGAGUAGCUUCUCUACACAGAUCUUUAAUAGCAAACUCUUUAAAGGGGUAGACCAUCUUUUACUAAUAAACCUAGAGAACAAUUGUCAUACUAGACAAUCCAUAGCACUUUAAGACGACAGGCCUUCACGAUUCUAGACUCCCAAAUAUCUGUGAGAAACUAGCAAAAAAAAGGGAGAGAGAGAGAUUGAAUUGCAUCUGAAUUGAAUUAUGCAUCAUACCAAGGAAAACUGAAAGAAAUACACGAAAUAUUACAAAAUUAAGACUUUGAAAUCAAACCGACCCUACCAUACUGUAAAUGCCAUCAAAAGCUUUCACUAUAAUUUUGUUAUCCUGCACCAUUAUUAGACGAUUCCCAGGCUUGUGAAGAGGCCAAGAUUCUUGAUAGGGAUUGCACUAUCUCAUCCAUGUCUGGGCGACCUGCUGGAGCUUUCGUUAAGCAGCUAUCUAUCAAUCUGAUCAUAAAAAUGGCAAGUUCUGGAGGAUAAUUCCCAUCUAAAGACGGAUCUAUGAAGUCCCCCAAUUUCUCCUUUCCGUCAUCCUCAUGAAGCACAGCAGCCAAGACCUCUGAUAAGUGUAUGCUUUCCCCUCCAUAUAGAGCGGCAACUUCUUUCCCAGUAAAUAUCUCCAGCAUGAGAACCCCAAACGCAUAGACAUCGAGCUUUGUGGAGAUCAAACCAUUCUCCAGAUACUCUGGAGCCAUGUAACCCUUUGUCCCAACGAUGUGCCUCGUCAAGGCAAACUGACCUUCCUGCCCCUCUGCUGACCUUGCCUGAUCAAAGUUAGCAAUCUUAGCCCUGAAAUCCCCAUCGAGAAGCACAUUAUUACUUUUCAUAUCCUUGUGGAUAUAAGAAGGGCUGACAUGUAUAUGGAGAUAGUUAAGCCCUGUGGCCACAUCCAAAGCAAUCUGAAUUCUCUGCGUCCAAACCAAGAAUCUCCUAUCAUUGUUGUUGUAAUAGAUCCAAUCACUCAAGGAUCCAUUAACAGCAUACUCAUGAACUAGAUACCAAUGCCCAUCAUUAAAACAAAUGCCAGAGAGGCGGAUGACAUUAAAAUGGUUGAUCUUGCUUAGUAAAGCUAUUUCGUUUGACACAUUUCCAUCCAUUUUCUUAAUGGCAGCCAAAUCCCCUUUAAUUGUGCCACGAUAAACAGAUCCCUUAAUCAGACAACUUGGGCUGAAAUUGUCAGUUGCAGAUUGUAGUUCCUCAAAUUUGUAAACUUUGACGGAUUGUGCCAUGCUGGAUAUACUUUCGAAGAACUCAUGUUCUUCCACCUUGAGGGGUUUUUCAAGUGGUUUAAAGCUCUCUGAGACAGCAAUUUGAUCAUUUUUCUUCUUGGUUUUUCUGAAGAAUUUUACGAAAAUGACAUAGCCAAAGAACAAAAGAAGAACAACUCCUGCAGCAACUCCAACAAUAACAUACACCCAUGUCUUCUUUGAACUUCCACUGGGGGAAGAUACAGCAGAUGGAGGUGGAGGUGGCGGUGGCGGUGGUGGUGGCACUAUGGUUUGGGAGCUUGAAGGUGGAUUUUGCAGAGGAAUUAGAAGGGUAGUAAAAGGAUUAAUGGUGUCUUGCUCAGAAAGCUCAUUAGCUUCAAGAGUCCUUUCAGUAUCGACACCAAACCUCCCACUUAUAGCUGAAACAGUAUCACCAUAAGCGACCAGGUAACUCAUUAGAUACUUGACACCCGCAUCGCUUUGGGCCUUUGUUGGACAAGCACACCUGAGAGGAACAGUAAUUGAAGUACCAGGAUUUAGAUUUGUAGCACUUACAGAAGGGUUUUGGUUUAGGAGAGCCUGACAGGUUGAGAGGCCUUGGAAAGUAUUGUUUGCAAUCCAUAAGGGAUAGUCUCCAUUUUUAACAACAUAAGAUGUGUUUGUCUGAGAGUAGUUACCUGAACAAGAGCAGUUGACAGGAACAAUCACCUCCUUGUUUGUGUCAAAAGUAGCAGUCUCAGUUACUGAAUUGAUUUGAGCGAGCUGAGAUGGGUCAGAAGCCAAGAGAUCAGAGAUGGAAGAAACAUUGUUAUAUGGGGAUUCUGAUCUGAAGAUGAGGUAAGUUUGGCAGGUGGUGUUUACACCAUUACAGGUGUAACCAAGAACAGUAGUAUAAUUAUUAUUGUAACAGUCUGCUGUGCCCAGGCCGAGGUAAGACUGCUGAGCAAGAAUCAAGGAAAAGCAACAAAUCAGGGAGAGAGUGAAGACGGAGAAGAAAGAUGGAGAGGCCAUUUUGGUUGAAUUGGAAGAUCUCAUGGGGAUGAGGCGGUUAUAAACUAUGCUCUCUGUCUCUGUCAAACAGGUUGGCUUAACUUUUGGGUGUUGUGCUUUGAACUGACUUUUCUAAUAACUUUUCUAAUAACGUGCCAAUGUAUCUCUGUGACGAAAUUUCUUGGAAUAGAGAAGAUUGGUCGAUAGUUCGCUGGUCAUCUUCCGUAUAUGGUUUGGCUUGGUUUACCAUUUCAGCCUGUCUCAGGGUUGAACUUCAGAAGGUAGCGAGGUUGUGGGCGCUCGCUGCCUGCCACCAUAUGAACUCUGAGAAGAGCAUAGAAACAUUCUGCCUUUAUAUGUAGUUAGCAACCAUUAUGUCCGUUUUAAAUGGUAAAAUAGCUAUUGACAAGACUUGGAUGCAAGAGGUCCUUGCCAGGUAAUACUGCCUUGAGCAGGGAUAAUUUACAGGAAGGUUUCAAAGGCAAUAAUGUAAAACUUGAGAUGAUGUUCAUGUGGGGCAGCUCCAAUGGAUCUGAAAGAUGCAAGUUCAUGUGUGUCUAUAAUGCUGAUACACUUAUUCUGAAACAUAGGUGUAACCUCAGUCCCUCCUCUAUCAGUGAACUAAUAUUUUAGAGCACUCUUUAAAGGACCAGGCAUUUUUUUACCUGCAGAAUAAAGAAAUAGUGACCAUGCUAAGCAACCCAAAGCACCUAAAGAUGACAGAGGCCUUUAGGAAUCUAAACUUCAGACUGAUCAUAGAUGCAAGAAACUAGCAACAACAUAACAAGGAAAAUGGGAAGGAAUGUAAGAAAUAUUACAGAAAUUCAGAUAUCGACCUCCCCAUAAGGAGAUUGCCAGAAAAAAACUCUAACUGGAAUUUUGGUAUCCUGAGACAUUAUUAGACAAUUCCCAGGCCACUGAAGUGGUCAAGGUUCUUGACAGGGCUUGCACUAUCUCAACCAUAUCUGGGCGACUUGCUGGAGAUUUCUUUAAGCAGCUAUCUAUCAAUCUGAUCAUAACAAUGGCAAGUUCCAAAGGAUAAUUCCCACUCAGGGAAGGAUCAAUGAAGUUCCUCAACUUCUCCUUUCCAUCUCCCUCAUGGAGCACAGCAACUAAGACAUCUGGUAGGUGCAUGUUCUCACCUUCAUAUAAUGCAGCAACUUCUUUCCCUGUAAGCAUCUCCAGCAUGAGAACCCCAAAUGCAUAAACAUCAAGCUUUGUGGAGACCAAACCAUUCUCCAGAUACUCUGGUGCCAUGUAACCUCUUGUCCCAAUGAUAUGCCUGGUUAAGGCAAACUGACCCUCCUGCCCCUCUGCUGACCUUGCUAAACCGAAGUUAGCAAUCUUAGCCCUGAAGUCACUAUCAAGAAGCACAUUACCGCUUUUUAUGUCCUUGUGGACAUAGGGAGGGCUGGUAUAGCUAUGGAGAUAGUUAAGCCCUGUGGCCACAUCCAAAGCAAUUUGAAUUCUCUGCAUCCAAACUAAAAACCUGCUGUCAUCAUUGUUGUUAUAGAUCCAAUCAGUCAAGGGUCCAUUAACAGCAUACUCAUGGACGAGGUACCAAUGCCCAUCAUUAAAACAAAUGCCAGAGAGGCGGAUGACAUUGAAAUGGUUGAUCUUGUUUAGUAAAGCUAUUUCAUUUGACACCUCUCCAUCCAUUUUCUUUAUGGCAGCCAAAUCCCCUUUAAUCGUGCCACGGUAAACAGACCCCUUUAUCCUACAAUUGGGGCUGAAAUUAUCAGUUGCAGAUUGUAGUUCUUCAAAUUUGUAAACUUUGAGGGAUUGUGCUAUGCUAGAUAUACUCUCCAAGAACUCAUGCUGUUCCUCCUUAAGUGGUUUCUCACAUGCCUCAAAGCUCUCUGAGAUAGCAAUUGGAUCAGUUUUCUUCCUAGUUUUCCUAAAGAAUUUGAAGAAAAUAACAGAGCCAAACAGCAAUACAAGAGCACUUCCGGCAACAACUCCAACAACGACAUAAACCCAUGUUUUCUUCAAGCUUUUACUUGGGGACGAUACAGCAGUUGGAGGUGGAGGUGAUGGUGGCGGCGGCGGCGGCGGCACUAUAGUUUGGGAACUUGAGGGCAGAUUUUGCAGGGGAAUUAGAAGGGUAGUAAAGGGAUAAAUGUUGGGGUUUUGCUCAGAAAGCUCAUUAGCUUCAAGAGUCAUUCCAGUAUCCACACCAAAUCUCACACUAAUGCUUGAAACAUAAUCACCAGAAGCGACCAAGUAACUCAUGAGAUACUUGACACCCACAUCACUUUGGUUCUUGGUAGGACAAGCACACCUAAGAGGAACAGUAAGCUUUGUACCAGUAUAUAUAUUAGUAGUUAGAGAAGUUCUUUGACUCCGGAGAGCUUGACAUGUAGAGAGGCCUUCGAAGGUGUUAUUUGCUAUCAAUAAGUAGGUAUCUCCAUGCUGAACAACAUAAGAGGUGUUUGCCUGAGAGAACUCACCUGAACAGGAGCAAUUGACUGGAACAAUGACCUCUUUCUUUGUUUCAAAUGUAGCAGUCUCAUCAACUGAAUUGAUUUGGGCAAGCUGAGAUGGGUCAGACCCCAGAAGAUCAGAUAUGGAAGAAACAUCGUUAUAUGGGGGUUCAGAUCUGAAGAUAAGGAAAGCUUGGCAACUAGCGUUGACACCAUUGCAGGCGUAACCAAGAACAGAAGUUAAAUUAUUGUUGUCGCAGUCUGUUGUACCCUUUCCCACAUAUGAUUGCUGAGCAAGAAUGGAGGAAGAGAAAGAAAUCAGAGAAAGAGUAAAGACAGAGAUGAAGGAUAGCCAAGCCAUUUUGAUUGAACUGGGAAGACUUCACGAGGAUUGAGGUCUUCUGAUUACAACAUGGGGUCGUUGGUGUGGUAGUUUACGUUUCUAUUAGGGAAAGUUCAGAGAACAUGUCCCAUUAUCUCCAAGAAGAUUUUUUCUUGAAACAGGGUGGAAUGAAAUGCAGUAGUUGUUAAUUGGUUGACCAUCUCCAUUUCUAUAAUUUAUAUGCUUCGAUUGGUGCAUCUCUCCUUUGAAGUGGUAUCCAGCUUUGUUUAACUAAGCGCAUCAAACAUUUGUCUAAAAAAAUAAAAAAUAAAAAAUAAAAAAUUAGAAGUUACAAGUACUGAAAGUGAAAUGGACUCUUAAUGGCGAAAAGCAGGCGAGAAGUUUGACUAUGGGGCUUCUGGACCCAAUCUCCCCCAGUGGGCGGUAGCAUCCCACAUAUAAUGGUUCAACGGGCCUAACCCAUAAUCUGGAAAACUAAACGUGUAUUGGAUCCCGAGAGGAAAGGAAAUAGCGAAUUUCAACCCUUUCAUACUUGGGGCCAAGAAAAAAACUGUCCAAUGUUUUUCUACAUCCGUGGGGUGAUUGAACCUUUCUCCUUACACAGCGACAGUAAUCUGAGAAAGAAAAAAAAAAUCUAAGAUGGGCCCUAUUAGGAGAAGCUGUAACCACUGACCACAUCUCUACAAUGGAAUAGUUCUUGGCCUUUUGUGUUUGUACAUUUUGAACUAAAUUACUCGUUUACAAUAAUAAAUGCAAUUGCAGCAUGAGCAGGUGAAAUGAUUCCAACCACCAAUAUCUCACAUCAUCCUGGGAUUAUUUCCCUUUUAUCCCUACAGAAGUGACCUUCCACCUGUUGAAUUGCUGGCCUGAUGGUAAAGGGGUGGGACACAUCAAGAAUUCCCAGUUCCCAAUGUUGCUUUUGUAUUUUUAUUAGCAAAGGGAUGAACGGUAAAGAAAAAAUGGAGAUAGCUGAAGAUAGGACUCGAAGUGAUAUCCUGGAAGAUUUAUUCUAAAGGAAUAAUCAGCUGGUCUCUAUCUCAAUUAUGCGUACUAAAAUUCCUGCAAAGGUUAGUGUCCCAGGCUCAUUUUACCAAAGACAUAAGUUUGCAGAGAAACUGAUGGAUGGAAUUAAAAUUCUCAAUAUAGAAGUAUAGAACCCAAUAAAGAGCUGGAAGUUGGAAGCCCAAAGCAUCACCCUAGAGAAACUCCAUCCCUACCAAGAUCCCAAACAUAAAUACAAUAUUGUAAAGAAGAAGAGGAAAGAGAUACAAACAGAAAAACCAAAGCAGAGUAAAUUACAUUCACAUCUGCUGCAUCCUCCAAUUCCUCGAAUCUCUGUUAUCACAAGACACACUCCCAGUAGGAGACAAAACACACCACCCACAAUACUAUCACGCAGUCCAUUAGCCAGCCAGUCAGGAGUGGCCACCAAUAGGAUAAAACCAGCAACUGCAGAUAUUCAUAUCAGCACCAUGGCAAUGAUAAUUUGAUUAGAUGAGUUGCUGUGGUCUAAGAGAAAUUCGAACCUGGAAACUUCCGAGGGAAGAAGAGAUUUGCUGCAACGGCAAGAAAUGCAAACCAACGUCCAAUUUGCCCCCUGCAACAUGGGAUUGGUAGUUUCAGUAUAUGUAAUGGCAGAAUAUAUAUAUGAUAUAUCAGAGACCAAAUAACAUCGAAAUUUUUAAGGAAAUCGGAAAGCACCUAACAAUGUUAAACAGCACUGCAGGGAAACUCGUUAGAAGAAAGAGGACCAAAAGGGAACUUUGGAUGGAUGAUCUCCGCCCUACUUGAUUCAAGAUUAACAAAAAUCUACAACACAAAACCAAAUAAAAAUGCAAAUAUUUCCAAACCCAGAUCCCAAUGUUAAUGGAAAGUGGAAAAUAUUAACAAACACCUAUAAAACAACAUAAAUAAUAAAAAUAAUAAUAAAAUAAAAAAAGAGGAGGAAGAAGAAGAAGAAAAUACUUGAAGGGUGAGAAGUGAAAGAGACUAAAUUGUGGUUCCAAUGGAUUAAAGGGAAAAAAAACGUAGAAGAAAAAAAGAGCAGGAUGGCGACUGACGUGGCAGAUAUGGUUCCACCCCACUGAAAAGCGGCGCGACCCCCAGUCGUGGAGGAUGAGAAUGUUUGCUGGGAAGAAGAUUGGGAAGCAGAAGCGGCAUCAGCGUAAGCAGCAAGUGCGAGAGCAUGGGCUAUGGCCACUGUAUCCACAAUUUUCAUUUCUAAUUACAGUCAACGGAUGCAGAUGAAUCUGCCACCGUAGACGGCUUUUGAUCCCUAGGUUUGGCUUCUUCCCUGCCCAUCCGAUGCUCUCUUUCUAGGUUACUUUCAUCACACGUGGCCCUCAUGCAACCCUUGGAUGUGAUUUAACUACUUUUUCGAUUUCCUGACGUAUCAAAGAGUUUAAAACCAAAAUAAUCUAAAAAAAAAUGGUAAGAAUAGUACCCAUCUUAAAAUAUUUGUCAAAAAUAAUCUUUUAUAUCCAUAUAAGCAUUCACAUGGAUUUUUUUUUUUUUUUUAAGUGUAAAAAACCACAAUUGGUAACUAUGGUUUUAAAAGUUUCAAAAAUAUUUUCUUAAAACAUUUACUAACUGUGAUUUCAAUAUUAUUUUUAAUUCACCUCUAUUUUAAUGGUAAAAUAUUUUUUUAUCAUAAUAAUCAUUAAACCAUAAUUAGUAAGGAAUAACCUAAAAUCAUAAUCAUUGACAUUAUUUUUUAUAUGAAAAUAUAAAAUUUUAAAUAAUAUAAACAAUUUGUUUAAUUAUUUUAAAAUUUAAAAAUAACAUGAAAAAAUAAUUUUCUUUAAUUAAUAUGUGAUAAAAUUCAUAAAACAAAUAAAUAUUUUAUUUACUAUAAAUAUAUAAAUUUUUAUGGGAAUGCAUGUAGGCGAAAUUAUUUUCUCAAAAUUUCAAUGAAAAUAUGAAUAUAUAUAUAUAUAUAUAUAUAUAUAUAAUUUUAAAACAGUCGUAAAGAAAAAAAUUAUUAAGGAUAAUUUGUAAAAAAAAUAGUUUUAAACUGACAAUGGAAAAUUGUAAAAAAUUUUCUCCACUUCGAAACGAACUUUAAGGAAAUUUGGUACAUUGUUAAGAAAUUUUGGUACAUCUAUAAUUUACACUAAAAUUAAAAAAAAAAAAAAAAAAAAAUUCUAAAAUCUCAUAUUUUUUUAGUUGAUGUAUGAUUAUAUGAGUUCACUUAAAGAUAAGUGUGAAACCACAAUCUAUAACUGUGGUUUUUAGGAUAUUUUUAAACCACAGUUACUAAUUGUGGUUUUAUGAUUAUGAUAAAGAAUAUUUUAAAAAUAAUAUUAAAAUAAUAAUAUCAUUCAAACGAGGGUGGAUUAAAAAUAAUUUUGAUACAAAAGAUUACUUUGACAAAUAUUUUGAGAUGGGUACUAUUUUUACCAUUUUUUCUUACAAAUAGAUUAUUUUGGUCUUAAAAUCCGUAUCAAACUUUCUGUUUUCAAAUCCAGUUUUCUCAUGGCAUAAAGAGUCUAGCUCCUAAAAUUUUGAUUAGAGAGAGAGCGCGAAAAAUAAUGGUACUUAAAAAAAUGGAUUUUAUUAUAAUUAAUUUUAAAAAUGAAAAAUAUUAAAUAAAACCAAAUAGUUUAUUCAUUUUAAAUCUAAUUUUAAUUUUUUUUAUUUUUUAUUUUCUUCUUCUUUUCCUUUUAUUCUUUCCUCAGGUGUAGACCCCAAGGAGACAAAAAAAAAUGACUUUUUUAUUCUUCUGACCACAUUGGAAGCGGGCUGCUUUAGGUGGCCAUGAGAUGAGACUGGAUGAGCUAGUUGUGGCGACCAGACAGGACGACUUGAAAGGAAAACUAGUUAGGAGUUUUUGGGUUGGGAAGGAAGGGGCGUGAGGAGAAACAUCAAGAGAAGGGGAGCUUGAGGGGCAAACCAGAGUGAGAGAUAACCAAAGAGGGAGCUAGAUGUUUGCUGGGAGUCGGUUUUGGGUGAUAGCUUGAAAAGAAACAGGGGAGCAGCAACGGAGUGGGAUUUUUCUGGGAGGAAAAUAUGGAGAGUGGGUGCAGGUUUUUUAUGAUAGCUAAACGAAAAGGAAAAAGAUGAGCAAGGGAAGUUGAGAGGGGAGAACAAGGGAACUCUGUGGGGAUUUUUUUGAGAAAAAUGAGACAGCUCACUUGAAGCAAAGAUAGUAUGGAUUGGGAGGAGGCUCUACAGGUGAGGUUUAUGUAAUCUCCAUAUCCUUAAUUUCUUUUACACUGUUUUACUCUCAUUUUUAGUCGAUUCUCUCAGCAUUAUUUGUUGUUUGGGUAUGAUUACAAGAGAUUCUAUGAGUUCUUGCUGAUUUGGGAUUGAUUGUAAAUUUCAAACUGUUUUGUUCUCCUAUGUCUUUCAGUUUCAAUCUGAUUCAGAUGUACAUUUCUCUCUCAAAUUUCUGCAAUUUUUUUCGUCGAAUUACCGAUUAAAUCUCACCCAUCUUUCUCUUAUUUUCUUUUCACUUUUUUUUUUUUUUUUCUGAUUCUCUGUUCCAACAAGUGAUAAACCAUUCCCUACUUCCAUGAAGAUCUAGGGUUUCUUCCACUUCAUCAAUUUCAAAUUUGAACAUUUUUGCCUCAAAUUUCUGAUUUUCGAUGCUCUUGAUUCAAUGCGUUGAGCAAUGGUAUUGUGGUUCAUCUAGGUCACUUUGAGUGAUCGACGCUUGUUUGUUGUCCUUUUUGUGAUCUAAGAUUAUUCUGAUUUCGUUUUGUGGAUGAGAGAUUCAAUUUGGCUACGAUAAUAUGGAGAUAGUUGGUGAUGUGGUGUCUUUGGACACCGAAUUGUUGCAGCUGUCAGAGAUGUCGCCUUUUGCUCUCAAGUCGAACCCUAGGUUCUCCGAGGAGUUUUUUGAUCAAUGGCUUUUGCUUCCUGAGAUUAACCUUCUGGGUUGGAUGUACACUAGGAUUGCAUCUUGGCUACCUAGUAGCCAAAGUCAGCCUUACCGAUAAAGAUGGAGUUGCUUUCUUAUGAUUCAAUCCUAAGUUGAACUUAAUGAGGCUGCAUUUGAUUUCUCUUUUGAAUUUAAUCAAUUGCAAUUGUUGAAUUUGGAAAUGUGUAGCUAAUUCUCGAAGAAACUAAAAUUGGUAUUGAUGGAAGUUAGAUGUUUGGUAGUCACUAGUAGUGACUAAUUCAUAGGGUUUGCAUUUGAUGGUGAUAGUGAUUCUAGUGGAGGUGGUAGAAAAUUGGUGACAAUUGACUUAUGCUGGUGGUAACAAAUUGAUGGUGGGCCAGUCAUAAAGUUUAUGUGCCUUUUUCCCCAUCCAUCUCCAUGUCUGCUUUUAAAAAAUUGGUUUUCAAAAAAAUCUUGUUUUGACUCCACAAUUUUUCAUCUUUUAGGUUUUUUUUUUAGGUCCCAAAUUUCAUUUUUCAAUAAUUUUCCAAAGUUCCAAAUUUAUUUAUUUAUUUUUAAAUUCCACUUCCGAAAUAAUCUUCUAAAAUCUAAUUUUAAAUUUAGUUUAUAAAACUUUAAUUCUCGAAAUUCAAUUCUCCAAAACUCCAAUUUUUAACUUUAAUUCUUCAAGAUUCAAUUCUCAAAAUAAUUUUCUAAAAUUCUAAUUUUAAAUUUAAUUUUCCAAGAUUCAAAAUUUUAAAAAUAAAUUUUCCAAAAAUUCCACAAUUCCGAAUUUAAUUUUUAAAAUGCCACAUUCAAAUAAAUUUUCGAAACUCCAAUUCCUUUCAAAUCAAAUUUUCAAAAAUUACAUUCUCAAAUAAUUCUUCAAAAUUCCCUUUUCUCAAAUUUAAUUUUCAAAUUUCAAUUUUCAAAUAAUUUUUCAAAAUUCCGAUCCUCAAAUUUAUUUUAUUUUAUUUAUAAAAAAAACUCCAAUUUUAAAAUAAUUUUGCAAAAUUUCGGUUUCCAAAUUUACUUUCCAAUUUCCAAAAUUCCAAUUUUCACAUUUAUUUCAUCAUUAUUAUUUUCAUUAUUAUUUUAUUUAUUUAUUUUUAAAAUUCUACCUUUAAAUAAUUCUUCAAAAUUCUGAUUUCCCAAUUUAAUUUCCAAUUUCCAAAAUUCUAUUUUUCACAUUUAUUUGUUUAAUCAUUAUUAUUUUUGUUAUUAUUAUUAUUAUUUUUAUUUAUUUUUAAAAAUUCCAUCUUUAAAUAAUUCUUCAAAAUUUCGAUUUCCAAAUUUAAUUCCCAAUUUUCGAAAUUCCAAUUUUUCAAUUUCUGAAUUUAAUUUCCAAUUUCCAGAAUUCCAAUUUUCACAUUUAUUUAUUGAAUUAUUAUUAUUAUUUUAUUUAUUUAUUUUUUAAAUUUCAUCUUUAAAUAAUUCUUCAAAAUUCUGAUUUCCAAAUUCCAAAAUUCCAAUUUUCACAUUUAUUUAAUCAUUAUUAUUUUAUUUUUAAAAAAUUCUAUCUUUAAAUAAUUCUUCAAAAUUCCAAUUUCCAAUUUUAAUUCCCAAUUUCCGAAAUUCUAAUUUUCGAAUUUAAUUUCCAAUUUCUAGAAUUCCAAUUUUCACAUUUAUUUAUUUAAUCAUUGUUAUUGUCAUUAUUAUUAUUAUUAUUAUUAUAUUUAUUCAUUUAUAUAUUUUUAAAUAAUCCUUCAAAAUUCCGAUUUCCAAAUUUAAUUCUCAAUUUCCGAAAUUCCAAUUUUCCAAUUUCCGAAUUUAAUUUCCAAUUUCCAGAAUUCCAAUUUUCACAUUUAUUUAUUUAAUCAUUAUUAUUAUUAUUCUAUUUAUUAAUUCAUUUAUGUAUUUUUAAAAUUUUCAUCUUUAAAUAAUCCUUCAAAAUUCCGAUUUCCUUUCCAAUUUCCAAAAUUGCAACUUUCACAUGUAUUUAUUUAAUCAUUAUUAUUUUGUUUAUUUAUUUAUUUACUUAUUUUUAAAUUUCCAUCUUUAAAUAAUUCUUUAAAAUUCCGAUUUCCAAAUUUAAUUUACAAUUUUCAAAAUUCUAUUUUUCACAUUUAUUUGUUUUAUCAUUAUUAUUUUAUUUAUUUUUCAAAUUUCAUAUUUAAAUAAUUCUUCAAAAUUCCAAUUUUUAAAUUUAAUUUUCAAAACUUCCAUUUUCAAAUAAUUUUCAAAAUUCCAAUUUUCAAAACUUCCAUUUUUAAAUAAUUUUCAAGUUUCCAAUUUUCAUAAUUUAAUUUUCAGAACUCCAAUUCUCAAAUAAUUUUCAAAAUUCUAAUUUCUUUCAAAUUUAAUUUUCGAAAUUCUAAUUCUUAAAUUUAAUUGUCGAAAGUCUGAUUUUCAAAUAAUUUUCAAGACUUCAAUUUCCAAAUAAAUUUUUGAAAACUCUAGUUUUGUUUUUGAAUAGUUUUAAUUACACUCAUUUUUUCAAAUAUUUUUAAUUCACAAGUUUUCUUUGAUUUUCAAAUAAUAUCUUAUUUUCCCUGAUUUUUUUUUAAUAGGCAUGAAUAUGAUUUUUCAUAAUUCUAAAACAAUGGAAUUUGUGAAACUAAUUCAUGAAAGAUAAAUUGGACUUUGGUGGGGGCCUUACAUGUGAUCUCUUUUGAUUGUCAAUUGCUAUGCUUAAUGUAUAUUGUUUGAUCUUUGCCUUACUCUUUGAUAUGCAUGUGAUAAUUUUAUACUUGAACUAACUUUGUUUCUAUGAUAGUGCAAUAUUACUUGCUGUCAAGGUACGCUUUCACUUCCACUUUGCUUAUUCUCAUACAUGAUUCAUUUUAUUAUUUGAUCAUUUCAUUGGUAUCUAUUGAUUUCUUAGUUAAUUGUCAUGUUUGCCUCACCUUGCUUAGUAAAGACCCGUUUUUAGGAGCUUAGAGGGGUGCUUUCGAUUUUUUUACCGUACCUUUCUAAUAAGUAACCUGACCUCCAGAUCCGACUCAAUUUUUUACAAACUCAUUUUUCCAAAUAAGGAGUCGCACUUAGGUUUUUUUCUUUCUUAUUUUGUUUUCUCUUUAAAAAUAAAACAAAAAUAAGUGGCGACUCCAAGUCAUUUUCUUAAUAAAUAAACAUUUUUCGAAUAAAAAUCAAGCUCGUCAUCGAGUGGAAUCGCAUGAGCAAAAAUGCAAAGUCCACAUCAGGUUUUUUAAAAACCGAAUUCAACUUAAAAUUUUUAAGUAUGGAUCGAAUUUUAAAAUCAUUUUAACAUGUAUUUUGAAUGAAUCCCUUAGGAUUCAAUUUUGAAUUUCAUAAAUAUUUAUUGCAUAUUGUGUAUAAAUGGAAAAUAGAUAUGUGAAAAUAAAAAUCAUAAAGGCUUUUAACGGUUUUAGAAAAAAGUAAUGUUUGAAAAAAAUAUAUAAAUUGUAGGAAUAAAGAUGACUUUCAAAAUAAUUAUCGAUUUAUUGUAAAUUGGUUUGAAAUUAAUUUUUAAAACUAACAUUUGACAAUGUUGUCUAGACCCCCAUUUGGGGAGCCAAGGGAUCUUAGUUUUUUUUAUAUAUAGCAUUAGAGGAGCCGGGCAGCACCGGGGAUAAGUGGGGGCCCCCUUUCCCUACGCCCGGGAAAUCAGCUGCAUGGGCAUGCCACAGGCCAUGCUGAUGGUCAGAGGCUCCAUCCUUGCUGACUAGAGGAGCAAUGGAGCCGAGGAUGGCUUGCUGAGGAAGACACAAACAGAGGAAAAGAAAAGGAGAUAUCUGGGGUUUUUCUUCAGGCGGGGUGAUCCAGAGCAGAGGGUUGCGGAGAGCAUCCGGGUGAGAGGGUACUCCAUAGCUAAAUAAGCAAGAAAAGGAUCAAGGAGAAAAAGAUAGCACCUGCUGCCACAAGGAGGAGGGUUACAAUGAGGUCUUGAGGGUAGUGCUGGUGAGGGAAAGAGAACAGGGAAAGAGAGUUGGCUGCAGGUGAGCCUAAGGUGAGUUCCUUGUUUACUUUGUUUUUUCUUCUUUAUACUCCCCAUCUCCUUCCGUUUUGUUUGCUUCGUAUUCGUUUGUUGAUUUAGGCAUGGAUGACGAAGGUUAUACCCUGAACUCCAUUGAUUUCUAUAUCAUGUUCUUACUUCGUUGUUGUUGGUUUUAUUUCCAUUCUUGUGGUUUAAGUUUGGGGCUCAUAUGACUCCGCUUUGCAUGCACUGUACUAACCCGGUUUCAGGAAUCCCUCCUGUUUUGAGCCUCCUGAAAUGAGGCCCUAUACAAUCGUGUGUUACAUGUUAUCUUACCGAUUCUAACCUCAGCAUUCACUCUAACUUAUGUUCUUGCUUUCAUCACUAUGUCCUCACUGUGAUGGGUGGAUUAUUUGAUCUGGGGUUAGAAUAAAAUGAAUCGAGCCGAGUCAUACCUGUGGUUUCGGGCUUACCUUGCUGAUAGUUUGUGGCUCAAAAGUCCAGAGAAGAGCUAGAUGUAAGCGGAGAGGGACCUUUGGAGCAUUAGCUACAUUGCCGUAAUUGCAAAAGUGGAGAAUAUUGGCUCAUUACAGAAAGCUUGCUGACAAUCGCAUUGGGGUUCUAAGGUUUCUUUGUUUUUCAUGAUUGUCGAUGAAAGGGUUGGCCCAGUUCUUAGAUCUUUGCUGUCGGAGUGUCUUUCUAUUAUGGACAGAAUUUGAGACUAGGUUUCACUGUUUUUCCCAUUCCACCACCCCGUCCAUUAAACCCAUUUCUCCAACCCUCUUCCAGCAUCUCCCCUUGAGGUCCAUUUUCCAUCAAGGUCACUCUCCGUUACCACCGGCCAUCCACGCUGCCAAUGGCACCCCAACUCCCCCACUCAUCCUCAUAUCCAUCCCUCACAUUCCUGGAUUCCCAUGCAAAUGACGUCCCAUGCAUAAGGCCACCUCCAUCACCACCACCUGGCGCCAUGUAGCUUUCCUGAAAGUGGUGGCAAGGUCAGGGUAGCCACUUCAAAGAUCCAUUCUGCUCAGGUUCAUCAGAAGUUCAAAAACAUCUCUUUCAAUAGGAGGACCUAGGCGUUGCCAAAGGGGAAUCACCUAAUAUGGUGCAGCCAACCUGCAAUGCCAUGGGCAAGCACUCGUUUCCUGUGCCCAGAUGCUGAUCCAAGGGCCAUGAACCCUAAGCUUUUUUGCCACGCGGAUCAUUAUCCACCUCCGGACCAUCCAUCAAACUCCUCAACGGCCCAAUCUCACCCACAACAGCCACUUCGUCCAUCAAACAAUCGCUGCCGAAGAUGGAGCCUGCCACUCCUCUCGCCACCUCCCUCUUCAUCAAGAUUUUCGUUCAGCGGCGGAUGAUUACUACUCAAAAAGUGCUAUUUGAUAGCCUAUAAUUAAUCCUUUUAAACACUUUUGAGUAGUAGUUUAGGCCUUUUAACUCAAUUGGCAUGUUAAGGAUCCUUUAAAGCAAUUUUGAUCACUUUGUGUAAGUUUUGGUGUUUUUGUUAGUAUUUUGAUCACCAAAGCAAGUCAAGACUGAGGAGAGCUAUGAGGAAUCUUGGGCAAAGUUGAGAAGUCAUUUGCCAAGAGUAAAUCCGGAUUGCAAGGAGAAAAAGCAAAGAGAAUCUGUCAUAAAGCAUAUUCUUGAUGAUAGUCGUAGCAGCCACUUUUGGAGCACUUUCUGAAGUCCAAAUGAUGCAUUCUAUAUAUUUUCAAAGAUCAGGAAGUCAACAAUCCAAUGCUUCAAACGGUGUGCAAUUCAGAGUUGAAAUGAAGAAGUUGCAGCCAUUACAAGCCAAUCACUCCGAGCUGAAGGAAGCAUUUUGCAAAGUGUUGCGAAAUCACCCUUUUGUUGCGAAGUGAUUUCGCAACCUUUUUGAACAGUGUGAUGUUUCUCCUUCUGACGAUACCCAAUUUAUGCCGCAAGAAGGAAGCUGGGAACCUCAAGGUGGAAGCCAACUUCGCAGCCCUAUGAAGAUAGCUUGGUGUUGCGAAAUUAUUUCGCAGCUCUCUUGAGUGUCUGCGAAAUCUCGCAGACACCAUUUUUCUCAUGCGAAAUGGUUCCUAAAGCCUCCCGAUAUUUGCUACCGACAUUGGGAGAUAUUUUCCAUUAGAUUUUUGUUGUCUAAAUCCCAAAAUACUCCUUGUAAACCACCAAUUACAUGAUUCCUUAGUUUUUAAGUUAGUAAAAAGACUAAAUAUCUAUGUAAUAAUUAGUUUUAUAUUAUGUUCAUAUAUAUACCUCUCGGGAGCCUGUUCUCAGAGAGGAGUUCCUUCUGUAAAAGUUUGGGUAAGCAAGUAAAGUCUAUUUUCUUUCUACUGCCUUACCUUCUCACUUUGUAUUUUCAUUUUAUUUCUAAGUUAUGAAUUCUCUGAGGAGUUUUCCCUAGAGAAUGAGUAACUAAACCUCUAAUUCCUUGGAGCUAAGGUUGCCGGGGAAGGUUCCAAGUGCAAGAAUGCAAAGCUCUGUGGUUUUAGCUAUUAAUGAAGAGGAAGUGAAAUCCUUUAGUGAUUUCUAUGUUUUUAGUUAACUUAAAACACCUUGGAGUCACCUGGGCCAACACUUGGUAAGGCAAGUGAUUUCCAACCAUGGAAAUGCACUAGUUUACCCCGUGCGAGCCUCUGGGAGGUGACUUCAAGGUAGGAUUUUCUAGAAUAGCCAACACUUGGUAAGCUUUUGGACUCCUAGGAGACAUCCAUUAGUUAUCUCUUGCGAGCUUUUGACGGGUAAUCCAAGGUUAAAGAUCACCUUGAAUGGUUAAGGCUUAGUGAGAGGCUUAAACCAUUGCAAAGUGCAUCAGUGAGAGAAUUAAAGUGAAAUCUAAUUGAAGGAGUCUCUGUAUAACACCGGUUAGAGAAUUGACUAUAGGUUGAAUCUCUAAUACGAGGAAAUGAACCAACUGACCGGAGCUAUGUCUUUUGCAUGAGGAACCACCCCAGUGAACCUAAAUCUCUAGGGAAUGCUUUUCUUCCUAAAUUAUUCCAAACUUCUAUUAUGUUAGUUAGUUUAAGUCUAAACCUUUACCAAUCAAAGUUUGUGUUUUACUUCUUAAGCUAACCUUGAAAUGAAACAAGACCAAUUCACUUGGAAUUGGUAUCAUUGAUUGCUUGUUAAUCAUUCCUAGUGAACGACCCUAAAGCCACUAUACUAUAGUAGUUUUUUCUUUGCUACCCUAGUGUAUGGUGUUAUAGGUAAUAAAUUUUGUUGAUUACUCCCUCAAUCAAAGAGCACCAGCUGAACACAAAUAAGCUGAGACACCAAUUGGGCACGAAUCAAAUGGCGCCGCUGCCGGGGAAUGAGUGUCAAGUUUAUAUUGAUACCAUUUUUGAGCACUUGUGAUUUUCAUCACAAGUUGGUAAAGUUUCUUUCACUUUACUAAUUUUCAUUCUUUCUUUAUUUAUUCAUAAUCUAAGUUUAUCUUUUUAAAUUUAGUCUAGUUUAAUUUUAUUGUUGUAGCCCUGUUUCUCUUGUUGUCCUCUGUUUUUUAUUUAAGUUGUAGAUAGAUACUAGUUGUGUAUGCCCAAGUGGAUACGAUACAGUGGAGGAAGGCUUGUUAAGUGUGAUACACCUCAGAGAAGAGAAUUCGAAGCGAUCUUGAAUAUCAUGGAAGCUACACCUGAAGAUCAACAUAGUCACCAAGGUUGUCAAGACAAUCUCAAUGAAUUCAGAUCAAUGAGGGACCGUAUGCAUCCACCCCGCAUGAGUGCACCAUCAUGUAUAGUGCCCCCUACAGAGCAGCUAGUGAUCAGACCAUAUCUUGUUCCACUUCUACCAACUUUCCAUGGGAUGGAAAGUGAGAAUCCGUAUGCACACAUCAAGGAAUUUGAAGAUGUUUGUAAUACAUUUCAAGAGGGAGGAGCUUCAAUUGAUUUGAUGAGGCUUAAGUUAUUUCCUUUUACUUUAAAGGAUAAGGCCAAAAUUUGGCUUAAUUCUUUAAGGCCAAGGAGUAUCCGCUCUUGGACUGAUUUACAAGCUGAAUUCCUCAAGAAAUUUUUUCCCACUCAUAGAACAAAUGGCUUGAAAAGGCAAAUUUCAAAUUUCUCAGCUAAAGAGAAUGAGAAAUUCUAUGAGUGUUGGGAGAGAUACAUGGAAGCUAUAAAUGCUUGCCCUCACCAUGGCUUUGAUACUUGGCUAUUGGUGAGCUAUUUUUAUGAUGGUAUGUCAUCCUCAAUGAAGCAACUCCUCGAGACAAUGUGUGGAGGAGAUUUCAUGAGCAAAAAUCCAGAGGAAGCUAUGGAUUUCUUGAGCUAUGUAGCUGAUGUUUCAAGGGGAUGGGAUGAACCAACUAAAGGAGAAGUGGGAAAGAUGAAGUCUCAGUUGAAUGCUUACAAUGCAAAGGCUGGGAUGUAUACUUUAAAAGAAGAUGAUGACAUGAAGGCAAAGUUGGCAGCUAUGACAAGAAGAUUGGAGGAGCUUGAGCUGAAAAGAAUACAUGAAGUGCAAGCUGUUGCUGAAGCACCAGUGCAAGUGAAGCUGUGUCCCAAUUGUCAAUCAUAUGAACAUUUGGUGGAGGAAUGCCCUGCAAUUUCAGCUGAAAGGGAAAUGUAUAGAGAUCAAGCAAAUGUUGUUGGACAAUUUAGGCCCAAUAACAAUGCGCCAUAUGGAAAUACCUACAACUCAAGUUGGAGGAAUCAUCCAAAUUUCUCAUGGAAGGCCAGAGCAACUCAAUACCAACAGCCGGAUCCACCAUCUCAACAAUCUUCAAGUAUUGAACAAGUAAUGGCUAAUCUCAGCAAGGUAAUGGGAGAUUUUAUUGAAAAGCAAGAAGCCACUAAUGCUCGAGUCGAUCAAAGAAUUGAUAGAGUGGAGAGUAUGUUGAAUAAAAGGAUGGAUGAAAUGCAAAAUGAUAUGAACCAAAAGUUUGAUAACAUCCAAUAUUCAAUUUCAAGGCUUACAAAUUUGAAUACACUGCAAGAAAAGGGAAGAUUUCCUUCUCAACCUCACCAAAAUCCCAAAGGUGUCCAUGAAGUGGAAAGCCAAGAGGGAGAAUCAUCACAGGUGAAAAAUGUCAAGGCCUUGAUCACUCUAAGGAGUGGUAAGAAAAUUGAGCAGCCAACACCCAAGCCACAUGUUGAGAAAGAAGAAGAGAUAAAGAAAGGGAAGGAAAUAGAAGAUAAAGACAGUGAAAUCAGUGAAGAAAAGAAGGACUCUGAUUCAACAAGGAAAGUAAUUCCAGAGAAGGAGCUUCUGAAGGAAGAAAUGCUAAAGAAAUCAACUUCUCCACCUUUUCCUCAAGCAUUACAUGGGAAAAAGGGGAUUAGAAAUGCAGUUGAAAUCCUUGAAGUCUUGAGGCAAGUGAAAGUUAAUAUUCCACUGCUGGAUAUGAUUAAACAAGUUCCAACAUAUGCGGAAUUCCUAAAGGACUUGUGUACUAUCAAAAGAGGGUUAACUGUAAACAAGAAAGCCUUCUUGACUGAGCAAGUAAGUGCAAUCUUACAAUGUAAGUCUCCUUUGAAGUACAAAGACCCUGGAAGUCCUACCAUUUCAGUCAUGAUUGGAGGAAAGGUAGUGGAGAAAGCCUUGCUAGAUUUGGGAGCAAGUGUGAAUUUGCUUCCUUAUUCUGUUUACAAGCAAUUGGGCCUUGGAGAGUUGAAGCCAACAGCAAUCACUCUAUCUCUGGCAGAUAGAUCAGUGAAAAUUCCAAGAGGGGUAAUUGAAGAUGUAUUGGUUCAAGUGGAUAAUUUCUACUAUCCAGUAGAUUUUAUUGUUCUUGAUACAGAUUCUACCGUAAAGGAAGCUAAUUUAAUUCCUAUCAUCCUUGGAAGGCCAUUUCUUGCAACUUCAAAUGCAAUCAUCAACUGUAGGAAUGGGCUGAUGCAACUCACUUUUGGUAACAUGACACUGGAUCUCAAUAUUUUCUAUAUGUCUAAAAAGCAAAUCACUCCAGAAAAAGAAGAAGGUCCAGAAGAGUUAUGUAUUAUUGAUACUUUGGUGGAGGAGCACUGUAAUCAAAAUAUGCAAGACAAGUUGAAUAAAAGUCUUGUGAAUUUUGAGGAAGGUUUGUCUGAAUCUCCUAUUGGGCUUGCUACUCUACAAAGUUGGAGAAAGAUAGAAGAUAUUCUACCUUUGUUCAAUAAAGAAGAUGAGGCAGUUGUUGAAAAAGAAAUUCCAAAACUCAAUCUGAAGCCUUUACCUGUGGAGCUGAAAUAUACAUAUCUUGAAGCAAAUAAUCAAUGUCCUGUUGUAAUAUCUUCAUCUCUGACCAAUCAUCAAGAGAAUUGUUUAAUGGAAGUUCUCAAGAAGUGUAAGAAGGCAAUAGGAUGACAAAUAUCUGACUUAAAAGGCAUUAGUCCUUUAGUUUGUACUCAUCAUAUAUAUAUGGAGGAGGAAGCAAAGCCAAUUCGUCAAUUUCAAAGAAGGUUGAAUCCUCAUCUACAAGAGGUGGUGCGAGCUGAGGUACUGAAACUACUUCAAGCAGGAAUCAUUUACCCUAUAUCUGAUAGCCCUUGGGUGAGUCCUACUCAAGUGGUACCUAAGAAGUCAGGGAUCACAGUGGUUAAAAAUGAAAAAGGGGAAGAAAUUACUACACGCCUCACUUCAAGAUGGAGGGUGUGUAUUGAUUAUAGAAAGCUGAAUGUUGUCACCAGGAAGGAUCAUUUUCCAUUGCCAUUUAUUGAUCAAGUGCUGGAGAAAGUCUCUAGACAUCCAUUCUAUUGUUUCUUGGAUGGGUAUUCAGGGUAUUUUCAGAUUGAAAUUGAUUUGGCAGAUCAAGAAAAGACCACUUUUACAUGUCCAUUUGGAACAUAUGCUUAUAGAAGAAUGCCUUUUGGUUUAUGCAAUGCACCUGCUACAUUUCAAAGAUGUAUGUUGAGUAUUUUCAGUGAUAUGGUGGAGCGAAUUAUGGAGGUUUUCAUGGAUGACAUCACCGUAUAUGGAGGUACAUUUGAGGAAUGCUUGGUUAAUUUGGAAGCAGUUCUUCAUAGAUGCAUUGAAAAAGACCUGGUGCUCAACUGGGAGAAAUGCCAUUUUAUGGUACGUCAAGGAAUUGUCCUUGGCCAUAUCAUCUCUGAAAAAGGCAUUGAAGUUGAUAAAGCAAAGGUGGAGCUUAUUGUCAAAUUACCAUCUCCAACAACUGUAAAAGGAGUAAGGCAGUUCAUUGGCCAUGCAGGGUUCUAUAGGAGGUUUAUAAAAGGUUUUUCAAGUCUUUCAAAACCUCUUUGUGAGCUGUUAGCUAAGGAUGCUAAGUUUAUAUGGGAUGAAAAGUGUCAGAAUAGCUUUGAUCAACUGAAGAAAUUCUUAACAACAACUCCAAUAGUGAGAGCCCCUAACUGGCAAUUACCUUUUGAACUGAUGUGUGAUGCCAGUGACUUUGCUAUAGGAGCUGUGCUUGGCCAAAGAGAAGAUGGGAAGCCCUAUGUGAUUUACUAUGCAAGUAAAACACUAAAUGAAGCUCAAAGGAACUACACAACUACAGAGAAAGAAUUGUUAGCUGUGGUAUUUGCUUUGGACAAAUUUCGAGCUUAUUUAGUGGGGUCUUUCAUUAUUGUGUUUACUGACCAUUCAACCUUGAAGUAUUUAUUGACAAAGCAAGAUGCAAAAGCAAGGUUGAUUAGAUGGAUUCUUUUAUUACAAGAGUUCGAUCUUCAAAUCAAAGAUAAGAAAUGAGUGAAGAAUGUAGUAGAUGACCACUUGUCAAGGUUAGUUAUAGCACAUAACUCCCAUCCCUUGCCUAUUAAUGAUGAUUUUCCUGAAGAAUCACUCAUGUUCCUAGUGAAAACUCCUUGGUAUGCUCAUAUUGCUAAUUAUUUAGUAACUGGUGAAAUUCCAAGUGAGUGGAAUGCACAGGACAGGAAGCACUUCUUUGCCAAAAUUUAUUCUUAUUAUUGGGAAGAGCCCUUUCUCUUUAAGUAUUGUGCAGAUCAGAUCAUAAGGAAGUGUGUCCCUGAAGAGGAGCAGCAAGGAAUUCUAUCUCAUUGUCAUGAGAAUGCAUGUGGAGGCCACUUUGCCUCUCAGAAAACAGCCAUGAAGGUGUUGCAAUCAGGGUUUACUUGGCCAUCUCUUUUCAAGGAUGCCCACAUCAUGUGUAGGAAUUGUGAUAGAUGCCAAAGGCUUGGAAAGCUAACAAAAAGAAAUCAAAUGCCUAUGAACCCCAUUCUGAUAGUUGAGUUAUUUGAUGUUUGGGGCAUUGACUUCAUGGGACCUUUCCCAAUGUCUUUUGGUAAUUCUUACAUCUUGGUGGGGGUGGAUUAUGUUUCUAAGUGGGUUGAGGCAAUCCCCUGUAAACAAAAUGAUCACAGGGUGGUUCUCAAGUUUCUUAAAGAGAACAUUUUCUCAAGAUUUGGGGUGCCCAAAACCAUAAUCAGUGAUGGAGGUGCUCAUUUUUGCAACAAACCUUUUGAAGCUCUGUUAUCCAAGUAUGGAGUGAAGCAUAAGGUGGCCACACCUUAUCAUCCUCAGACUUCCGGGCAAGUUGAGCUAGCUAACAGGGAAAUAAAGAACAUCUUGAUGAAAGUGGUGAAUUCCAACAGAAAAGAUUGGUCUAUUAGGCUUCAUGAUUCAUUGUGGGCAUAUAGAACAGCUUAUAAGACUAUUCUAGGGAUGUCUCCCUAUCGUCUUGUCUAUGGUAAAGCAUGUCAUCUCCCUGUGGAAGUUGAAUACAAAGCUUGGUGGGCAAUAAAGAAGCUGAACAUGGACUUGAUCAAGGUAGGAGAAAAGAGAUUUCUAGACCUUAAUGAGAUGGAGGAAUUAAGAAAUAAUGCUUAUAUCAAUUCCAAAGUUGCAAAACAGAGGAUGAAGAAGUGGCAUGACCAACUCAUCUCUAACAAGGAAUUUCAGGAAGGGCAAAGAGUUUUGCUGUAUGACACAAGACUCUAUAUCUUUCUUGGGAAGCUCAAGUCAAGGUGGAUUGGCCCGUUCAUUAUUCAUCGAGUAUAUUCCAAUGGAGUGGUGGAAUUAUUGAAUUCCAAUGGCAAGGACAGCUUUAAGGUCAAUGGAUAUCGUCUUAAGCCAUUCAUGGAGCCAUUCAAACCAGAAAAGGAGGAGAUCAACCUCCUUGAGCCUCAAAAAGCCUAAGUGAAAAAGGGUUUGCUGGACGUGGUUUUACCACAGUCCAAAAUUUUUUGUAAAUAUUGUAAAUUUUCAAGUGGUUUCCAUACUUUUGAUCUUAGUUUUUGAUCUUAAAUCAUGUUCUUGUAUGUGUUUUAAUCUUUUUGAAUGAUUCAAGGUGGAAGAAAUUUCAAGGAGAUUGAAAGAAAAAAAAUUGGGUCGAAAUCGGAGCCAAAACAGAGCAAAAACAGGGGAAAAACAGAGCUCUGCGAAAUUUCGCACAGUGAAUGAAACUUCUGCGAAAUGAGCAUUUUGUUGCCAAACCAUUCCGCAACGCUGUAGAAGUAUCUGCGAGGGUAUUUUGCAGCUGCGAAAGCAAAUUUGGCACACGAGUGUCACUUCGCAGUACAGUAGCAUCCAUUUCGCAGCUGCGAAACGCAUUGCGAAAUGGAAAAUCGUGAUUUCGCACCAAAAGUCUAAUUCCGCAGGGUAUUUCGCAAUUGCGAAAGUGGUUUUGGCACACGAGUGCCACUUCGCAGCACAGUAACUGUGGACCCGCAUUUUUCACGUGCGUCCCCACUCGAUCGGCGAGACUCGCUUUUUAUUUGUGAAAAAUUGAUUUUUGAAAAAAAGUUGGAGCCGCCACUUAUUUUAUCUUUAUUUUUGAAGGGAAAAUAAAACAAGAAAUAAAACCCUAAAAAAAAUGACUCCAUAAUUUUUGGAAAAGCGUGUCUUUGAAAACCCAAGUCUUGGUCCGGGGAUCAGGUUACUUAUUGGGAAGGUACCUCUAGGAGGUAGCACCCCUCUAAGCCCUAAAGAGGUCUCUACUAAUUAAGUUAAGGGGAAUAUGGCAAUUAAUCGGUUAAUUAUGGAUACCUAAGUAGGCUAGGUGAUUUCAAAAGAUUUGCAUGCUAAACAAGAUCAAAUUGCCAUAAAAGAAAGGUUAGGAUGCGUACCCGGACCACUUCUCAAGCGCUAUCAUAAAACAUCAGAGUUAGUAUAGAAGUAUAACACACAACAUGUAUUUAAUCAUAGUGAAUCAAGCAUACAUCUAAACACCUAGGGAUUAUCAAACAUAUGCAUACUUCACAGUGACAUGAUUGUUUACAAAAUUUAGAAGGUAGGUGAUAGGGGGGCGUACCUGGAUAGCAUAAAUAACUUACAAUGCGCUUCCAUAAGACAUGAUGGAUUAAAUAAUAAUAAAAUAAAGAAACCCUAGCAUGCUUGUUAUCUAAUUAGCAUAACAAAAAUUAUCAAAGUAUAUGAAAACAUUAAUUAUCACACACAUCUUGUAUACAAUUCCUAAAAAUAAAAAAAAAUAAAAUUAAAAAAUUAAAAAAAAAGGCAUAAUUCCAACAAGUGACGAAAAUGGCAACAAAAAUAAUUUUUGAAAAGAUUUUCUUAUGUAGGGGUUUCACCAAUUCCCCAAAUUAAUAUACACAAAUUUAGCCCAGUAUUAUCCCAUUAUGUGGGACCACAAGCUUUGAUUCGUGUUUUUGUUCAAAACCAAACUUUUUGUUAAAAACCGAGAAGGAUGCAAACCGAACAAGAUAUGGUUGCAUAUUAUUUUUAAAUAAAAAAAAAAAGGAGAUUUUGAUCCUGAGGACUCUAAUGAGUUUUUGAAAUAGAUUUUUAAAAUUAUUUUUUUGAGAAAAGUAUUUUAUUUUAAAAUAAAAGGAAUUAAUUUAGGAAAAAAUAAAAUAUAAGAAAUAAAAUACCAAACAAAACAAAAAAUGAGAACUCAAAGUAAAAUUUUUUUAGUAAUUAAUAAAAAUGAUAAUGGUGAUGGUAGAGGCCAAGCUUCAUGAUUUUCCAAUGGCUUCUAAAAAUCAAAUUUAAUAAAUAUUCACCAAAGCAACAAACCAAACGACUUUUAGAUCAAAUAAAACUAACGAAAUAUUAAUCGGGAAUUUAUAAGGAUCAAUCAAACACAUAAAUUGAGAUAAACAAUCUAGAACUAAUUUAAAAUCAACCAAACACCUAAACAUGUAAUUAUAAUAAUGUGAAUAUAGUAACACAAGCACAUAGAAUUCUAAAACAUAUUAACUAAUCAAAAACUAGAAUCAUCAACUUUAGAACGUGAGCAAAAUAACAUAAGAUUAGUACCUAAACUAAAUAAGAUGAACCAAAACAUGAUCAAAAUAAACUUAAAAACAUAAACUUUAUUACAUAGGAUCAAUUAGAAUAAUAGACUAAAAAUUAUAAAAUACUUGAACUAAAUAAAAAGCUGACUCCUAAAAAAAACUGACUUUUAAAAUUAAAUCUAUUAACACCGAUCUAAGCAAAAUUCUAACUUUUCGAACUAAGCAAGGAAUCAAGUCCAAACUACACAAAGAUUUUAAUUUUUCAAUGUAAUAUAAUGAAUCAAAAUUAAAAUAAAACAAAAAAUUCUCACCUUUUAAACCAAAGUAAUGAAUCAAAACUAAGCAAACAAAAAUUUACUUUUCAAUCUAAUAAAAAUAAAAAAUAAAAAAAUCAAAACUAGAUUAAACAAAAUUCAAACAUUUCAAAAUAACGCAAGGAAUAAAAAAUAAAUUAAAUAAAAAUUUAACCUUUCAAUCUAAAGUAAUCAAUCAAAAUUAAAUAGGGAUCAAAUCAAAAUAAUCGAAAUCGAAAAAAACAAUAUGCAAUCUUUCUAAAGGUUUAAUCAGACAAUUGAAUUAAAAUUAUGAAUAGAAUAAAUUAAUAAACCAAAUCAAAACCUAAACCCUACCUAAGAAAAUUAAUUAAUUAAACUAAUAAGUCAAAAUCAACAAUGAAACUAAACUAAGGAAUUAACAUCACAAACACGCUUAAAUUAAGAAAACAAAUGGUAACUAAAUUAGAUUGAAAUUAAACUCUAUCUAAAAAGAAAAAGAAUGAAUUAAUCUAAUAAAUCCCAAUCAGCAAUCAAAAUUAAACUAAAAAAAUAAAUAAAUUAAGACAAAACGAAUUAGAUUAAAAUCACAAACACAUUUAAACUAUCAUAUGGAUCAAAAUAAACUAGCAUGGGAUUAAAAAAAACUACUAUCACAAAGAAAAGAUAUCUAAUCCGGGAGAAAUAAAAAAAAUUGAGCGAGUUAAAGUUUAAAAGAAUUUAUCACAAAGAAUUAAUUAAACUAAUAUGCAAAAUCUAAACCAAAAAAAAGUGUUCUGUUGAAAGCAAAGAAAAACUAACCUGUUUUGUUUCAGAAAAGAAAAAUGCUUUCUUGAUGGUCAAAGUGGCAGCCCCUUAAUGUUUGAAGUCCUUUACCACUCCCCAAAGAUUCUGGGCGUGUCUUCUCUUGAAAAUAAGUUUGCUCGUCUGUGGAUCUCUACCCAAAAACAAUUUCCCCCCGUGCCUAGAUCUCUCUUUCUCCUUUUCAAGCCAAAAAAUCUCUCCUUUGCUCCAGAAAAAAAUAUCUCCUCGUCUGUCGAUCUCUCUACCCCCAGAAAAUAAAAUAUUCUCUCUGUGUCUCCAUAUCUAAAAAAAAUCCUUCCUAUUUAUAUGGCAGCACCUCCCUUCUAUUGGAUAUUCUCUUUCCCUUUUUUGAAUGCGUGUGGAUAUGGGAAGUGAUGUAUGCGUGACUUACCUAGCAAUUUCUUCAAGGAUGCAGCCCAUGUCUUGUUUGGUAAGUAAAUCAGAUCCUCAGCGGCCCCAAAGUGGUAAGUUCCUUCAGAUCCCAAAAUUCAGAAUUCCAAAGUCUACCAGAAAAUCCGCGGAGAUAAGAAGACGAUAGUGUAGCAACCCAUCUCGGAAAUAUGUAUAAAUAUAUUUAACUUGUGGGUAAAGUCAAUAAUGAAGGAAGCAUGUGAUGUAGUGUGGGUAUCAUCCUGUUGCAUAGCUGUAGAGAUGAAGAGAUUAAAUGAGUUGCAGAAACAGUGGAUAAUGAAGUCAAUUCAAUGCGCGGUGUGGUGGAAAGCGAGCCUUCAGUGAUAUAUGGAGAUCGACAGGAGAAUUAGCCGUUGGGCAUUAUUUACAUUAUAAUCUUUGCUGGGUUUGUUUGGUUCCCUCCUCAACUUGGCUGUGGUCAAGUCCUAGAAUAUGACCUAUUUCAUGCGUAGCAACACUUUCCAUAUCGUAAGAACCAGGAACUGCACCGACCGUCCAUGAGGCUGUGUCAUCUAAAGUGAUGGUUGUGUCCGUAUAUGAUGUGCUGGCGGAACCCAGGGCUCCUCCAGGGCCAUCAAUGGGGCCAAACUUAACUUGGAGUACAGCACGUGAUUCGUCUCGAAUCCUUUCGAAGGUGAAGUUCGAAACAGCAGCUCAUGUGUCGAAACCGUUUGUAAUUGGUUGCUCAGGUUGGGAGCCAGGGUACACUAUGUAGUGGAUAUCCAUCUGAUCACGGGGCCAUUUUAUGCGCGAUGUAUAAGAAUAAUUAGGGUUGAUAGUACUGUUUGAGCUUGGGGGGUGGUCCUAGAACCCACAUCUUGGCGCACAAAAUAUAAUAUUUUCAAGGACAGCCUUUGGGAGCCCCAUUAAAGUAGUAUUUUUUUUAUCCAUGUCAGCACAUCUAGCUAAGGCAAACUUUCUCCCCAGUGUCAUUGUCAAAGCUCAAUCAAUGCAGCAAAUAAAACACCAGAAUUAUCUGGAGCAUUACGAAGCCCAGAUACUUGUUUUGAUGCCUUAGGAAUUUCUUGCCAAAGCUCAUUCGAUGCAACAAAGAAAUCACUAGAACUAUCCUGACCAUUAUGAGACCCGCUUACGUGUUUGGCUCCCUUGUCUUGUAUCAUUCCCCUUCGGUGACUUAGAUUUCUCUCCGAUCAGCAUCAAACUCUUCUAUAUCAGAAACUUCAUCAUCGAAGAACCAAUCUUCAUCCUCAUUUCAAUGGUCUGCUCCAAAAUCAAGGCUUUAGGAUUUAAUAUCUUCUGGUACUUCAAACCGGACAACUCCAUCUUUAACAGUAGCAAGCUUUCUCAAUAAUUUCCUCAUGAAAAACAAAAUUAAAUUAAAUUAAAAAUAAAAAAAUAAAAGAUAGAAGAAAAAAAGAAGAAACUAAUGGAAAUCAUGAGAUUGGUAAUAAAAUAAUGAUUUAAAAGAAAAGAAAGAGAACCAAGAGACUAGAUUAUAUAUCCCCUCAUUAAAUAAUGGGGCGCAUGUCUAUUUAAAGUCUAAACAAUUCAAGCAAUUUCCUAUUAGAUAAGUAAAUAAAUAAAAUAAAAAAAUAAAAAAUAAAAGUAAAAAAUAAAAAUAGUAAUAAUAAUAAUAAUGACAAUGACAAUGACGAACAAAUAAAAGGUGAAAAAUGAAAAAUGAAUAAACAAAAUAAAUAUAAUUAUCGAAUGCAUGCCAUAGUAAUAAUAAUAUUAUAUAAAUAAGUAAAUAAAUAAAUAAUAAAAAUGUUGAGCCUCAAUGGAAUGUCUAAAUGGACCUAUUCUGAAAAAGGUGUCUAAGUGACCUAAGUGAGACUAAGUAGGCCAAGUGUAUCUAAAUAGGCUUAGGGUGCCUAAAUGGGUCAAGGGUGCCUAAUGAACUAAGUGUCCUAAAAGCUAUCCUAAAAAAAAAACAAGAAAAGCCUAAGUCUAAGUUAGGGCUGCCAAGGGUCACAAUAAGGGGUCGGAUAAAUCUCUCAACCAAAGUCUCCGAGGUGACUCAGAAAAAGGUAAAUUAUACGAGUACUAAUGGGCCACCAAGGAACUACUAUGGAACACUGAAAACAAAAUUAAAGACAUGUGCUAAAGGGACAAAAUUGAGGGUCUACAGUAACAUCAAUUUCGCAGCUGCGAAACGCACUGCGAAGUUGCUGCGAAAAUGGCAUUUUGCUGCGAAAUUGGCGUUUUGUUGCGAAACUCAAACUGACCCUUAGGCUUCCGUUUUUCCUAUUUAUACCGGUCAUUUGAGCUGCGAAAAGGGUUUCAAAAAUCAGAGCACCAUUCUCGCAGCCUGUUCGCCUUCUUCACCAAGCUUCGCCGUCCAAGCCUCCGGUCAUCCUCUCAGAUCAGCAAAGUCGGCCAAAGUUCGGUAGCCCGAAAUGGCGCGAACUUGAGGAGCUAAGUCUUCAUCUCCUUCGAACCGCAAGAAGAGUCUGCGAAAGGAGUCAGUUCCAGAACCUGCUCCAAAGCCUUCGCCGUUGAGACCAAUUCCACCUCCGGUGAAACUCGCGCCGCCAAAGUCGCCGGCAAGACGAUAUCUAACCGGGUCAGGAGGUAGGCCAUUGCAAAAGAGACCCAGGGUGGAGAGCUCAGAACCCAUCGAUUUGACUGAGCAAUCUCCAGAGCCUUCCCCAAUUCCAUCAUCGGUUCAAACUCCAGUGCCGUCUCCAGUUCCCUCGCUGAGUCCCCUGCCAGUUCCAUCGCCGGUACCAUCUCCGGCGCCGCAAUAAAAAUCUCAGGAGCCUCAAGCGCCACUUCCUGAGCCCCAAAUUCAAGCUGAAACAACUCUGGAAGAAGUAAUCCGGAGGCCAAUGCUACCUCAGCCUCCAAUUGAGGGAAACUUGGAUUGUCGAACUCGGGCAUUCCAUUCCGAGCUUUGCUUCGACUUAGCAGCAUUCAGAGUGAGGCCGGAGCUUGCCCAAUCAUUCCAGCUGCUGAGGAGGUAUCAUAUGGAGCAUCUGCUAGCUCCAAGAGAUUUUUUUUACCCCCGGAUAGCCACGGAUUUCUAUCAAUCCAUGACAACCAACGAGGUCAGGAAUCCAACCUUGAUUCAUUUCACUAUCGAUGGGAGACAUGACAUAUUGGGAGCACGACAUAUUGCUGAAGCUCUGCAAAUUCCCUUUGAGCCAACCCAAUUUGAUAAUUUUAGAGCUUGGGCAAAUCCUACUGAGCUAGAGAUGGUGCGCACCCUUUCCAGAGGAGUUGCAAAUCGAUCACAUCUGCUGAGGGGGGAACUUCCUCCAGUUAUGUUUUUUAUUGAUGCCUUUUUGCGUCAUAAUAUCUAUCCAUUGCAGCAUUGGACCCAAAGAAGGGGAGUUCUCCUGGAAGCUCUUUACAAGAUGUCAGAAGGAUUUUUCUUUGGGCCUCAUCAUCUGAUCAUGGCAGCCCUUCUCUAUUUUGAAGAGAAGGUUCACAAAAAGAAGCUUCAGAGAGUAGAUUGCAUUCCCUUCCUCUUCCCAAGGCUGCUAUGCCAAAUUUUGGAGUAUCUGGGAUUCCCUUCUGAGCCUCAGCUGGAGAGAAAGCGAAUAUGUCGUGAGCCAUUCACUCUUGAUAAAUGGAAUAAUAUGACGGCCUACAAAGUUGAUCAGCCUAGGCAGCCUCAGCCAGCUGCAAGGAGAUCUUCCCCAAGACAUAUACCUGAGGGUAUAACAGUUGCUACUCCUGCCAUUCCUAAAGCUCCACCAGCUGCACUUGCUUCAUCUCAGCCAUCCACAUCAGCUGAGUCGAGGAUGACCAUUCCUAUAUCUGAAUAUCGAGAGUUGUGCCGUGUAUUGAAGACUCUUACAGCUUCUCAGAGCAAUCUUGCUCAGGAGAUGGCAACCAUCAGAGCAUGCCAAGAGCAGAUGUUGGCCACUCAGGCUCAACAAGCUGCCAUCUUAAGGCAGCUCCAAGUCCAUUUCGAUCUGCCACAAGCUAUAGAGCCCUCCACUGAUACACCAGCAGAGCCACACCCUCAUCCUUCAGAGUCUCAUCCUCCAGAGCCCCAAGCCCCAGCUGAUGCACCUACUGAAGAGGCAGAUCCAUCUGCCUAGCACCACCACCCCACUCAUCAGACUAUAUUAUAUAUCUAAUAUUUCUAUGUAUUUCGUUUUUUUUAGUUGAAAAGAAAUCCCAGUAUUUUGGUACUAUAUUUGGGAUUCCUUGUGUUACUUGUCUUUUGCAUUGUACUCGAAUGAAUUGAAAGUAAUACAAGUUGAAUAUUUCUUGUUAACAGUUAGCAUUAAGUUAUUCUUAUUUCCUUUUCUCACAUAUUCUAUUCUUUUUGAAACAUGUGGUUUUCCCCAAUCAAUAUUCGAAUUUGAUAUCAGCAAGGAGGUACCACUUCCUCCUUUUUAAUUACAGUCACUCAUAUCACAUUGAGGACAAUGCUCAAUUCGGUUGGGGGGAAUGAGGAAGGAAGUAUGCUAAAUCUUUUUGGUAUUGCAAUUAUAUUGGUUAAUUAGUUGUAGUUUUUACUUUUUACUCUUUUUACUCUAUUCUCCAUGAAUUUUGAGGAAAAAUUUUCAAAUUAAAUCAAGAGAAAUUGAACUGUUGUUUUUUCACUUGACUUAGAGUAUGGAUUAUGCUUACUAAAGUGGUUCAAUUGUUGAAGCUUCUAUUGAAAUUGAAGUUAGUUCUUCCACUUUAAGCUAUCCACACACUGUGCACAUUAGAUUCCGAUUAUAAGAUGAAAAGCUAUUUCCCUCUUGACUUAAGAUAAUUUUGGGACUUGGUAUAUUUGACCUCAUUUGAUAAAAUUGAAACACCCUGCAAAAGGCCAAUGAGCCUUUGAAAUAAAGAAAGUUGUUUGCUUGCCUUGAAACCCGAGCAAGGUCUGAGGGGUAUAUGGUGAAAAUCUUUUAAGCUUGGUGCCCUAAGCCUUAAUUGGUUGGGAGUCACCGACCUCAAUGCUCGUUAUAAGGGUGAAUAGGUAGAGCUAGCAUAUGGUAGAUGCUUGGGUAUUAGAAACUCAUUCUUAAAAGUCCGGGGAAAAAUCCGAGGAGUUAGUGGUUGAAAGAUCCUUAAAGCUUGGUGCCCUAAACCUUAAUUGGUUGGGAGUCAUCGAUGGACCCCUAUUACAUGGACAAGUCAGAAAGAGUACCCCAUAAAGCCUCAUAAAAAAUAAAAAAAAAAUGAUGAAAAUGUGUUCUUUUCUUAUUGAUUUUGGUCAGAUUGCUAAAGUAUUGAAAAGAGAUAGGUUGGGGAGAGAGACUAGUUUAGCAUAUUAUUCUUGGAAGCUAAGGAACCAAUACACAUAGAUUUUUGUGGAAGAUUAAAGUUUGGUUCUUAGAAAGUGGAAAUGAUUUUAAAACUUCAAUUUGCAUAAUGCACUCCCUUGAUUGACAGUGUUUAGCAUAGUUUGUUAUGACUCUUGUUGAGAUUUGGGUUUGUAUUUCUUUAAUGCUUCAUGUGAGAAUUAGAUCAUCAUGCCACUUGAGAAUUAUUUUCUAUCAGCAUGAUGUUGUAAAUUUUAGUAUAAUUUGCUAUUUAUUUUCAUUUUUCUCUCCUUUAUUGCUAAGGGACUAGCAAUAUGUCGGUUGGGGGGAGUGAUUACUACUCAAAAAGUGCUAUUUGAUAGCCUAUAAUUAAUCCUUUUAAACACUUUUGAGUAGUAGUUUAGGUCUUUUAACUCAAUUGGCAUGUUAAGGAUCCUUUAAAGCAAUUUUGAUCACUUUGUGUAAGUUUUGGUGUUUUUGUUAGUAUUUUGAUCACCAAAGCAAGUCAAGACUGAGGAGAGCUAUGAGGAAUCUUGGGCAAAGUUGAGAAGUCAUUUGCCAAGAGUAAAUCCGGAUUGCAAGGAGAAAAAGCAAAGAUAAUCUGCCAUAAAGCAUAUUCUUGAUGACAGUCGUAGCAGCCACUUUUGGAGCACUUUCUAAAGUCCAAAUGAUGCAUGUUAUAUAUCAUUUCAAAGAUCAGGAAGUCAACAAUCCAAUGCUUCAAACGGUGUGCAAUUCGGAGUUGAAAUGAAGAAGUUGCAGCCAUUACAAGCCAAUCACUCCGAGCUGAAGGAAGCAUUUUGCAAAGUGUUGCGAAAUCACCCUUUUGUUGCGAAAUGAUUUCGCAGCCUUUUUGAACAAUGUGAUGUUUCUCCUUCUGACGAUACCCGAUUUAUGCCGCGAGAAGGAAGCUGAGAACCUCAAGGUGGAAGCCAACUUCGCAGCCCUAUGAAGAUAGCUUGGUGUUGCGAAAUUAUUUUGCAGCUCUCUUGAGUGUCUGCGAAAUCUCGCAGACACCAUUUUUCUCAUGCGAAAUGGUUCCUAAAGCCUCCCGAUAUUUGCUACCGACAUUGGGAGAUAUUUUCCAUUAGAUUUUUGUUGUCUAAAUCCCAAAAUACUCCUUGUAAACCACCAAUUACAUGAUUCCUUAGUUUUUAAGUUAGUAAAAAGACUAAAUAUCUAUGUAAUAAUUAGUUUUAUAUUAUGUUCAUAUAUAUACCUCUCGGGAGCCUGUUCUCAGAGAGGAGUUCCUUUUGUAAAAGUUUGGGUAAGCAAGUAAAGUCUAUUUUCUUUCUAUUGUCUUACCUUCUCACUUUGUAUUUUCAUUUUAUUUCUAAGUUAUGAAUUCUCUGAGGAGUUUUCCCCAGAGAAUGAGUAACUAAACCUCUAAUUCCUUGGAGCUAAGGUUGCCGGGGAAGGUUCCAAGUGCAAGAAUGCAAAGCUCUGUGGUUUUAGCUAUUAAUGAAGAGGAAGUGAAAUCCUUUAGUGAUUUCUAUGUUUUUAGUUAACUUAAAACACCUUGGAGUCACCUGGGCCAACACUUGGUAAGGCAAGUGAUUUCCAACCAUGGAAAUGCACUAGUUUACCCCAUGCGAGCCUCUGGGAGGUGACUUCAAGGUAGGAUUUUCUAGAAUAGCCAACACUUGGUAAGCUUUUGGACUCCUAGGAGACAUCCAUUAGUUAUCUCUUACGAGCUUUUGACGGGUAAUCCAAGGUUAAAGAUCACCUUGAAUGGUUAAGGCUUAGUGAGAGGCUUAAACCAUUGCAAAGUGCAUCAGUGAGAGAAUUAAAGUGAAAUCUAAUUGAAGGAGUCUCUGUAUAACACCGGUUAGAGAAUUGACUAUAUGUUGAAUCUCUAAUACGAGGAAAUGAACCAACUGACCGGAGCUAUGUCUUUUGCAUGAGGAACCACCCCAGUGAACCUAAAUCUCCGGGGAAUGUUUUUCUUCCUAAAUUAUUCCAAACUUCUGUUAUGUUAGUUAGUUUAAGUCUAAACCUUUACCAAUCAAAGUUUGUGUUUUACUUCUUAAGCUAACCUUGAAAUGAAACAAGACCAAUUCACUUGGAAUUGGUAUCAUUGAUUGCUUGUUAAUCAUUCCCAGUGAACGACCCUAGAGUCACUAUACUAUAGUAGUUUUUUCUUUGCUACCCUAGUGUAUGGUGUUAUAGGUAAUAAAUUUUGUUGAUUACUCCCUCAAUCAAGGAGCACCAGCUGAACACAAAUCAGCUGAGACACCAAUUGGGCACGAAUCAGCGGAGACGGCGGUGCGACCAGCGGCGCCGGCCAUGGUUGCGGCGGUGCAAGCGCCAGCAGAAGCAGCAGCCCCCCACCUCUAUUCCUUCAUACCGUCAUGGCCAUCAUCGACAUGAAGACCCAAUCCCCCUGUCGGCUUGCUAUCCGUGGGCCACCCUGUUGCUUUGUUUAAAAGAAACAAGGUGGCAGCACUUCUAGAUCUUCAUGAUGGAUGUUCUGACUGGUGGGCUUUGUUGGUGGGCUCCCAAAGCCCAAGUUGCAUGUUUAGAUUAGUUCACAUGGGCCUUAAGCCCCAUCCUCCAUGUUCGGGCCAAGUAUACGGCCCUCUCGAGUCUUUUUUUCCAAUGUUAUAAAUAUGUUUUUCCUAUGAAGAUUUUUAAAUCAGCUAUACAAAAUAUCAUUUUCGAAAUAACUUCCUAAAAUUAAAUUUUAAAUUCGAUUUGCAAAAUUUUGAUUCUUGAAAAUUCAAUCCCGAAAAUUCCCCUAUGCAAUUAUACUCGUUUAAAUAUUAUGAUUGUUAAUUAUUAUUAUUUCAUAUGUAUCGAUUUAUCAUCUUUUAAAAAUCUCAUUCAUUAGAGUCUAAUCCUUCCAAAAAUUCCAUGUCUUAAUUUAAAUUUUCAAUUCUAAAAAUUCCACAAUUAAUUUAAACCUUAUUUUCAUCAAUUAGAACUAUCCUCUCAUAUUUACUUAGUUAUUUAAGGUCUAAUCUUUCAAAAAUCCCAUGUUUUAAUUUAAUUCUUCAAAUAUUCGUUUAAAUCUCAUUUUUAUUAAAUAGAGUCAAUAUCUCUUAUUUAUCUAAUCUAAUCUUUCAAAAAUCCCUUGCCUUAAUUUAAUUAUUCAAAUAUUCGUUUAAAUCUUAUUUUCAUCAAUUAGAAUCAUUAUCCAGUAAUUAUCUAGCUAUUCAAAGUCUAAAAAUCUCAUAUCUUAAUUUAAUUUUUUCAGUAAUUCGUUUAAAUCUUAUUUUCAUCAAUCAGGAUUAUUAUUCCAUAUUCACCUAUUUAUUUAAAACCUAAUUCUUCGAAAAUCCCAUGUCUUAAUUUAAUUUUUCAAUCCCAAAAAUUCUACAGUUCGUCUAAAUUUUAUCCUCAUCCAUUAGAAUCAUUAUUCCAUAUCUAUUCAAAGCCCAAUCUUUCGAAAACCCCCUAUCUUAAUUCAACUUUCGAUCCUAGAAAUUCCAUUAUUCGUCUAAAUUUUAUUUUUGUUAAUUAGGAUUCUUGUUCCACAUCCAUUUAUUUAUAUAAGAUCCAAUUCUUCAAAAAUCCAAUUUCUGAAUUAAAACUUCGAUCCCAAAAAUUCUACUAUCCAUCUUUAUUCGCCUAAAUAUUAUUCUCGUUAAUUAGUAUUAUAAUCUCAUACCUACCUAUUUAUUCAAAACCUAAUCCUUUAAAAAUCCAAUGCCUUAAUUCAAAUUUUCAAUUAGAAAAAUUCCACUAUUUUAUUCGUUCAAACAUUAUUUUUGUUAAUAAAUAUUAUUAUUCCAUAUUUGUUUAUUUAUUUAUUUCAAUCAUUAAAAUUCAAUUCUUCAAAACCGGAUUUCCAAAUUUAACCUUUAGACUAAAAAAAUUCCACCAUUCACUUUUAUUCAUUUAAAUAUCAUCUUUGUUAUCGUUAUCAUAAAUUCCACGUUUACUUAUUUCUUUCUUCUAAAAAUUCCAAUAAUUAGAGUUCAAUUAUUCAGAGGUCCGACUUUCAAACCUAAUUCUCAAAAUCCCACUAUUCACUAUUCAUCCGUCCAAAUAUCGUUUUGAUUAAUUAGUAACAUUACUCCAUACUUACCCAUUUAUUUCUCUUAAAAAUCUCAAUCAUUAAAGUCUAAUCCUGCAAAAUUCCGAUUUCUAGAUUUAGUUAUUUGAAAUUCCAAUUGUCCUAUCUCCGAACUUAAUUUUCAGUUUCCCAUGCUCCAAUUCCCGUAUUUAUCCCGCUACUUAUUAUUAUCAUUAUCACUAUCAUCUUAUUCAUUAUUUCUAUAAAUUCUACUUUCGAAUGAUUUCCAAGACCUCCAAUUUUUAUACAUCGACUUUCAUAAUUUCUACUUCUCAAAUAACUUACGAUUCUGAUCCCUUUCAAAAUUUAACUCCCACAAUCCCAAUUUUUGUAACUUAGGUGGUGUUUGUUUUUUUGGCUUUUUGCUAAAAACCAUUUAGUUUUAGAAUUUAGGUUGUUUGUUUUUUUACUUUUUCAUGACUUAUUAUAAACUUUUUACUAAAUAGAAAAAGCCAGAAUAUGUGGCUUUUUCUAAAUAGAAAAAAUAACAUAAUGGUUUUCUUUACUUUUUAAUACUUAAUAGAAAUAAAAUACUACAAAAACAAACAACCUAAUAUUUAAUACUAUUAAGUAUUAAGGUUCUAUUUAGAAUUAAGUAAAAAAACAAACACCACCUUAGUUUUUCUUAAAAAUCCCGAACUUUCAAAUAAUUAUUCAAAAUCCCAAUUUUCUUUCAAAUUUAAUUUCUAAAAGUUCUUAUUCUUACAUCUAAUUCCUAAGAAUCCAAUUUUCAAAUAAACUCUAGGAUUCUGAUUCUCAAAUGAAUUUCAAAAACCCAGUUUUCCUUCGAACAAUUUUAAUCCCUGUUUAGUGAUGCAUAUGAUAUGUUUUGUGCUCUAUAUGGUGCACUAACCCUCUCUAUUGAUAGCGCAUUGUCACAAGCUGACCCAAAUGAGCCUCCCAAUGGCCUUAUAUAGGGCCAGGAAGCUUCUGGAGACUCCUAGAAUGGGAAGAGUGUGGAAGGUUCUAGAGAAGUCUGGAGGAGUCCACACAAUUCUACACUAUGGUGGAAGGCACAAGAGGAGUCCGGGGCUUUCUAGAGAAGUCUAGAAGACUCUUGUAUAUACUUGUAUAUAGGCUUGUAACUAGAAUGAUGUAGGACAUUCUAGAAUAGUCUUGAGAUGUAAGGAACCCUCCAAGGUUCCAGAGAGUUCCAUUGGUGCCUAUAAAUAGGUGAGGGCCUCAUUUGGCCAAGGCACCAAGCAAGUGAGCAUCCAAGCACUUGUAAAGGUUUCCUUGAGUUAGUGAAAGCUUCCAUUCUUUCAAGAGUUGCCUACCAAGCUUCUUAAGCUUUUAAGUCGCGAGUGUCUUAGCCGAGCAAGCUAAGCAUUAGGGAGCAAGGCUGACUUAGCAAGAUCAAGCGUCUUGGCUUGUCUAAGUGCUGCACGAGCUUAGUGAACGACUAAGUCCGUGACAAGUGGUAUCAGAGCGCGGUUACGAGGUGGGCAUAGCAAAGGAAGCAUGUCGGGCUCUAACGUGGAGGAGACUAGCGAGCAAACCCGUGGACGGGAGAUGGAGCAUACUACACGGGGCCGAGGCAGGAAGGAUAAGUCUCGUGACACCUUAGCCAACAUGGAGGCAAGGCUAGCCAAGGUGGAGCUAGCCAUGGCAGACACCCGGGAAGGGGUGGACUUGAUAGAGCAAGGCAUGGAGAAGGGCUUAGAGGAUCUAAGGGAGCAGAUCCAAGACCUUCGCGAGGGCGUGCUAUGUUCACAAGUUCAGCCGGUGUCACACGAGGAGUUCAUGUCCUUCCAAGACAAGGUCAUGACCAUGUUCGCUAGUGUGGAGUCAAGGAUGGAGGCCUUGGCUGCUCGCAUGGAUGCCCGAGACCAAGAGAUCCGACAAGAGCUGGCCAUCUAUAAGACUGCGGUGUCAGCACGAGUCAUGGCCACUCAUGAGGCACCAAGGGUGGAGGUGCCCAAGCCACACACGUUCAAUGGCAAGAGGGAUGCCAAGGAGCUAGAUAAUUUCUUGUGGCACAUGGAGCGCUACUUUGAGGCAAUUGCAUUGACGGAUGAAGCCACUAAGGUACGCACCGCGACCCUUUACCUCACUGAUAAUGCUACUCUAUGGUGGCGUCGACGAUUUGCCGACAUAGAGAGAGGGACGUGCACCAUAGACACAUGGGAUGCCUUUAAGAGAGAAAUCAAGAGGCAAUUCUACCCCGAAGACGUGGCUUACCUAGCAAGGAAGAGUUUGAAGCGUCUCAAGCACACGGGCUCAAUCCGUGAGUAUGUCAAGGAAUUCUCUACUCUUAUGCUUGAGAUACCUAACAUGGCUGAGGAGGAGCUGUUGUUCAACUUCAUGGACAACUUGCAAAGCUGGGCCGAGCAAGAGUUGAGGAGACGUGGUGUCCAGGACCUAGCCACGGCCAUGGCAGUAGCCGAGUCCUUGGUGGAUUAUAGAAGGGGAGACUCCUCCAAGCCCAAGCCACCAUCCAAGGGUAACCAGGCCAAAGGUGGGGGAGACAAGAGGUCGCAAGGCCAAACUUCUAAGGAAGGAUCAAGCAAAGGCCCUAGUGGCAAGGACGGCAAAGGCAAGGAUAAGCGAAAGGAGUUCACGCCUAGGACCAAUUGCUUCCUGUGCGAUGGUCCGCACUGGGCACGGGACUGCCCUAAGAGGAAGGCUUUAAAUGUUAUGAUCGAGGAGAAGGAGCAGGAAGGCGAUGCUAAGAUGGGAUCGUUGCAGCUCCUAAAUGCCCUUAAGGCCAAGCCGAUGCCUAAGAUGCCUCAAAGCAAAGGACUGAUGUAUGUGGAGGCCCUGGUGAAUGGGAAAGCCACCAAGGCCUUGGUGGACACAGGUGCCACUCACAACUUUGUCUCGGAGGAUGAGGCAAGAAGGUUGGAGCUCCAAGCAUCCAAAGAAGGAGGAUGGCUCAAGGCGGUCAAUUCAGCCGCCAAGCCAUCACAUGGAGUAGCUCGCGGGGUGACUAUGCACAUCGGCUCGUGGGAAGGAAGGGUCGACUUCACAGUGGCACCCAUGGACGACUUCAAGAUGGUGCUAGGAAUGGACUUCCUACAGAAGGUCAAAGCCGUGCCACUACCUUUCCUACGUUCAAUGGCUAUCCUAGAGGAGGAGAAGCCGUGCAUGGUCCCUACGGUCACUGAAGGGACGCUCAAGACCCCUAUGCUAUCUGCUAUGCAAGUAAAGAAGGGGUUAAAGAGGGAAGAGGUGACCUACCUCGCCACCUUAAAGGAAGAGAAGGAUGAUAGGUCGGGAGAACCCAUUCCUAAGGAAAUCGAGGGGGUCCUUGAUGAGUUCAAGGACGUGAUGCCGCCCGAGUUGCCUAAGAGACUUCCUCCUAGGAGAGAGGAAGAUCACAAGAUUGAGUUGGAGCCAAGAGCCAAGCCCCCUGCUAUGGGGCCAUAUAGGAUGGCACCACCUGAGUUGGAGGAGCUAAGGAGACAACUCAAGGAGUUGCUAGAUGCGGGGUUCAUCCAACCAUCCAAGGCUCCCUAUGGCGCGCCGGUUCUAUUUCAAAAGAAGCAUGAUGGGUCCCUACGAAUGUGCAUAGACUACCGGGCACUCAACAAGGUGACGGUGAAGAACAAGUAUCCCAUCCCGCUCAUUGCUGAUUUGUUCGAUCAACUUGGAAGGGCAAGAUACUUCACGAAGCUGGACUUAAGGUCAGGCUACUACCAAGUCAGGAUUGCGGAGGGAGAUGAGCCGAAGACUACAUGUGUGACCAGGUAUGGCUCAUAUGAGUUCUUAGUGAUGCCUUUCGGACUCACCAAUGCCCCAGCAACGUUCUGCACCCUCAUGAACAAGAUCUUCCACCCAUACUUGGACAAGUUCGUGGUGGUGUACUUGGAUGACAUAGUCAUCUAUAGUAACACUCUAAAGGAGCACAAAGAACACUUGAGGAAGGUCUUUAAGAUCUUGAGGUAGAACGAGCUAUACGUAAAGAAGGAGAAAUGUUCGUUUGCUAAGGAGGAAGUGAGCUUCCUUGGGCAUCGCAUCAGAGAUGGCAAGCUGAUGAUGGAUAAUAGCAAGGUGAAGGCCAUCCAAGAAUGGGAUCCACCAACCAAGGUACCUCAACUCAGAUCUUUCCUUGGUUUAGUUAAUUAUUACCGGCGGUUCAUAAAGGGUUAUUCGGCAAGGGCUGCCCCACUCACUGAUCUUCUUAAGAAGAAUAAGGCAUGGGAAUGGGAUGAAAGGUGCCAACAAGCCUUUGAGGACUUGAAGAAGGCUGUGACUGAGGAGCCAGUGUUGGCACUACCCGACCACACCAAGGUCUUUGAGGUACACACAGAUGCUUCCGACUUCGCUAUUGGGGGAGUCCUUAUGCAAGAGAGGCACCCAAUCGCAUUUGAGAGUCGUAAGCUAAACGACGCAGAGAGGCGUUACACGGUGCAAGAAAAGGAGAUGACCGCUAUCGUCCACUGCUUGCGCACCUGGAGGCACUAUCUGCUAGGGUCUCACUUCAUAGUGAAGACCGACAAUGUGGCCACUAGCUACUUCCAAACACAGAAGAAGCUGAGUCCUAAACAAGCUAGGUGGCAAGACUUCCUGGCCGAGUUCGAUUAUACGCUGGAGUAUAAGCCAGGAAGUGCUAACCAUGUGGCCGACGCCCUAAGUCGCAAAGCCGAGCUAGCGUCCAUGACGAGUCAGCCCCAAGGAGAUAUAGUGGAUCUUCUAAGGGAGGGAUUGCAACAUGAUCCAGUGGCUAAAAGCCUUAUUGCCCUGGCUCAUGAAGGAAAGACUAAGCGAUUUUGGGUGGAGGACGGCCUACUCUAUACCAAAGGGAGACGACUCUACGUGCCUAAGUGGGGGAACAUAAGAAGGAACCUGAUUAAGGAGUGCCACGACACCAAGUGGGCUGGGCACCCUGGGCAACGACGCACUAGGGCACUACUCGAGUCGGCGUACUAUUGGCCUCAGAUACGGGACGAGGUUGAGGCCUAUGUGAGGACUUGUCUUGUGUGCCAACAAGACAAGGUGGAGCAGCGACAACCUAGAGGCCUGUUAGAGCCACUACCUAUAGCAGAACGCCCAUGGGACAGCGUCACCAUGGACUUCAUCAUCGGGCUACCCAAGUCAGAGGAUAAUGGGUCUAUCAUAAUGGUGGUGGACAGGUUCUCUAAGUAUGCAACCUUCAUAGCAGCCCCGACUGACUGCACGGCGGAAGAGACGGCAAGGCUAUUCCUAAAGCACGUAGUCAAGUAUUGGGGGUUGCCUAAGUUCAUCAUCAGUGAUCGCGACCCGCGCUUCACUGGGAAGUUUUGGACGGAACUCUUCAAGCUUAUGGGUUCGGAGCUUCACUUCUCCACAAGCUUUCACCCACAGACAGAUGGACAGACUGAGAGGGUAAACGCCUUAUUGGAGCUCUACCUAAGGCACUUCGUGAGUGCCAACCAGAAGGAUUGGGCUAAGUUGCUAGAUGUAGCCCAGUUCUCAUACAACCUACAAAGGAGUGAGGCGACCAACAAGAGUCCGUUCGAGCUAGCUACGGGACAGCAACCGUUAACUCCUCACACCCUAACAAUUGGCUACAUGGGGAGAAGUCCAGCGGCUUUCAAGUUCGCAAAAGGGUGGCACGAGCAAGCUGAUAUAGCACGCUCAUACUUGGACAAGGCCGCUAAGAAAAUGAAGAAGUGGGCUGACAAGAAGCGACGACACACGGAGUAUAAGGUCGGAGACAUGGUGCUUGUCAAGCUCCUUCCUCAACAAUUCAAGUCCCUAAGGCCGGUGCACAAGGGCCUUGUGAGAAGGUAUGAAGGACCCUUCCCCAUACUUGGGAAGGUCGGCAAGGUGUCCUAUAAAGUCGAGCUGCCCCCGAGGUUGAAGAUUCAUCCUGUCUUCCAUGCCAGCUACUUGAAGCCCUAUCAUGAAGACAAGGAUAAUCCAAGCCGAGGGUUGUCCAAGAGGGCACCUACAGCGGUCGUGACCUCCUAUGAUAAGGAGGUAGAACUCAUCCUCGCAGACCGGGUCAUCAGGAGACGAGGGGUACCUCCUGCUACGGAAUACUUAGUGAAAUGGAAAGGACUACCAGAAAGUGAGGCUAGCUGGGAGCCAGCAGAGGCACUAUGGCAGUUCCAGGAACAGAUCGAGCGGUUCCGGGCAGAAGGCGCGACGAGGACGUCUGCGGCAUAGGUGGGGGAGAGUGUCACAAGCUGACCCAAAUGAGCCUCCCCAUGGCCUUAUAUAGGGCCAAGAAGCUUCUGGAGACUCCUAAAAUGGGAAGAGUGUGGAAGGUUCUAGAGAAGUCUGGAGGAGUCCACACAAUUCUACACUAUGGUGGAAGGCACAAGAGGAGUCCGGGGCUUUCUAGAGAAGUCUAGAAGACUCUUGUAUAUACUUGUAUAUAGGCUUGUAACUAGAAUGAUGUAGGACAUUCUAGAAUAGUCUUGAGAUGUAAGGAACCCUCCAAGGUUCCAGAGAGUUCCAUUGGUGCCUAUAAAUAGGUGAGGGCCUCAUUUGGCCAAGGCACCAAGCAAGUGAGCAUCCAAGCACUUGUAAAGGUUUCCUUGAGUUAGUGAAAGCUUCCAUUCUUUCAAGAGUUGCCUACCAAGCUUCUUAAGCUUUUAAGUCGCGAGUGUCUUAGCCGAGCAAGCUAAGCAUUAGGGAGCAAGGCUGACUUAGCAAGAUCAAGCGUCUUGGCUUGUCUAAGUGCCGCACGAGCUUAGUGAACGACUAAGUCCGUGACAGCAUGGUGACUUGUUGCCCAGGUAUGUAGCCAUUUUCCCUCUAAUCGUUGUCUAUGCAUGUCUCGCUUUUUAUGUGUGCAUGAUCGUUCAGGAUAUUCAUCAAUUGUCACGUCAGCUUCAUUUUAUUAGUAGAGACCUGACUUUAGGGGCUUAGAGGGGUGCUACGGUUUUUACCGUACCUUCCCGAUAAGUAACCUGACCCCCGAACCCGAUUCGGUUUUUCACAGAACACCUUUUCCAAAACAAGGAGUCACACUUAGGGUUUUUCUUUCUUAUUUUGUUUACCCUUUAAAAAUAAAACAGAAAUAAGUGGCGACUCCAAGUCAUUUUCUUAAUCAAUAAAAAUCAUUUUUCAAAUCAAAAUCGAGCUCGCCAUCGAGUGGGAAACGCAUGAGCCGAAAUGCGGGGUCCACAUGUUGAUUUUAAGAUAACUUCAAAUUUACUCCACAUCCAAUACCGACAAUAUUGUUUUAAGAAAACUUAAGAAAAUAAAAAUAAAAUAAAAUAGUAAUGCUAGUUUUAAGACUUUUGCAAAAUUAUUCAAAACCAACCAUGUUAAAGUUGGAGUAAUGUUGGUUUUAAGUCUUUUACAAAAUUGUUUUUGUGAGUUAUUUAGUUAAGUUGGUAAUUUCAAACAAAAUUUCUAAGUAUCUCUUAACUUACUUUUUUCAAAUUAGAACUACUUACCUAAUGAAGAUCAAGUUAUUGAAUUUGUUAAGAGACCAAGGUACGUAGUUGGAGUUAUAUAAAAUUGAACCAAUCACAUCUUUGAAAUUGUUGUUUUUUUGUAAAUAUUUUUUUAAAGAGUUGGGAAGUUUGAGAGGUAUUUUUUUUUUUUUACUAAGUAUUCAAAAUAUUAUGUUCCACGAUUGAUUCAACUUUAUGUCGGAUCAAUCCAAGUAGCUCUUUCUUAUCAUUAUUUCAAUUUUUGGAUUAAGGGUUUCGUUCAAUUUAAAUAGCAAAAAUUGUUUCUUGAAAUGUAGAGAAACCAACAACUGUUCUCCUUAUGCUCUCUUGUAUUACCAAAUUGAGGGUGUUAGGUUAUUGAGAAAAUCUUAUUUUCUUCUAAUUUUUCAAGUUGUUUUUAAUGAAUUUUCUUGAGCAAAAAAAAGAAAAAAACGGGUUUAUUCCUAUUCAUUCAUCUCUUAUUUUUCGAUUUAAUUGGGUUUGGGUGAAAACUUAUUUUCUUUUCAUGUAGAUUCAAGAAGGGGUUGAGAUUGAACUUAGUGUGAGCUCCAAGUAUGCUCUAGAAGAAGAUGUAAAGUCGAAAAUGGAAAUGUACUAAUCAAGUGGUCCGAGAAUGAUUGAUAAGUUUAAGUUAUGUAAAAUCUUGUAUUCCUUUUUUAUUUUUCAUAAUAGACAUUUUCAAUUGAUAGUAGACUUAUGGUUUUUUAUCUUUUUGAAGGUUUUCCACAUAAAUUUUAGUGUCACUGUCUUUUUUUUCUCUUAUUCCGCUCUUUGAUUUAUUUUUAGUUUUAGUUUUCAUUUAUUACUUAUGGAUAUAAGUUGAAUGGAUGAACAAUAAGCUGAAAUAGGUAUGGUCUUCUUUGAUAUCUUGAAUAUUUUUUCUAUUAAUUUAUUGUAAUAUAGAUAUUUAGUAGAAAUUGAAAUUUGUGUUAUUGAGAAAUUGUUCUUAUGAACCGUGUUGGUAAGUGUUGAAGCAUGUACAUGUGACUUACUUUUGAAAAUGAUUGGGAGAGUCUUGUUGCAUUUAAACUUGCACGUGAUUUUUAUUGAAGAAAAAUUGUGAAAAAUUUUACGGCUGGAUAAUAUGCGUUGAAGAUCUUUUUGAAUUGGUUGAAGUCCAACAACAGAGAGACUAGAACCAACAUUACCCAUUGAGGUUUUAGACCAAUUUCAAUUUUUUUUCCUAAAACCAAUAUUGGUAAGCAAGGUUUUAAUAAUAUAACCAACAUUAAUAACUACUGAUUUUAAUUCACACUAAAACCAAAGUUCAUAUUGGAGUGUUGUAAUAUGUGGCUCACAUUGAGUAAAAGACAUAUAGAAAAAAAUGGGCAAAUAUCGUCGUUCCGUUCCGUUUCACUCAAAGAGUGUAUUCCUGCAGUACGGUUUAAUGGUAUUUUUAGAAUUUCAAUACAUAAAAUUAGUAUAAAUACCCUUUUUGAGUAACCCUAAUUUUGAAUAUAGUAAAAGUCUUCUUCCCUGUUUUGACGUAGUCAUUCUGUCGAAUCAUGUUAAAUCAUUGUGUUUUCUUUUAUUUUUUCUCAAAUUUCUUUAUUUGGAAUUGUUGCAGUAAUCUCAACAUGGAGUCUAUAAAUAAAAUAUUAUUAAAAAAAAAAAAAAAAGACCAUUUCUUUUUCAAAAAACUAAAACUCGGCUUUUAACCAUUCUUUUCCAUUUAUUUCUCACCAUUUUCAAGUUUUACAACAGCAAACAAUUCCAAGAAUCAUUCCAGAGAGGACUGGUUUGAGCAUCAAUUGGAAGUGAAAAAGUAGUAUACAGUUUGUCUCCAAUCUUAUGUCAAUCUGCAGAUCCCAAUCUGCUGAAUCUCGGCCCAAACUUCCAAUGAUGAGUUUUGCCUCCACUAGAUGAUCAGGUCAUCAGGUCCAAACUUGAAUCAACAUGGAUUUUCCUUAAGGUUUGAUGUAACUAUCUAUAGCGAAUCAUAAUCUGUCCGUGAUUCCACAGAUCCAUUCAAUAUAUAUGACAAAGAUCGGCGAACUCGUGAAACUUGUUUUACAGGCAAAGCCAAAUCGACACUGCUGCUUUAACUCAGCUUCACUUUCUUCUUUUACAGCUAAAGCCAAAUUGACACUUCUUUACCUUUGCUUCAGUUUUGAGACUCCGGACAGAUGGGCCUCCUCUCAUCAUAUGACUUUGUUGCUCCACCCAUGAGUGCAACCAUGCAACAACCUGAUCACCCCCAUUUUUUUCUUUCUUUUUUUUUUGGGAAGAAACCAAUACACAUAAACCAUGAUUAAUUACAAACAUAUCAAGCAAAGCAACAGUCGUAUUCUAUUUACAAACUACACUUCUUAAUCAACAAAAAACAGCAAGCCUAUUUUCUUCAAUUCUAUACCGAAUAAGGACAGGUACGAUGAUGAGGUGUCUUUUUAUGUUUUGAUUUAUUUAAUAUGAUGUUAAGCCAUCAUUUGAUGAAACUCCUGGAAAUCCAGCACUCCGUUGCCAUCUAUAUCGAACACUUGAAUCAUGGCGACGCACUCGUCGUAGGAUUUCUCAUCUCCCAGGCGAUUGAACAUCCUUUGCAAGCCUUUGGGGGUUAUGCACCCAGACCCCUUCUCCAAUUCGAACAUCUCAAAGGCCCUUUUAAGAUCCUCCUGAUUCCCGUCUUCCCUUUGCAUCAGCUUCACAAAAUCCUGAAAGUCCAACAGGUUGUCACCGUCCGUGUCCAGAUCAUUGAUCGCUGCUUGAGCCUCUUCGUGUGACAUGUAUUCUUGAAUGGAUCCAAAAUAGGCUCUAAGCUCUAGUGCUGAGAUCUUUCCAUCCCCGUCGCUGUCAAAAUGUCGGAAAACUUGUUUCAGCUCAUCCUCCUUUGCGUUACCUUUCGGCUGAAGGGAACACGAAGGGGAGGGAGGAGAGCUUGACGCCGAGCUGGACUUGGGUGAACGCCUAUGGAGACUUAACCUGAGACUCCUGUUAGAGAACCACCUUGCUGGUUUGAGAACUAUUUCCGCCCCCAUUGGAAAACAAGAAUAGAUUGUUUCAUGGAAAUAAAUAGCAUGUACCUGCUUAUAUAGAGUGCAAGGCUAUGAAAUUAGUCUGAAAAGAAAACUUAAUUCAGAAUAAAACCAAGAUGGGACUUGCAAUGAAGCUGCGAGGAGAAGAGGACUCGUGAUUACGUGAAGCUUUUGCGUGGGAGGAAAUUGCAUGGUAGUUUCCUCGGGGUCCCAAUUGACAGCACCACCAAAUCUAGGAAUAUCCUUUCACUCUCCUCGCAAGUGUCGUACAGAACACCCUCCAAACUCCCAAAUCUAGUUGCCAGAUUUUCCCAAUUCAUGUGCCUCAACUACUAAUUUAUUACCCUUCGGCUUCAAAUGCCACCCCUACAUCAUAUACUUGACCGUCGUAGUCCAAUAUAGGGUGAGGGUGUCCGUCAAGCGCCUAAAAGGCCAGUAUAACAGCGGCCCAUACUCCUGCAGAAGGAGAGAGGACAUUUUGACCUGAUAAAUAUUCGUAUGUGGAUGUUAAUGAUUUUUAUAUACAACAAAGUAGGUUGUGAUGUUGCAAACACGGGUUCUCUAGUCUUUAUGAUCUAUCAUGACUUCUGGCCCAACGCGCUUCUACAUGCAUCUCCUCUUCUUUUCAUGUGCUGCCCUCCCUGCAAAACUUUGAAUAUUUUCAGCUUUCUCAAAGACCAAGACCACACAACAAUAUUUCUCUUUCCAUCCCAUGACUAAAAAAGUCUUAAUAAAUUUAGUGUUUGUAAUUUAUUCUUAAAACAAUAUUUCAUAAAAUAAUCUCAAGUGCAUGGUUUGUAAAGAGCAAUUUUGCAGAAUUUCUAAGCUGUGGGAAAGAUAAAAAAUCUAUGAGUUGUGACAACGUAGUGCUUCUAUUUUUAAUGGUGGGAGGGAUUGUCGAUUCUGAUCAAAGUAUGAUGUGACAAAUAUUAAAUUUAUAUAUCAUUAUAAUUAUAAUUAUAGUUAAUUACAAAACAUAAUGAAUUAAAAAUUAUUAAAAGAUCUCGAUUUUUUACUUUUAACAUCAAAUGAUCAAAUCAUAACAAGUGCAAAUUUAUUAGAUUAUUAAUAUUUUUAAUUUUACUACAUGGUGCAAAUAUGAUAGAUUUGAAAUAUCAUUUUCCAAGGCUUUGCUCUCUUAAUAUAUUCUUUGUCACAUUUUUUGUGAUCAAAAUACUUAGAUAGAUAAAUAAGUAAUUAAAUGGAGGAUAAAAUCUCUUUAAUUAAUAUCACUUUCAAACAAGUUUUAACAUUGUGAAAUUUAAGUUAUUAAAAAAUACUUCAAAUAUAUAAAAUAAAUAUACAAAUAAAUGAGAUUAAAGUAUAAAAAAAUAAACUAUGGUAUCAAUGAAUGGAUCGUUAGGUUAGGUUGAAUACAAAUAAAUGAAAUCAAAUUACAUAUGUAGUUUGUUGUGAUUGGGUGGUGUUUGUUUCUUCUUGAUUAAAUAAAAAAAUGUAAAAUAUUUGAUUUUUUUAUACUGAUAUUAAUUAACAUAAUUAAAAUAAAUUUAUUAUUAAUAUGUUCAAUUUAAUUAUAUUGGUAUAUGAACGAAUUAGUUUCAAUUGAAUAGAAAAAAUAAAACAUCACUUGGUGUUAAUUUUUUUUAUUUAUUAAUAUACCAAUUGGGUAUUAUAUUGAGAUCUUAUAAAAUAUUUUCAUAUUAGUUGUCCAAUAACCCAACAUAAAAAAAUGUUUUCUAAUUUUGAAAAUACUUUUAAUAAAAAACAUUUAAAAAAAAUUAUCAAAAUAAGUUUUUUUAGAAUAAUUUUAAGAUAUUUACAAUUAUUUUUUGUAUAGACUUUGUAAUUAAUAAUUGAAAAAAGAAAUACUUUGAAAUUUUUUUAUAUUAUACAAUACCUUGUAUUUAUGAGAAGCUUUCUUAUAGCCUACGGGCCCCACCGCAGCUUGGCUUUUUCUACAGGUCUUCGUCCAAUUGUCUUGGUCCAGCCCAACCUUAAAAAAUUAAAAGAUAAAAAUAAAAAUAAAAAGAUGGGAUGCCCUUUUUCCAACCAACCGCCAAAAGUAUAAAAAGGUAAACUUUUUUUGUCUGAAUGAAUAAAAGAAGGAAGUGACAGAAACCACUCGUAUUUUUUAGAUUAGCUUUGCAUUGACUUUUGAGCCCAUGGGAAUCUAAGUGCGGUCUUCGUGCACUCAUCUCUAUGGUCAUCAUAUAAAUAAAAUUUAUUUUUAUUUUUAUUUUUUAUUUUUUAUUUUUAUUUUAUUUUAAGAAAGAAAAUUCACACACAAAACAACAACCAAUCAUGUCAUCAAAAAGUGAUUAGGAAAAAUCACAAAUAGAAGAACAUUUCGCUUCAAUGAAUACCCGAUUUGAAUUAUACACCAUACAAAAAUCAUUUGAGAUUAAUUGUUCUUACUAUAUCAUACAUGGUUGAGAGUUAUUAAUCUCAAUUGGUGUCGGGAGGCAAAGAUCAAACUUCCCACAAGAUUUCCCAUCUUUUGCAACUAGGGCAUAGAACAAUUAGACCAUCCCACUAAUACAUACUUAAGAAAAAUUAAUACAUCUUGAAGAAAAUAUGGUACAUUUGUAUAAAAGUUAUGUACAUGAGUUAUUUGACAUUAAUUAAUGACAAUAAUUUAUAUUUCUGAUCCCAUAAUGCACAGCUGAAAGUUACUAAUGUCAAUUAAUAUAAAAAAGAAUUAGAUACAUGCUUCUUAAAUUCUUAUGCAUUUUUAAAAGAAUUGGUAUAUCUUGAAACAAAUGUGGUACAUUUUAUAGGAAGAUUUGGUACAUUCUAAGAUUUAUCCAUUUUCUCUUGGGAAUGUACUAGAAUUUAUGAAUAAGGUACCUAAUUCCUUUUGAUAUUAGUCAAGGAUACAAACCUUCAACCAUACAUAAUGGGUAGAGAGUAUAGAUGAUUGUCAUUAAUUAAUGACAAAUGACACUUUUAUAUACUCUUCAUACAAUAUAUAUAUAUAUAUUUUUUUUUUGUCAACAUAAUAUGCGAGAUUUUCUUUAGAAAGAUCUGGUACAAUUCAAAAUAUACCUAUUUUUCUUAUAGAUAUAUCAAAAUUUAUGAAUGGUAUAUCUAAUUCAUUCUAAUAUCAUUUAAGGAUGAUAACCCUCAAUCAUGCAUGAUAGGAUAAGGAACACGAAUGAUUGUAAUUAAUUAAGAACAAAUGAUGUUUCUACUAGCAUUUAUAUAAUGUAUCUCUUUUUCAAAAUAAUUUAUUAGAUUUUCUUCAAGAUGCAUAUGUUUUUUUUUUUUUUUGUUAACAUUGUACCUAUGAAGGAUAUACCUAUUUCAUUCUAACAAUAUUUGAGGUUAUUAAUUGUCAUACAUGCGUGACUAGGUGAUGAAAAAUAGAUGAUUGACAAAAAAAAAAAAAGGUUGUUAGCCACCCAAUACAACUAGAACCAAUGUUUGUAGAACCAGACCGAUCAUUGAAUCGAAAAAGUUAUCGGUUCACUGGUUGGAUCGAUAGUCGAAUUGGUGAUGUCAUAAAUAUAUAACUCAUAUUUCAUUAAAAUUAAGAAUAAUUUUAAGUUAUCGGUUCAUAAUUUUAUAUAUAUAUAGUAUUAAAAUUAUAGUAUUUCAUUUUUUUGUAUUUAAUGUGUCCAUUAAUUGAUAAACAUAAAUAUAAAUGUAUUAAUAUAUCAAAUUUGAUUAAAUAGAAUAUGUAUAAUAUUUACAUAUGAGAAGAAAAUUAUAACAUUUAAUUUUAUCUACAUAUCUAUGCAUUUUAUUAUUUUAAAAAUAUUAUAUUAAUUAAUUUAUAUUAUUUUUAUAUUUAUUGUUAAUAAUUAUUAUAAAAAAUUGCAAAGAGCAUUAAUAUAAAAUAUUGUUACCCAUAUUUAAUAACGGGAUUCUACAGCAUGAUGAUUAUUUCCUCUUUUUGUAAACCUUAGAUCUGAAAGAAGAGGAAAGCUGCCCAAUGGGUUGCAUGACGAGUGGGCUGCUGGAGGGAGGGGCCCCUAAUGUUGUAAAGCAUGCCUGGUGGGUGGAAGACUAGGAAGAUUUUGGGCCCAAUGCGGCCAAGGCCCAAUGGCGUUUUGGUUGACCCACACGUUGACCGGUUCAUAGAAAACCAGACUAUUUGUCUGGUUCGAUGGUUCAACUAGUCGGUUUGGUCCAGUUUUUAAAUCAUUGACUAGAACUGUGUUAAUUGAGAUAUUAACUCCACUCAUUUUUUGACAUGGGCUUCUUCUUCUGAAAAUGAUGAAUCUAGUGGGAGGAGCUCCCAAUGCUGCAAGGCCUGCCUGGUGGGUGGAAGACUAGGAAGAUUUUGGGCCCAAUGCGGCCAAGGUCCAAUGGCGUUUUGGUUGAUCCACAUAUUGACCGGUUCAUAGAAAAUUGGACUGUUCAUCUGGUUCGACGGUUCAACUGGCCGGUUCAGUCCGGUUUUUAAAUCAUUGACUAGAACUGUGUUAAUUGAGAUAUUAACUCCACUCAUUUUUUGACAUGGGCUUCGUCUUCUGAAAAUGAUGAAUUUGGUAUUUGAUUGAAUAGUGGAUAUCUUUUCUAUAAACAUGCCUUAUAGGGGUAAAUUCUUCAAUAAAUAUGCAACCUACUAUUAGCUAUAUACCAAGUAGAAAUUGACCACAGGUCAAGGAAAUGGAGUAUUCUAAUUGAAGAGAAGAAAUUACAAUAAGUGAAAAUUUAAUAGUAAAUUAUAAAAUAUUUUAAUUCCUAAUAAAAUUAAGAAAAAAUUAAUAGUAAAUCUUAAAUACAAUUUUUUUAUUUUAUAAAAACAUAUUGUGAACUCGUGUUUUUCACAUGCGUUCCCACUCGAAUAGCGAGACUCGUUUUCAUUUAUUUGUGAAAAUUUGAUUUUUAGAAAAAAAAAAUUUUGAGUCGUCACUUAUUUUUGUUUUAUUUUUUUAAAGGGAAAACAAAAUAAAAAAAGAAAACUUUGUGUGACUCUUUAUUUGGAAAAGAUAUGUCUGCAAAAAUAGAAUCUGGAUCCGGUGGUCAGGUUACCUAUUGGGAAGGUUUGGUGGUGAGUUGUAAUACCCCUCUAAGUUCGUAUGUGUAUGACCUCUACUAAACAAAUUAAAAGAAUUGUGACAAUUAAUUAAUUAAUUAUGAACAUAAAGAAAAAUAAUAAUGCAAAUGAGUAUGUACAAGUCAUGGUGAAAAUCAAUAUACACAAAAAAUAAUGAUGAAAUCUAAUUAUAAAAAUACAUAAAAUAAAUAACAAGAGAAUUAUGCAAAAUGAUUUAUUGAACUAAAUAAAAAAUGAUAUUAAAAAAAAUAGCUUUCAAGAAAUUUGAAAGAAUUUUAUUAAAAAUGAUUUUUGAAUUAAUAAUUUAAAUUUAUUUAUUUACAAAAAAAAAAGUUUCAUUUUAUUUUUAAUUAAUGAUUUGAUUCAAUUUCAUUUGUAUUUAAUUUUCAAAAAAAAAGUUAUUUACACUUAUUGUAUAAAAAGAAUUUAUUGCAAAAUUUUAAUUUGGCAAAAAAAAUAUAUAUAUUUUACUUGCUUUUACAAAAAAAAUGAAUGAAUUUUUACAAUUUUAUUUAUAAAAGUAUUUCAAUUUGUUUUCAUUUAAGAAAAGCAAUUUAUAUAAAUUAUUUUAAAAAAACAUAACUUUAUUUGCAAAAAGAAUUUUAAUUAAAAAGAGAAAAAAAAAUUAAAUCCUCUAUUUCUAAAAAAAAAAACUACUUGUAAUCCCAUUUUAAUUAAGAGAAAAUAAUUCAUUUAAAAAAAACAUUUUCUGGACAAUUUUAUUAAAAAUUAAUUUAUGGAACAACUUUAUUCAUAAAACAAUUUUUGGACAAUUUUUAUUAAACAAAUAAAUGUUUGGACAAUUAUUAUUAAAAACAUUUUUUUUAUUUUUCUAAAUUUUUAUUAAUAAAAAAAAUUUCAUUUAUUAAGAAGAAUAUUAUAAAAUUAUUAUUUUAUUAAAACAUAUUUAUUGAAUUAUUAUUCUUAUUUAAAUAAAAUUUCUGAUUUGUUCGAUAGUCAAUUCUAUAUACACUAAAUAAAUAUAUACAAACAAAUAUUUAUAAGAACUAAUAAAAUUAAAACCAAAUAAAAGUGGAAAAUAAAACAUGAACUCAAACAAGCUUAUAACAAACUCAAUGUUUUCCUACAACUUUUUGAGUCUCACUUUUUUCCAUGAAAUUUCAUGUACCAUGUAUCAUAAAUUCAUACUCAGCCAAAAAAUUUUCAGAAUAGAUCCAUGCAAAAACAAAAAUAACCCAGAGUGUAAAUAUCAAAAAAUAUGUAGAGUCCAAAAUAAUUAUUCAAGCCCAAAUUCAAACUUCAAAUUAGUCCAAUAAAUUUUCACCAAUUAAAAAUGGGUCUAAAUUAACAAAUAUAAUCCAACAAAAAUAUUUCACAUGUCAUAAACAAUAAUAUAAAAUUUCUAAAUUAAUAGCUAAAAUAUAAGUUCAAUUAAUCAAACUCAAAACAUGAUAAAUUAAAAUAAAUCAUAUUAUGUCUAAAUUUAAUAUCUCAUAAUUCAAGCUUAAUUUAAUAGGCAAACCUAAAUCCAUAACCAAAAUCAACCCAAUUUAAUAUGUAAACCUACAUUCAAAAUAUACCACAAUAUUAUAUCAUAUCCAAAUUAAAUAAUUCAAAUAAGCACAAUCAUAUAAAUUAUCAACUAAUUUUAUCCAAAUUAACAAAUUUCAAAUUAAUUCACCAACAAUAAAUUAGCUCAAAUUUCACAUUAAUUUACCAUUAACAAUUAACCCAAAUUUUAUACUAAUUAACAAAACUCAAAUUUUAUAUUAAUUCAACCAUCCAAAUUUCACAAACAACCGUUGCUAUUAAAAUCAAAACAAGAAAAAAUAAAAUAAAGCAAAAUGAAUUUACACUUUUUUUUUUUGAGACCAUGAGGGAAAAUUGGAGCUGGUGGUUAGGAGACGGAAAAUGUAUUAAAAAUAAAGGUAAAAUACUAAAAAUCAACAAAUAAAUAAAUAAAGAGAGUGAGAGAGGGGGGGGGGGGGGGGGGGGGGGGGAAAAAGGGGGUAAAAAAUGGGAAGGGGGCCCCGGGGGGGGCCCCCCCAAAAAAAACGGGCCCCUUUUGGUAAAAAAAAGGGGUUUUUGGGAAACCCAAAAAAAAAAAAAAAAAAAAAAAAAAAUGGGGAAGAAAAAAAAAAAAAAAGAAACCGGGGGGGGGGAUGGGAAAAAAAUUUUUUAAAUGGGAUUGCCCGGGGGGGGUUUUGGGGGGGGGGGAAAAAAUUGAAAAAAAAAAAGGGGGCCUUUCCUUUUUGGUUUUUUUCUCCUGGGAGGGGGUAAGGGGUAAAAAAUUUCAGAGGGGGGGUGGAAAAAAAUAAAAUAAAAAAAAAAANNNNNNNNNNNNNNNNNNNNNNNNNNNNNNNNNNNNNNNNNNNNNNNNNNNNNNNNNNNNNNNNNNNNNNNNNNNNNNNNNNNNNNNNNNNNNNNNNNNNGGGGGGGGGGGGGAUGAAGGGUGUCAGACAUGGAGAUGGCGUCGCCGGUGGCAGCUCGUCGACGAUGACUGGCCGACUACGGGUAUGAAGAUGGGUUUCAUGGAAAACCAAAAGAAAUAGAAAAAGAAAAAAGAAAUGGGGAAGGAAAGAAGAAGAAAUGGAAGCAGGGUGGGCGUAUGGCAAUGAACUUUUUCAAUGGGUAUGGCCGUGGAGGGUUUGUGGGGAGGAGGGAAAAAUUGGAAGAGAAAAUGGGGGCCGUUCGUGUCUGGUUGUUGUGCUGCUGGAAGGGAUGAAGGAUGAAAAAGUCAAGAGAGGAGAGUAGAAAAAGAUAAUAUAAAAAAAAAGAAGCUUGGUGUAAGGGGAGUGGCUUAGACGUAGAGAAGGGAAUGGGUAAGGAGAGUAGGCACUACGAGGAGAAAGAGGAAGACAGAGGAGAAAGGAGAGAGAAAAAAUAAAUGAAUAAAAAUAUAAUAUAAUACUAUAAUAACAAAUAAAAAUAAAAUAAUUUAUAAAAUAAUAAAAAUUAAGAAUUAAAUGAUAUAAGUGAAUCAAACAAUUCAGAUGUGAUCAAAAUUUAAAUCUAAGGGUAAAAUUGAGCUCAAUAUUAAUAUAAAAAUAAAAUUAGGACAAAUUUUGAGAUCUAUACAUUUUUUUUUUAUAUAAAUUAAAAAUUUUAAUCAAAUAAAAAGUUAGAAUCAAAGUCAAGUUAAAAGUAUAAGUAAGAUGUUAAAAUCAUGAUUAUUCACUAUGAUUUUGACAUGAAAAAUUAAAAUUUAAAAUAACAUAAAUAAUAAAAUAAUAUGAUAAAGAUAUUUUAUUUUAUUUCAAUACGAUAAGAUUUACAAAAUCAAUAAAUAUUUUAUAAAAUUAACAUAAAAAAUGUUAUAUUCUAAAUCUCAAAAAAGUAAAACAUAAUUUUUAAAUCUAAAUCCUUAAUUAUCAAACUAUUAUUAUAAUUAAUGUUUGAAAUUAUCCAGUGUUUUAUUUAUAGGUUAAUAUUUUCAAAUUUUUGUCCUAUGUUUAUAUUAUAUUUGUUUUUAUUAAUUAUUUAUUAUAUAUUGUUAUUUUGUGUUUAAUAUGUUUAAAAAAUGAUAUAAAAAAAUUAAAAAUUAAAAAGGUUUUUAUAAGUGUCAAAGGGUAAGUAAGAGAAAGUGACGUGAAAGAAGAUGGAAACAAAAAGAGAGAAGAUAACAAGCAUGUGAGGUGUACUUGUCUUUAUCAUAUCAAAAAUAUUAUUUUAAAAAAAAAAUCAAGUGACACUAGGUUAGGUGAUUAGUGGCAAUAGAAAGGGUUAGGAUUAUUUAUGACAUAUUGGAGUACAUGUGAGAAGAAAUAUUUCUUUCAUUAUGUGCUUCUGAUGAAAUGGGACACUUUGGGCUUCCAAAAAUUUUAUUUUAUUUUUCCAACAUUUGGUUACAUGAUUUUUCUAAAAUAUUAUAGGUAAAAGAUUAUAUCAUUACGAUAAAAAAUGAUUUUAAAUUUAUAAAAUUAAAAUUUUUUAUUUUAAAAAAAGGAAAAAAAAAAGGUUAAACUAAAAACAAAUUGAGUUUUAAAAAUGAUUUACUGAUAUUAGAAAAAUGAAAAUUAACAUUCAAAUAAUGGUUUUACUAUAAAUGAACAAAAAACAUAAGAUAUGACAAAAUAAAUAUAAUUGAGCUAUAAAUUUUUAAUAAGGAGACUACAACUUUAAAAAAAAUAGACUUUGUUUUUGUUUUUAAUAUUGAAUGUAUUUUAGCUUAAUUUUAUUUUUAUUUAACAAUAGUUGAUAGAGAGCUUGUGAUGAAUUUUAAUGCCAUAAGGUAAAGGAUGAAAUGAUUUAAUUAGAGACAUUUGAUCCCUAGAAGAGCAAGUGUCAAGUUAUGACUAAGGAUUUUGAGGAUUAUGAAAGAUUUUUUCAAUCAUACCAUCUUACCAUAGACCUAUGUGAUUAGUCAAAUGUAAAGACUUUCACCCAUGGGCAUAUGUUUACGUCUCUUCUUACAUCACAAUAGGGAUCUUCUCGAAAUAUGUUUUGGAUUUUUCAUCCUAAAGCACUUUUCAUUUUUUGUUUGUCUUUUCGUUUUUUUUUUUUUUUUUGGGGUUUUUGGGACUCUCACUCAAAGAUCUUCCUUUCCAUUAAUUUCACAAGGCUACCCUUCAUGUUGCCUUUUAUCGUGUUUUUUUAGCUCUUCAAGCAUCAUUACCAUACUGUUUUUGUUGUAAUUUGGUGUUAGUCACAAACAUAAUAGCUCACAAUUCAAUAGUUUCAACACUUCAAACCAUUCCAAUGAGCAAUAGAUAUCAACAAAGAACUCAUGAUUUACCAUGCUUGAAUCUUUUGGGUUCAAAUUUUCAUUGUCAUUCUUCUAUUUUAGUUCAACAUAUUGUAUUAGUAUAUUUUUCAUAAUAACACCAAUAGUACCAUAAGAGUUUAUGUAAGAGGCAUUUAUGUUACAAUGAGGUUUAGUUCAUCUCAGUUUUAAUAAUUAUAAAAUAAGGUUUGAACUUGUAAUUACUUUUCAAGUGUGAUUAGAGAGGAAGAUUUUCAAAAAUUCAAUCAAGAAAAUAUAUCAAUCCUAAAAAAGAAAUUAAGAAAGUGAAGACUUUAAAGAGAGGAUAUUUCAAAGUUCAACUUUUAGGAUACCUUUGUGUGAUUGUUAAUGCACUAGGAUCAUAAUGCAUUGCAUUUUUUAUACACCUAGCUCCUUUAAGUUCAUCCAACUAUUAAAUUGUUGUUAAUUCCUUUAUAAAUCAAAUAAAACAAUAAUGUUAAGGAAAAACCUAGGUUUUAAUUUGUUUAAAAUAUUUUUUAAAAGUUAAAAAGUCGAUAGCUAUUUGUUAGAAAAAUUAGGCUAAUCCAACCUAUGAUAAUCACCCUAAAGGGGGGGUGAAUAGGGUGAUGGUCUCUUUUUGUAAAUUUAAACUAUGUGAAUGUAAGAGACAAUUAUAUGCAAGUAUAUAAUAAGCAAUAUAAAUACAAUUGCAUAUAAAUUAAAAGAGUAGGGAAGAGAGAAUGCAAACACAAGAUUUUAUAGUGGUUCGGCGUAACCCGGCUUACAUCCACUCUCCUCUAGCUUCAAUCCCAAGCUUGAGAUUCCACUAAUUCAAGGCUUCCAAACCAAGCCUUCAAACAAUACAAUUGGAUUAUGGUUCCAAAUCACCCUCUUGGACUUUUGGCUCUAAGCACCCUUUACACUUCUCAAGAGAUAUCUUAGUCUUAAACAACCCCUCAAGUGAUACCCCACACUUAAGAAACUUCCUCUCAAAGAUUUACAAAUAAAUGAUCUCACAACAUCCUAGUACAAAAACUUUAAGCUCAAAUGAUACAAGAAAACUAGGAUUGAAAGGUGCACUAAGGAUAUGCAAGUUUUAGAACAAUGGUGCACUCAAAAACACUCUUCCAAUGCUCAAAUAUAUUCAAGAAAUGUUUGGGAAGGUUAAGCUCAUUAAACAAUGAAGAUUGAAGCCUUUUUAUAGAAGAAAAAAGUCAAACUAGUCGUUGGGGGUUUGACCAGUCGAGCUAGGGGUCGACUGGUUGACUAGCCGUUAUAAUUUAAUGCUUGAUAGGUGACCAUUAAACCUCAAUCGGACCUCAACCGGACCUCGACUGAACCUCAAUUGGUUGAGGUUCAACCUUGACCGGUUGAACAAUCAUCUGGAAGAAAGAGAAAGUUUUUUGCACCCUCGAUCGGUUGAGUUGGGAGGGGGUCUACCCGGGCCUUGACAGGUUGAGCUGGGGGUCGACUCAGACCUCGACCGGUUGAGCUGACAGUCGACCAGUUCCUCAUCCAGUUCAACUGGUUAAGCCGUUUUUGGCUCAACAACUAACUUUUUCAACUUAAAAACCUUUUUAAAUAAGUUUGAAAAACAUUUGACACAAGGUUUUAGUUGAAAACAUGAAAUCAUCCAAUUUUUAAAAUAUUUAAAACAAAAUAACUCUUGGAUGAUUUUGGUGCAUAAGUAAAGAAUGUAAUGCAUGAAAAUCCUAGUGUACCAACAACCUUACAAAGAGAUCUUAUGAAGCUUGGGUCUUGAAAAACACUUUUCUUUGAGGUGGUCUUCUUCUUCAUGAUUUCUCAUUGACUUGAUUUGUCUUUAUAAUUGCCACUUUGGAAAUCGUCUUGCCUAAUCACACUUGAAAUAUAAUCAUUAGUUCUAAACCUUGUUUGUUAUCAUCAAAAUCAAGAUUAACCAAACCUUGGUUUCACACUAUUGUUUCCUAAAUUUGAUCUAACCUUAAAAGGUGUGUUUUUGGUGCAAUUAGACAAAAUAUAGGAGAACCGAUUGAGCUAGUUAGGCUCGAUCAAUUGAUGAGGAUCAAAUAUCCUAACAAGGUCAAGAAGGAAGUUUCAACCAAUUGAGGUAAAAUCUCAUCCAGUUAAGGCCUAGUUUGAUAAUAGUCAAUUUAAUGGCUAGUAGCUAGUUUGAUCGAAAGAUUAGCCCUAAAUUGCGCCUAACAACUAGUUUAAGCUUUUAACUCUAAUUUAAAAGCUCAAAACCUCUUGUAUUUCAUGGGAAAGAGUCCUAAAUUAUUCUUGAAUAUCAUUUUAGCCUUAAAAUGAGUGUAUUUGAGUGUAUUUUACUUAAAAUUUUGCAUUUCAUUUUCAUGCAUAUAAAUCCUAAUUUGAGUUAUAUUAAUUGUUUAAGUCAAUUUGUAAACUAAGAUUGUAUUCUCAUUCAAUUAUAAACCUUAUGAGGAUUAACAAGUGCGGGAUCAUUUAAAGGGCUUAAUAAUAAGAUAUUUCUUGAGAUGGUGGAACCAAAAUCUAAAGAUGAUAACUUGGAAACUUUUUUCUUCAAAAGUUUUGUUGUUGUAAGGGCCCUUGAAACCAUAAUUCAAGUGUAAAGUUAAAAUGUCUAGGUUGGAAGUUUUGUUAGUGAAACCUUCAUUUAAUUGGAGUUCUGAAUGUAAGUCAAGUUACGUCAAACUACAAUAAAAAUUUGUCUUUGCAUUUGUCUACUUGUCCGUUAUCUAUUUUAUAUGUAAUUGCUCGUCCAUUUUAAUUGCCCUAUUAUUAUUUAUUCUUGUUUUUUGCAUUCAUCCUAGUUCAUAUUUGUUAAAAUUGUAAAAAGAGACUAACAUUCAAUUCAUUCCACCUCUUAGGUCUAUACUCAGGUUGGAUUAGCAUCAUAAUUCUAACCAUUUCCUAUUCAUUAAACUAUCGAGAUUUAAUCAUAGCACAUGAACUCAAGGUUUUCAUUCAACAAAAUGAUAAUGAAAUUUAAAUUUCAUGAUAAACCUACUCUACCUAUUAUGAUGUUCAAUAAAGUUCAACUAUUAACCCUUUUAUGUUGCUCUCUUUUAUUGGCAACUUAAGAGUGUCUGGUACAAGGAAGACAAUAGAGUAAAAGGUAGUGAAAAUUUAAAGUUUUUUGGGUUUAAGAACUACUUAAGCUAGUUGUUGGUUAACUUUAAGCAACUACCACAUGUCUUAUUGAUGCCAUCUUUAGGUGUCCUCUACAAUAGCCCUAUUAGAAAUUGAGAACACUUGGUCAAGCCCCUUUUAAAACUAACUUUAUGCAAAAAGGUGGCGUUUAUAAUUACUGCAUGGGGCUUUCAAUAGUUGGUCAUUCUCAACCACACAUUCAAUAGCUAAUGCAACUACUUUCUAAGAGAAAUAUGACUCUUAUUUAUUGUCGCAGUGAACCACUACUAGGGCAAAUUCUUAGUUAAGUCAUUCUAUUAAUUAACUAAUCAAGUCACUAUAAUUGACACAAAAUUUCUCAAUUAAUUAAGUCACUAAUCUACAAAACAUUAGUUCUGAUUUUCUUAGCACAUUGACUCUACAUUAUGCGAAUUAUGAAGUGAAAUCAUCACUAAGAAUUCAACCCACCAUCUAUGGACAAACACUUCUCACACUGAAAUCCAUUAACCAAGGUAUGCUCCAUUUGUCUACUUGUGAAGCUCAUUCCCACCAUUCAAUUGAGGUUCACCUCAUGAUAGUAAGAUUGCUACUUACAUUAAAUCCUAGUGUAAACCAUAUAUUACUAGCUCUAACCCAAUCAACAACAUUGAGGAGGAUAAGAUAAAUAGAUUAGUUAGAAAAGGCUUCUUAUAUAAAUUGACUUGCCCUAUCGUAAAAGUAUUCAAUAGGAAGGUCCAUAAAGAAACCUUUUGGAAACCUAUUAUGAAACGUCUUUCCUUUGUAGUUAGUAUAUCAUGACAAUAUAGCCUAAUGAAUAUGACUAUAAAGCAUGGUGUUAUUAUUUUAUGGAAUUUAUAGAUGAUUAUAUACAUUAAUACAAUUAUGUUUAUUUGAUCUGUUUUAGACUUUUCAUAUUGGGUUGAUGCAAAAAAAUAAAAAUAAAAAUAAAAAUAAAAAUCAUCAGGAUAUUAAGGAUAGAUUGUAACACAAGUAUCAAACUAAGAAAUUCAAGGAAUUAUACGGAUAAAAAAAAAAAUCCUAAGGCAAAUCACUAUUUCAUGAACUCUAACAAAAUAGUGUGUCAAAGGAAAGAGAUUAUACACUUUUAAAUAUGAUUAAACUUAUAAUAGCUUUACCCAAGUGCAUUUGACAACUACAUAUUUACACUCAAAAUUAAUUUCUCCAACCCAUAUGAGUUGUAAAUAGGCAACAUGCUAAAUCUUGCAUAUUUGUAGGCUUGUACACCUAAAGUUCGUAAAAAUGUUCACAUUGGUUCCAAUAAGCAUCCGAAACUAGGUCAUAGAGCAAAUAACUAAUCCUUAGAUACAUUGAAGAAUCAAAGGAAUAUGCUAGCUACAUAUGGUUUUUUGAGCUCUUGUCCUUACUUGACUUCUUAUUUAAGAUGAAUUAUUUUCUAACUUAGCUACCAAAGGAGCCAUCGAUAAGCCUCAUUGAAGGAUGGUCUGUCAUAACACAUAUUUCCUUUAUAGUUAGUACAUUAUGGCAAAUAUGCUUGCAACUAACGUAAAAUGUCCACACUAAUUCCAAUAAGCACUAGAAACUGAAUCAUAGAGCAAAUAACUACGUUUCAUUAGAUAAUCUUGAAAAAACAAGGAGAAAUGCUAGUUAAAUAUAUAGGGACCCCUCCUCCUGAGAACACGUGCCACACACCUCAUGGUGACACGUGGCACGCAUUAUCAUCCGGAUUUUUCCUAUAAGAUACACGGGGCGCGCUUCUCCUAUCCGGACUGUCUCAAGAAAGGGCAAACGACACUUAUAAGCAUAAACAUCCGGACGGCUUUCACAAUACAUCCGGAUGACCAACAUAGGUCAUCCAGAUAUGAUUGUCCGGGUCAUUGACUGAAGAAAAGCAAGUCUUACACGUUAUCACAAACAGCCUGCCAUGGCCCACGUUCCGCCACCUGCAGAGUGAAGGGACAAGAUGAAGUGACAACAAGUCACUUCCCACGAUCACUUCACAUGAUCACAUACCACGAUCUCUGUCAACCGCUCGUAGGGUGAUGAUGGCCCUACCACCACCUAGUGUCAUCAUGACAACACAAAAUAUCUCCCCACCAUUAAAGAGAGAAACAAAGCUUCUGAUGCUAUAUAUACGAACCUUCACACAAAGAGGAAGGUAAGCUUACGGUACCUAGAAAAAGGCCAACUGAUUUAUCUUCAUCUCCCUAACCAUGACUGACAAAACCAUCGGAGGGUGCAUCCGGAUACCCUGUCCGGAUGUCUUUUGCAGGUAUUACAACUGAAUCAAGAACCUAUAUUAGUUGAGAUCGUGCGUCCAUCCAUUUGACAACUACGUGGAUCACCAGGGACACGAGGCCUCAACAAUAUAUAUUUGGUAAAUAACCGGUGGGAAUGUAAUUGAAAUUGUAUUAUGAGAUGUUAAUUUCUUAUAUGACAAUUUUCUAAAUAGAUGAAAGGUGGAUAAAAAUCUGAAUAUAUUUGAGAUGGUUUCAUUAUACGAAUUUGUUGGGAAUCUUAUUGAGGAUAUUGAGAAUGACUUACCACUCAAUGAGAGUCUACAUUCAAUUGCACUCUUAAUUGAGUCCUAAAAUUGAGACAUAAAAGGAUGAGGGCGCUUUCUCACAAGAUGACAGGAACAUACUACUAGACAUGAGUCCCUAAGAUCCCCUAGUAAAAAGUAAAGAUGAAAUUAAAUAUCCAUAAUUAAGAAGGAAGCUUUCAUCUGCACUCUAUUAUAAAAGGAUAAAUCCUAAAAUUUUGAGAAAGCGGUCUUGUCAUCUUGUGAAAAAUGGAAAGCUAACCAUGGUUUAAUUAUGGUGGGUGACUUACCUUUUAAAAUGGAAAGCUAACCAUGGUUUAAUUAUGGUGGGUGACUUACCUUUUAAAAUGGAAAGCCAACCAUGGUUUAAUUAUUGUGGGUGGCUUUUUCAAAUUGAAAACAAAAAAGAACAUGGUUUAAUUUAGCAUAAAAAACGUGUAGUAAAAUCUAGCUUUUCAAGUUCCAAACCCUUAAACUUGGCAUAGCUUCAACAAAUCUCUUCAGAAGAAAAGCAUUAUGAUGGGUUUGCAAAACCUAGAAUUUGUUAAAUAAUGAUUUUAAGAAGUAUUUUUAAUACUUAAAAAAUUUUAUUUUUUAAAUAUUAAAAAAAUUAAAAAUACUAAAUAUUUUUUAAAACCACUAUCAAACACACUCUUAAAGUGUAUUUAAUAGUAAUUUUAGAAAAUAUUUCUAAUAUUUAUAAUACUUAAAUGAUAAAAAAAUUUAAGUAUUAAAAAUGUUAAAAUCAGUUUUUAAAAUCACUGUCAAACGAAUUUUUUAGAAUAAGUUUGGUAUUAAUUUUAAAAAAUGUUUUCACAUUUUUUUUCUUUUUUUAAAUAAUUAAAGAAUAAAAAAUUUAAGUGUUGAAAAAUAUUGCAUCGGUUUUCUAAAAUCAUUCUCAACCGUACUCUUAUUUUAAAUUAAAAAAUUUUGGAAUUUAUAAAAAGUCAAUUAUUUUGAUUUAUUACUUUAAAUUAUUUUUAAGUUUUAGGUUAUAAUAUUAAAUUAUUUUAAGAAAAAUAUUUAAUAUUAAGUUACCAAGUCAUAGAAAGGUUAUCCAAGUUUCUUUCCAUUACCAUUUCCUAAUCUUAUUUUGGGUAGGAGGAAAAGGAAAGGGGCUCAAGAUAACCUUAUAAUCUUAUCUUAUGCAGAGGAUGAUUUGACCGGGAGAAAAAAAUCAGGAAAUAAAGAAGUGGGAACGCCAAAAAGGUUUACUGUCAGGAUACUUCUGUGUUAAUAAUCCUAAACUCCUAGGGAUAAACAUGAAGUCGUACAUAUAUGAAACAACCGAGUCUCCCUCGCCAUAGCCCCAUCUCAUUUCAAGCGAUGAGUGGAGGUCACAGAUCACCUUUGCGUUCCAGUCUGAACCUCACCCAGAUAACUACAACAAACCGAGACUGAGUCUUUGGGAUGAUGAUGCCCUUAUUUAUUACACGACACUACGAAACUACAAAAAUUUAAAGAAGAUCUCACACCAAAUAAAGACAUUGUUAUCCAGAAGGAUAGACACGAAACAAUGGCCCAAUACCAAUCACACGUGUAUCUCAAUCUUUCUCCAGGUAACCUGGUUGCAGCGUACCGUCGCCGCUUUUGUCGUUUGGCCUCACCUUCAGGAUUUACUCUUCUUCCAAGCAUGUCAACUUGUUGUGACUUGUGUGAAGUGUUCAAACUUUUAAAAGUGCUGGUGGCGACACGUCACACCGAGGAUUUAGGUUUCAAAUAGGCCACGACUUCGAAAAUUGACAGUGAUGCCCUCCAUCAUUUCAUUUUAGGCUUCGAGUCUAGGCACAGACGCGACCCGUCACCGUGGUAAUACUUCAGGGAUGAACCUGGAUGACUAAGAGCACCAGGUUCAUUUGAUUAAAGCGAGAAGACCUAAUAAACAUACCUGCAUUCCAUGGUCUAAAUUUGUCGGUUUCAGCAAUGAACUUGGCCAGUAUCAUGGCUCUGGUUCAGGUACAGUGGUAUGUAUCUUCAUCCGCCUGCUGUCACACUGAUCUUUCUUUCUUUCUUUCUUUUUUUAUCCUUUUCUGGUGUGGGGUUUUGUUACUUGGGUUUGGGUUAGGAGCCUUAACUGGGCUGCAGGAGGGCAAGGUCUUGAGAAUGGGUAACCAUUGGUAAGUGAUAAUACCUAAAAAAUUCGUUUCAUAUAGAAUGAAAGGGGCAUUAAAUCGGCUACAGCCAUGCACCAUACCUCUUAGUCAAGCAAGCAUGUGAUAAAACAGUCUCUGGUCAUUGAAUUUGGCAAAACAUAUUUAAAAAAUUAUCCUGAUCACAUACAUCAUUUGCGGCAAGAUCCUAAUGCAAAUUUGCUGUCUUACCACUUAUGUGAGUUGAGUAAACAUUUUGAGUUUGAUGACUUCCACAUUUUUCUUACCUGCGCAUCAAGUAUGGCAUCGAUUUAGAUUCAGAAUUUCAGAUUAUAAAGACAAUAAACAUAUUCAGUAAUGCUAAACGUGUAAUUACAAGAUAGUAUUAGACAUCAAUGAUGCAGACGUUGAUUCAAAAGCAGUAAUUAUACGCGUGAUGUGGAGAACGGGUGACGUUCUUGUGGAAUUUACUAAUGUGCUUAACUCACAUGUAUGCUAAAAAAAAAAUGACGACGCACAACAAACAUGAUGAGUGACAGCGCACGCUCAUAUUUUCAUAGGAUUGAAAUCUGUCUUGCGCCUAAAUCAUAAGCAUCCAACCAGCAUGGCUUAGCCAGAAUGGUCUCUGCCUGUGACAUUAUUUUUCCUGAAAAAUGUCGUCAUGUUCUCGACAUUUUAUUUUAAAUGACCUUGGCAGCUAGUUCUUUUGUUUUUCUAUCAUUGUUUACUCUGAUCAAUCUGGACCGUCAACUGAGGGUGACCAUGUCAGUGUAAAGCAUCACCCAGGAGGAUAUGCCUACAACCCCUCAAAUAUUAAUUACUUCAAUACCCCUUACACAAAUGUAGCAGAAAUUUGGAGCAUCAAACAGAAGAAUAUGCGUACUACUACAAAUACAUAACCUGUCUUCUAAUUUUCACUCUGGAUAGCGAAAAGGAAAAGGGAUCUCUUCAAGUCUCUAUUGAGGAUCGGCUCCUCUUAUUUACCUCUUGAUAAUAAUUGAAGCCCUUCUCUGCCUUUAAAAUCGUCCUAGAAACUUGGUAACCAGCGUAGCGAGAGAGAGUGAGAGAGCGACUAUGUCACCAUCUUACUGUAUCAAGGAGAAGAAGCCCUGCGUCGGAUGGGUUGACAAGUACUUUGGGGACUGUCUGUGCAGUCUCAGAGACGAGUUCUCCUUUGGGUUUGGUCUUAUCAGUUUGGUUUGUUGGGGAGUUGCAGAAAUCCCUCAGAUAAUCACCAACUUCCGCACAAAAUCUAGCCAUGGAGUCUCUCUUGCAUUUCUGCUCACUUGGAUCGCCGGGUUUGUUCUCUUCUCCAUUGAACCUCGCACUUAAAAUACUCUCAAAAACUGAGCUGUUCCAUAAUAAUACACAGAUCUCCAACAAAAUAAACUCUUAAUGUAAAGUUUUUUGUCCUUCAAAUUAUUAAUGCAGCGACGUUUUCAAUUUGGUUGGUUGCCUUCUCGAACCAGCAACAGUGAGUGUUCUUGUCUGGGAUUCUUUAUUCCUGUCUUAGCAGAUAAUGUUCUAGAACGGCAGUUCAAUGACUGAGAGCCAUAGAGGUCUGGUGGUCCAGAGAACAGCCCCAGAUUGGGUGACUCUGUUAAGACCGCCAUCUGUAUUCUUCUUAUCAAAUGCUCCUGACCAGCUUAGCCACUAGUUUCUUCUUCCGCUCUUUUGUUUUCUUCUCAUUUUGUCUGAAUGCUAUUUAUCUUCUGAAUGCAGCUGCCCACCCAGUAUUACACAGCUCUGGUAAUUUCACUUCUCUGGCCUUGGUUUAGAUGGUUUCAAUCGAAGCACAAAACGACCAUUUCCUUUAUUUAUAAUUUUUACAUGACCAUUUAUUAAGCUCCUAUAUGUGCUACCUCGACAACUACACAUAUGGAUGCAUUGAUUAAUUGAAAUUGCAUUAUAAUUUCUGUUCAUAGCUAUACACCACGAGUACUGUAGUACUAGUGUUGCAGAGCGUCUACUAUGAUGACAUCUAUCCAUGGUGGAAGUACGGACAGAUCAACUCUAAUCAAGUGGUACACUACUACUUAUUUCAUAAUCUUGAGUUCGUUUUACUUUUAAUCACUCUGCUACAAACUAUGAUCUUGUACAGUACUAUUCCAAACAAAAACCAAGAGAAAAAAAGAUUGAUUAAGGUUAUUUUCUUAGGUUGAAGAAGAGAGAAAACCUCUGAAACCUAAAGCUGGUGGGUCAGGGAUUCCCAUACCCAAUACUCCAGUCAAAGCAGGAUCCACUCUUCGGGAUUAUUACUAUACGUGAGUCCAAAUUCAUUAAUCUCUGUUUUUAUUAUUAUUUAUACAUUUCAACAAAUUUUCUGUCCGAAAUUUUGGCAUUUGCAGGUCAGCGAGGUCACUGGCAGGAAGCACUACUCCACCAUUUCGAUCUUAUCUCAGGACGGCUCGAAGUGGUCCUUCGACUGUGGGGCUUGACAACGACUCAUCAUCUGAUGAUGACACAACCCACGUUGCAUCCCAUAAGACUGUUAGCAAGCCUAAGCCAAUCCCACGGUCGGUAAGUCUCCAUCUUCAGUUUUGCUCACUAUAUAUUCCACUUUAUGCGUACAACCUCAGACCGUUGAUCUUCUCUUGAUACUGUUUCUGUUGCCCCGUGAAUUAAAGUUAAUCAAUACAAACUACUUGGUUGUUUUCGGAUCAGCAGAACUUUCUUUCCCUAAUAUGGGUUGAACCAUAUUUGAGACCCUACAAGUCAAUGAUCAGAAGGAAAUCCUAAAAAGGAAAAGUAAUGAAAAAAGAAAAUUUGGUGUUAUAUCCAACUACAAGAGAAUCACACUAGUUGUUUAACCCUUAUGUACUAUUUAUGAUUGUUUUAUGACAUGACAUUUAUCGAAUUAGUGGCGCUACCUUUAUCAUAUCUUUUCAGGCAGGCUAUGGGGCAUAUUUAGCUACGUCCGUCAAUUUGCCUCGGCAAAGUAAAGCUAUGAUGGAAGUGUCUCUUGGAUUUACAGGGAGAAAACUCUUACACGUAUGAUUACUACUGGGAAAAAUUAAAAGCUACAUUUGAUAUUAAAUCUAUUGCUUUGUGUUUUCAAAGAGCUCACGGUAGAUGUAAUUAUACAUAGCAGGAAAGUGGGAUGGAGAACAGUGCCUUCGGGCAAUGGUUAGGAUGGUUGAUGGCUGCUAUAUACAUGGGCGGUCGACUCCCUCAGAUAUGGUUAAAUGUAAGUGAUGAUUGGUUCUCAAAAGUCGAUGCAUAAAUUUGCCUGUUCUCAGAUGAAUCAUUUUCUAUGAUUUGUUUUGUUUCUGAUAAAAGUCAUUACAUUUGACAACCAGAUUAAAAGGGGGAGUGUGGAGGUGAGAUGCUCUUAUAACAUUCUAGUAAUUCAUUUUGUACUUCAUGUUUGAGGCGACAUUUAAUAUUGUAGUUGUUGAAAUUAUACAGGGCUUGAACCCUCUCAUGUUCGUUUUUGCACUCAUUGCCAAUGUAACUUAUGUGGCAAGGUACUCUCUCUCUCUCUUUCUCUCUCUGUGAAAAAUUUCUUAACUCUCAACUUUAUUUGAAUUGAUGGAUGCAGUAUUCUUGUAAGAACCACCGAAUGGGAAAAAAUUAAAGCUAAUAUGCCCUGGUUGCUGGAUGCUGCAGUUUGUGUGAUGCUUGACUUAUUUGUAUCCUUUACCAAUCUUCUUCAGGAAAGCUCUUUUUUAUCCAAAUACUGUGCAGGUAACUCACAUAUGUUCAU
This 96183-nucleotide long non-coding RNA is filed under the name Vitis vinifera (wine grape). Its description in RNAcentral is "long non-coding RNA (VVIN_LNC001154)". Lineage: Eukaryota; Viridiplantae; Streptophyta; Magnoliopsida; Vitales; Vitaceae. The record is from RNAcentral.